UGCUGCAUCGACUUCCUUGUUCUUUUGCAAUUUUCCGGAUACCAAAAUUUCCUCUGCUACAACACUAAUAUCUGACAAAGGAUUCGACUCCAUUGCUAUAGUCUCGGCAUCUUUUGGGGCCUUUUUGGCUGGUUUAGUAUCUGUUUGGGGACCUGAUUUGGCCUCUUCCUUUGGUUUUCUUACACUAGGUCUCAGAAUUGUUUCGGUUUCAGAAUCCACUGGUUUCUCGGGUGCAACCAGUGGUUUCUCAUCAGGAUUCCUUAUCCGACCAUCCCGACUCAAUAGCCGACUGUCCAGAGAUGGCAGAGUUCUUUUCUCAUAAUCAUCCCUGAAGGCUUUAUUGCCUUCCAGAGAGCCAUAAACUUCUCAACCUAAAAGGAAUAUAAAAGAUAAGUGAGCGGCUAAUUAUAAAGCAAAUGAGAUACAUUGGAAGUAACAUUAACAAGCAGUCUCAACAAACCUCCACAAUUGAUAACUCCUCAAGAGCCUUUAUAUCUUUCUGUGCAGCGAGCAGUUUGGCGUUGUGUACAAUGGUACGGCUCUGGUAAAAGUGAGAAUUCUGAAAUUUUGAGAAAGAGUAAUUAAAACGAUUCAUUAGUAACAUCGUGCACAGGAAUAUUGGAAGUAGACAUAAUAUGUAUCAUUUAAUAUCUUAAGUGACACUAGUUAUUCAUGCAUAAAUGAAAAUGUUCCGACAUGGUCAAGUAUUACACGAAACAGAUAUCUUAAGAGUUGAAGCAAAGAAAAGGCGAUACCCCCUGAUCACUUUGUUUCCUCAGCUCCUGAAUGUUUUCAAAAGCUUUGUCCCUCUUCAGGGUCACAGCUUUCAGCUCAUUUUGUAAAGACACGAUUUUAGUCUCAGUUUCGUCCAAUUUAUCUUUAAUUUGCUUUUUUUUGGACCAGACUGCAUGCUGCUCCUUCCUUACUCCAUUCAAAUCGACACCCAUAAGCUACAAUAAACAAAUAUAGCUUUUUUUUUUUAGUGUAACACAAUGGUGCUCUAUAUUCACAUAUAAAAAGAGGAGCAAACUCCGAUGGAUAAAGGCAGAAAAUAGAAUUAUCUUACUUUAACUUGAUCUUGAAUGUCUUCUUUCUGGCCUAAUGAAUCUUGAAUCUUUGAUCUCAUUGCAGCAUUAGCAAUAACUUUCUCGCGGGUUCCCUCCAGGUGUUUGAUUUCUUUAAGGAUUCGCUUCUCCUCACUCAACGAGAUGCCUUCAUGCUGAAUGCGGUAUUGCAAGCUAUGGAUCUGCAAUUCAUAAAUUCCAUUGAAGUGACUAAAGGAGAAAAAGAAAAGCAUUAACUGCGGCAGAAAACAAUGAAUAAAUCUAAAUGCAGUCAAAGUUCAUAGAAGUAUCAUACAAUAAAAUCGAGCUCUUCCUCAGAUGCACAUAAACUAAGUCGAUUAUCAACAUCUUUAUUUUGCGAAGCUUGCCUAAAGCCUGCUGCAGUGGUUCUAUUUCCAUCUUUUUCUCAUCUAAAAUCGUCUUAAAUUGCUCAAAAUCAACAUUCAGCGCUCUCACUUGCGAAAGCAUAUCUGACCGUUCUGCCUGCAUUAGCAUAAAGAUAAUCACAAUUUAGCCAACUGACGGCGCCAUUAUUUUUUACUUCUUUCACAUUUUUUCUCAAAUUCUGAAGGCAAACACAACAAUAACGAAUCAUUAUACCAAUAGCAUAUCUGUAAGUGUCAUUACGUUUCAAGGACAUAAAUUUCAAACAUUCAAAUAAAUGCUUCCGGGUUUAAUUCCCCUACAUUCAUCAUAUUACAAUAAGCACACCGUAAUGACAUAAUGAUAGGGCUAAUAAUUAUCUUAAAAGUAUGACAAUUAAUGGCUACCAUGCUAUACAUCUAAUUGAAAUUAUUAACUUUUCACUCACCCUUUUUGCUUUUAAUUCGUCGGUAAGCUUAAACCGGCUUUAUUCCACUUUUGUAUCUCUUUAUCAGCCUGAUCAAGUUUGGCUUUUAUAGCCGGAUCUUCGUAGAAGCGAUACCUAAUAAAAUGAAAAGAGUGGAUCUGCUUAGGUGCAGGCCACUCGACGACCGCAUCCUUCGGAAAGUCGGGAUCGGAUGCACCAUUCUCUUCUCCUUAUCAGGUUCCUCACUAUGUGAAUCAACUUCAAUGGGGUUAUUAUAAACUGGAUCCUUAUCCAGUUUCCCAUUUUCAUGAAGAAAUGAUUUGUCUACUUCAGUCACUUUGUCAAUAGACAAUUGUGCCAGGUCUGAAUCAACAACCUCAACACCCAUUAGACACAAAAUUGAGCUACCUGAAAACAUCCAAAGACAAAGAUUAUGACACCAUAUAACAACAAAUAUAAAUAUAAAAUAUUAUUUCAUUCAUAAAAUAAAAAUUUUAAAACAGACACCUGAUAGACAUGUAUAAAACAAUAUAUAUUAAAUAAAUAAAUUUUAAAGAACAGUGUAGCCAAUACAAUUUGAAAUGGUGCAAUCUAAAGUCAUUCCUUUAGCUAGUUUUCUCAUUAAUCAGAUCAAAAGAGUGAACAAACAGUAGAAUUGCAAAAAUAUAUGUAUAUAUUCUAAAUAAAUGAUAAACUAUAAUGGAGAAAAACAAUAAUCAGAUAAAAUCUAGAUCAAAAACUAAAUUAUAAGUACAUUAGCUCAUGCUAUAACAAAAGAUCAAGCCUUUAUCCGUCAAGAAAAUUAACAUGCAAAAUCAUAUGACACUAAUGGAAAAGACCCAGAAAUUUACAAACAUGAGAUAAAUGAAAAACAAAAAAAAAACCCCAGAAAUAAAAACAUGAGAAAUAAUUAUGUAGUUUGCAAGGCAGAAAGUUUACAUUUUUAAAAAGAAAAAGUCAAAAUAAGAUGUUUUUGUUGUCGAGAGAGGCAUAGAUACAGAGGUUCUGAAUUAAAAAAAACUUUCAACUUUUUUAUUUUACAUUCGCGUGAUGCCUCAAAUUUUAUAAAGUUUAGGUGUUAAAAGUAAUUUGAUUUGGUGUAGUAGUUAAGUGCCUUGAAUGUUUGCUUUGGGUUUGGGGUUCAAUUUUUUUUGUUAAAUUUUUCCUAUUUAUUAUGGUAUUUGUUAAAUUUUUCCUCUUUAUUAUGGUAUUAUGUUCAACUUGAGCCUUAGGUCUUAUCUCUUAUUUUCAAUGAUGAAUCUACUCGUUCAAUGGUAAGACUUUAGCUUAUCACCAAUUUAAAUUUUAUAAAAUCUGGUAAGUGGGAUUUAGAUUAACUUAAAUCUUUUUAUUUAUUUAUUUUAAUUUAAUUUUACUAAAUCUCUAUUUUUACUCAUUGUUUCAACCAUUCACACUCUCACCCCACUUUGUACGCUACUUUCUUUUGUUUCCCUAUUCUGCGGUUUUAUCUUCUUUUCUCUUCCUUCUUUCUCCUCUUUGAUUAUUCCUGAAUACUACCGUUUAUUUUGUGAGUUCUGUCACUUGGAUCGUAUUCUGUUUGCAGUGUAAGUUUCAUUUGGUAACUUUUGUUCUCUUCCCAUUAAUAGUUUAGUUUUAUUUCGUUUCUUGAACAAAUUGAGCUUAUGUUGGUAUUUUCUGUUCAUUAUCAUGAUUAGUAUUUUUGUGGUUCUCGAUUAGGCAAAAGGUGUGAGAAUCCUAACCCUCUAGCAAUGUAAUCACAAUUUUCGACGUUGUUUUGGAGAACUAAGUAUUCGAAUUCUAUUUUAGGGGCUGAAAUUUUGAUUCAACGAUGUUAUUUUGGAUAAGUAUUGUUAGUUCAUCCAUGUGGUUUGAUGAACGUUUAUAGGAUUCGUGAGUUCCAAUUGAGCGGUUGAUCAAAUAAGCAAUAGGUGUAUGAAAUUAACCUGAAAACUCAAUCGAAACUCGAGAAAAUUAAGGACCACACGACUAUGUGGGUAUUUUGGCCAAUUUUAAGCCCCAAUUAGGGGCCGAUUAAAGGACUCAAAUAUUGGGUCCAUAGCCAUCAUAUAAGCCCAAAAAAAUGUAAGUUUUAGUACGUAUAUAUACAUGGCUAAGCUUAGGAGGUAUGUUAAGUAGGUUGUAUAUAAAUCAUAUGCUAUGUUAUGUUCCUUAUAAAAAUAUGUGUAUGCAUGUCAUACGACUUAUGAUAUAAGUAUUUAUGAUAUUAUAAUUAUGAUUAUGCCUAAGUUUUGGAAUGGCUUAUGAUAUGAUGGAGGAAGUGUUAUAUGAUAGUUUUUACCGCAACUAUGGCGGCUAGACUAUAAAAUUUCCGUUUGACAGCUCAGUUGCAUAUUUAUGAGUGACAUACCACCACAUAUUGGUGUGAUUGGAUGGAUGGACUCUUGUAGUCCUAAUUGGUGAUAUUGCUUGAACGAAGAUGGUAUGAAGCAAUUGGGGGUAUGAUGUCUUAUGAUAUGGGAUAUGAUAUAAUAAGAUAAGAUAUGAAACAUGCUAUAACAUGAUAUGAAAACCGAUAUGAUAUAAGAUAUGCUCCGAUAUGCUAUGAUACAUUCUGAUUUAUAUAUAUACUACAAUGUGUGGGUCAAAUCACACACUGGAUGUUAAGCUCACACGUUUGUUAUUUCUGUUUCAGGUGAUCUUCAGAGUAAGGAUUGGAUGAUGACUAUAGAGCUCGUAUUUCACACUUUCGGUUUAAGUAUGCAUUGGACUCUCUUUUGUUUAUAUGGACUUUUUGGACUUUUGGAUAUUUAAAAUUUAUUUGGGAUGCUAAAAAUUAUUUUGCAUUUAUUUUUCAAAAGUUUUAACUUUUAUCGAUACUUAAAUCAAGACAACUAAAAAUAAACCAUAGUUAUAAGGAAAAUUUGCUAUAAUGCUUUUUGCUGCAAGUUUUAAGGUCAAUUUGCUAUAAUGCUAUCCGCUAUAAUUAAGUUUUAUUGAAAUCUGCUAUGAUGUUUUAUCUCACAAACAAAGUAAGUAAAUUAAAUACAUUUUUGUAAAAUUAACAAAUAUGGUUUUCUUCAAUGUACUCACGGGUUUUAAAAAAUGGUACAUCUUCACCAGGUUAAUCAAACUUGUUUUCUUUUGAGUUAAAUAGUUUUUGCCAAAAUGAAGUAAUAUUGUUUUCACAUACAACGUAAUCUCCACAAUCUGACUGUAACAUCCAAGCAAUGUUUGGGGUGUUAGAAUUAGAGUUUUAAAAAAUAAUUACUUUUUCUUUUACAAGUUAAUGUCAUUGUAGGGUUUGAUUGGUUAUCUUCAACUUUAACAGUUAAGCUUCUAAAGUCGAUGAUCCUAUUUAAAUAUAUAAAAAUUCUUUAUAUUUAAAAGAUGUUCUUAUAAGAAAACAAAGAUGUCAUAUAUGAUUGUUGCAUGUAAUUAUAUUAUUUUAUGAUUUAGAUCAUAUAUGAUUGUUGUCAUGAUAUAUAAGCAUUUAAUUAAUAUUUUAAAGUUUUAAAAAAAUAAUAAAUAAUUUUAAAUAAUUUAAAAAUUUUAAAAAUAAGUUAUAUAUAUUUUUAAAACCUUAAAAAUUAUUUAAAAACUAAUGUAUCAUCCAUAAUAAAUCAUACAUCAUUAACACAUAUUGGGGCAUGCGAAAGCUUUUAAAAAAUUGAACUCAAAUAGUGGUCUACAUGGUUCAUCAAGGCAUGGCAAGUAAGUGAGUUGAAGCAAUUUGUGUCAUGAUUGCCUGUAUUUCUCUCAUAAUUUCUUUGUCACUCUGCCCCCGUGACACAUUGCAAAAUCUCCUACAUUUCAAAUAAACUGAUGUCAAGUAAAACAUUAAAGCAGAAGAGGAUCAACUAUUACCCUCACUAUCUAUUUCAAUGCUAAAAUUCCACCUCUCCUCUCCAACACCUCAUUGGUAGCCUUACUCAUCAUAACCAACACAACCCUUUCUUUUUCCAAUACAUUUCCAGAAUGUACACUUUUAUUAUAAGAAAAUAUCCAAAAACAUUUUACCAGAAAGCUGGGCUGUGGGGUUGGGAAUGAAGGAUUUCACGCCUUCAUCUUUGGGAAGCCCAUAUUUCUUCACUUUGGCAAAACUCUCUUCUGGGUCGAUUCUACAAAAUAUUUAUUAGCUCAUUUUGUGAAAGAGGUAAUUGUGAGAUGAUUGAUCAUUUUGUUUCUACAUUAUAAGUAAAAAUUGUAAUAUAUACCUGAACUUGAGUUGUCAUAUUCUAAUAUUUCUUUGCUCAAUAUUUACUUGAUUGUAUACAUUAGAUUUGCACCCGAAGCAAUAGUUUUAGAACACUUACAGUAAUAGUUUUAGUCUUUCAACUUCAUCAACUAAUCUUUUAUAGUUAUGUGUAUCGAUUGUGGUCAUAAACCAACUAAAAAUCUGAUUAAGGUAUAUGUACUUAUCAAUUAAUAGUAUAGUUACGAUGAAUAAAGAUAUCAUUCCCACGAUGGCUAAAAAUACUAGUAAUUAUUGUCUUUCUAUUAUUUAACCGACAAAUUGGAGUGAUUGAUUAAAACUAAAAUUAAAUUAACUAAUUAACUAAAGAACAUGACAAAGAACAAAUCAGAAAAAUAAACGAUUAACAACCAAAAAGCGAGACAAUACCCAGGAAAUAAUCCACCUAGACUUCAUCUGUCAUUAUCAAUCUAAAUCACGUAAUUUCUUCACUUACUAUCUUGAUCCGUAGAAAUCCCUAAAUUAUGGUAAUAUCACUCUUCAAGACUAAGAGUAACUGACUCUAGAUUGAUUAAUUGAAAUUUCUUUCUAAUUAAAAAUCCUAUUAUCGCAUUAACUCGAUUUAUGGAUUAUUCUAUUAGAUUUGACUCUAAUCCGGUAGAUUUAUGUAAUCCUAUUUUUAGGAUUGUAUGCAACUCCACUCAAUUACGCUAGAUCUACUCUUAAAUAUGGUCUAUUCCUCCUUUGGUUUAAGCACAUAAAACAUGAAUCAAUAGUCUAAAAAUAUUAAACUAUGAAUUAAACACACAUAAUUGAGAACAAGAUCUAAGUAUUUAUUCCAUAAAAAUAGAAAUCAAAUAAUAGAAUCCAUCCUAAGUUUUAUCUCCCUAGGUAUUUGGAAAAUUAGUACAUAUAGUAAAUAAAAACAUCCCAAAAAUAGUAUAACCAUAAGAAAUAAAGAAACUCAUAAUAAACUUCAAAAAAAUCAAAAGGAGAACUUCAAUAUUGAUGGAAAUCUACUUCAAAGUCGGCUUUAAUAGUAUUUUCUGAGUUGCUUUCUUCAAUAUAUGACAACUCACUGAUCCCCUCGCUCAUUUUUUACUCAUUUUGCUUCCAAAUGCUCUUCUAAGUAUAGAAACAUGAAUUUAAAGUAUUAGGAGCAUAAAAUUCACCGUUAACACAUUUUCUCUGUAUAUUUAGCAUAUAUUUGAACUUCGAGUUUCUGCUUUGCAGUUUAGGUUCAAAAAUAUGAACCCAUGUUUUCAAAGGUCUAAUUUUUCCAUGAACAGCCGGAAAUGAAAAGAAAAAAAAUAUUUUAAAAAAAUGAAAGAAAAGAAAAAUGAAAAUAUAGUUUAAUGAGACUUACAUAAAUGUCGGGAUUGAGAAAAUGAUUGUCUAAAAAGAAGCAGAAAUUUGGCCGUCAAGCAGAAAUUUGGCCGUCCAAGCCAUCUUAUUCAGUUCACCGAUACAAGUUUCUCCGCUUAGCCGCCGCUACUCUGAAAAUGACGAAGGACUAACUAGUUUAACAACAGUACCAGUACGACGUCAUAAGAAUGUAUUCUACAUGGCAUUCGUGUCAUCUAGCUAAGUCAAACUACAAAGCUACAGUUAGACUUCGAUUUUAGUUGGGUUUGGUUUCUUAGGUGGAGUUCUAUUUAAACUUGGGUUUUGUUUUCGGUUAAAUUACCCUAUUAGUUACUAAAUUAUAGGUUGCUUUUGUGUUGUUCACUUAACUAAAAAAAAAGUUAAAAUUUUGUUAUUGAAGUAUUCGAAUAUUUUCAUUUAAGUCACUAAAACAAGAUCUUUUUAAAUAAGAAAUAAAUAUUUUUUAUAGAGAAAUUUUAUAUAUAAAAAAUAAAAUACUUUAAUUUAAAAGUACAUUUUGUUUAAUCACUUUAAUAGCUUUUGGAGUGAUGAAAAGUCUAAUUUCACUUUCCACCUAAAAUGAUUUUUUUGGUAAUUUUCUUACUGAGCUGGGACUCAAUUGAUAGUUGACGUCAACUCAGUAAAAAGCUUUAACACAGUAUAGAUAAAAAAAAGUUUUAAAUUAAAAUUUUUAAAAGAAUUUAGAGUAAACUACACCAGUCAUUCAACUAUAGGUAAGUUUUCGUUUUAAUCACUUAAAAAAAAUUACAAUUUGAUUACUAAUGCUUUCAUAAUUGUUUUUCUUUUUUGUCAUCCAAUUGUUAAGUCAUACUUGUUUUAGUUAGUAUAAUAAUAAUUUUAGUCCUCAAUUUUUAUAUUUUUUGUCAAUUUGACUCUGAUUUUGUUUAUAAUUACAAAAAAAAACUCACAAUUAUUUAUAAAAUAGAAAAAUGUAUAGAAAAAUUCUAGAAAAAUAAAAUCUUGAAUAUAUUGUUUCAUAACUAAAUUGUAUGAGAAAUAAAGAAAAUUGUCAUUCAAUAACAUCAGAUAAUAAAUUAAAAUAAAAAAAAAGCUAGAUUAUUAUAUGUUUCCUAAAUAUUUCUCAAAACUAAAUUAGUAGUAUUAUCAAACACAUUAAGAAUGAGAUUAAAAUAUGUUAAUUUUGUAGCUUAUCAUACCCCUAAACCACAACUAAAAAGUUUAAUCUGAUAUGGUGGCAUCCACCAUUAAUAAUUGACUCCCAAUUUUGGUUCUUUUUGUCUUGUUUCUCUUUGCACUCGUAGUUUUAGAUCAUCAGAGUCUUCAUGGUGGACCCUAAAGCUUAAAGGAGGCUAAAGAUGGUGGAAUCCAAGGUAGUGUGAAAUAACAUGGUCUUGACCUAUAACACUAAAAUUGCUCUAGCUUAAAUGAAAAUGAAAAUAUUUUGCAUGCAUGAUAUCUUUAGUUUAAAUCUUAUUAUCGAUAAAGUUUUAUUGAUUUAUGAAAAGAUGAAUAUACCUUUGUAAUUAUAUAUCUUACUUUACAAAUAAAAUGUUUUUUUUUAGCAAUUUUCUUAAUGUGUUCGGACUAAUUGAUGGUUGACACUAUGUCAGUAAAAGGCCUAAUACAUAAUAUAGAUUAAAAAAAUUUAAACUAAAAUUUUUAAAACAAUUUAAGGUAAAUUACACCAUUAGUCAUUCAACCAUGAGUAAGUUUUCGCUUUGAUCAUUUAACUAAAAAAAAUUACAAUUUAGUCAUUAAUAUUUUUGACAUUAUUUUUUUAAUCACUUGAGUGUUAAGUGGCACUUGUUUUAAUUGGUAUAAUAAUAAUUUUAGUAUCUUUUUUUUUAUAUUUUCUAUCAAUUUGACUCUUAUUUUGUAUAAAAUUAUAAAAAAAAACUCAAAAUUUUAAAAAUAGAAAAUGUUUAUAAAAAUUCUAGAAAAAUAAAAUCUUGAAUAUGUUGUUGAGUAACUAAAUUGUAUGAGAAAUAAAGCAAAUUAUCAUUCAAUAAAAUUCGAUAACAAAUUAAAAACAGAACAAAACCAAAAAAAGCUUCCUCAAUGUUUCUCGAAACCAAGUUAAUAAUAUUAUCAAGUUAAGUUUCAUGCCCUUGAAGAACAUCUAAAACUGAUAUUACCAAGGCUUAUGAAAUUGACCCUAAUGCCAUUUUUUAGUCAAAAGAAUACAAGAUAUAUAACAAACUUUCCUUUUUCAAACUUAAUUCAAUUUUUCAUUACAUUCAAAUUAUUUUUCAAAACUCAAAUUAUAAAAAUAAAUUAUAUUUAGAAAAAAAAUUUAUAACGUAAAAGUUAUGUCAAGAAACAGAGAAUAAAUAAUUUUGCUUAAUGUUUUUUCUACCUUUUUUACUAAGGAUUGUGUAUUGGAUAUUUCGAUACAGAUAAUAUAGAGAAAUUUUGUACGGCUUAAAAACAAUUAUCUCUCAUUUUCUCUCACUUUAUUUAUUUUUGAAAUUUUUAUCUACUUUUAUUUAAUUUUUUAUUUUAUAAUGUUCUAAAAUUUUAAAAAUAAUUUUAAUUUUUUACCAUUUUAUACAUUAUCAAGAUCAAAUUGACUGAAAGUAUAAAAUUUGAGGAUUAAAAUUGUUAUUAUAUCAAUUAAAAAAGUGUCACUUAACAUUUGAGAGAUAAAAAAAAUUUCAAAAACAUUAGUGAUGAAAUUGUAACUUUUUUAAUUAAGUGACCAAAACAAAAAUGCCCAUAGUUUAGUGACUAAUACUGUAGCCUUUUUUUGGUAAAAUGAAAAUUUGACCCUGAUUUUGUAUUAAAAAAAACUCAAAAUUAUUUAUAAGAUAGAAAAAUAUAGAUUAUUUAACAUAGGGAUUUUUUACCCAAAUCAUAUAAAAAAUAAUUACUUAUGAAAAUGGUAUGGAAUAUAGCUUAAUUACAAAAAUAAGGCAUUUGGUACAAUGUUCUGCUAGUGUCGCCUGGCAUAUUAGUAGUACUAGAUUAAAAUGUGAUGACCUAAUAUAUUCAAGGACUUGAUAUGUAAAUAUCUCAUUUUGGUUGGCUGUUGAAAAUAAGCUAUAAGAGUGUUGUGUGACAGUGUAGCGGCACAAAAUCUUAAAUAGGGUUAAUUUCUUUGUAAACCGUCAUUAUUUAUUAUUUUGUUUUUAUUCUUCUUCAACACCAAAAUCAGAAAGGCUUCUUACCAAUUAAUUCAGGUCAAAUUAUGUCUGGCAUAACAGUUAUCACUAUUGAUAGUAAUUUUCUUUGGCUCAUAUAUAUCUAAUAAAGUGUAAAUUUAACUAAUAAUUAUAAUUUAUAUAUAGUAAAUAUUUUUUUAAAAAUUUUAUAAUUAUAAUUUUAUAUGGUGCCCGUAAAUAAAAUUGAUAAAAAGAAUAUCUGUAAUGGCAGACAGCAAAGAAAAAGCUAAAAGAAACUUCAUAAUUUGCCUGUUUUUAUCUUCAGUUUCUUCUUAUCUCUUCUUCACUGCUUUUAAUUUGUUUCGAUGUCCAAGGUCUAUCACAAAUUUUGAAGCAUCCAGUCAACGUAAUUUUCUUUCAUUUCCUUAAUUCAUGACAUGCUUUUCUUUGCUUUUGAUUAUCUGCUACUGUUAUAGCAGCUAGCUUUGUAAGAUUGUCAAGGACGUGAACUUCACUGCUUCAUUUUCAGUUCUAAUCUCUCAACACUUUUCAGCCACUAAGUCAGGUAAUAGGAUCUGAGGCAAUGAUUUCCUCUACUGAUUAUCAACAGUUUUAGAUUUUAAGACAAGAUGAUCAGCACACAUAAUCUACUCUAGAUUGAAAUUAAUACAGAAAGAGCUACCCAGAAGCAAUAUAAUGUUGAAAUCUCAAACUGUUAACAUUUUAACUCUUCAUAUUCUGUAAUGAACUGGUGCACACUUGAAUCUAGCAUUUUAUAUACAUCGAGAGCUUAAUUCUAGUGACCAGAAUUUCAUCAUGUUUCUGUCUGCCACCCAUCCAUAGCUCCAUCUAAUAAACGCCAUUGCUUGAAACUUGCAUUCAUGCUUACACUGACAAUACUUCAUGAUAUAUCCAAUUCAUUCGCAGAUUUUCAUUCUCUGCUACUGUUAUAUAUGAUUGCAUUGCAGGGACAUAGCAAUGGAAUACGUAGAGCCUGUUGCCGGCAUUGCAACUUGUCUCGGAACUCCUGUUUGUAAAUAUUUGCAAUAUCACAGAAAGCUGAACGAUUAUGUGAGAAGCUUCAAGAGGAUCAGAGAUGAAUUGAAUUGCAAAAUGGAAGAUAUAGAGCUGCAAUUGAAAGCAGAGCUUCUUUCUCCUGGGAGGAAGAUACCAAAGCAGGGAGUUGAAAAUUGGUUGAAAGAUGCGAAUGAGAUGAUUGCGGAAGCACAGGAUGUGGAAAAUAAAGUCAGAAACGGGAGAUAUCUCUGUCGUGCUUGCAACGGGAAGCUGGUUGAUGAGAAGACUGGAGAAAUGAAGGGAUUUCUUGAUAAAGCUCCUAAUGCCUCUGAAGGUCUUGCCAUAGAUGGUCCAAGUGCUGGGUUGCCGCUGCCAACAUCAGAACUAGUUGGAGAGGAAGCUGUCAGAAAUGAGAUUUGGGCAUGUUUGAUGCAGGAGAAGGUGAGCAAGAUUGGGGUUUGGGGGAUGGGCGGUGUAGGUAAAACCACUAUCAUGAAGCACAUCCACAAUGAUCUUUUAAAGCAACAAAGAUUCGAAAGGGUAAUCUGGGUUACCAUAUCAAAGGAGUUCAAUGUAAUGAAGGUACAAGAUGAUAUUGCAGCUGCUUUGAAGUUGAAGGAAGAUUGGCCUAGAGAAGGAGACAAGCUCAGACGAGCUGCAAUCUUGUCAGAAAUUCUGAAGAAAGUAGGAAAGCAUGUUCUAAUCCUAGAUGAUGUGUGGGAUGAAGUCUCUCUAGAAGAAGUUGGGAUCCCUGAGCCGAGUGACAGCAAUGGCUGCAAGUUGGUGUUGACAACCCGUUCGGAGCAUGUCUUUAAGUAUAUGGGCUGCACGGUGAUAAAAGUGAAGCCCGUUUCAGCACAACAGGCAUUGACACUAUUCUUGAGUAAAGUUGGCCCGAACAUAGUGCAAAAUCAAACUUUAAUGCCAAUUUUGAGGCUCGUUGUUGAAGAAUGUGCGGGUCUACCUCUUACAAUUGUCGUCAUAGCUGGUACAUUGAGAGGAGAAGAUGACCCUCUUAUUUGGAAAAAUACACUAAGGGAAUUGAAAGAGAGAAUAGGGAAAGUGCAAGAAGGGGAAGAUAAAGUGAUCGAGAGUUUGAAAGUUAGCUUCAAUCACUUAAAAGACGAGAAAAUGAAGCAUUGUUUCUUACAUUGUGCAUUAUAUCCCGAAGAUUUUGGAAUUGAAAAGCAUGGGCUAAUUGAUAGCUGGAUUGAAGAGGGAUUCAUAGAUGACAUGAGUACAAGACAAGAAACGAAAGAUAAGGGCCAUGUUAUUUUGAAGAAAUUAGAAGAUAAUUGCUUGUUGGAAAAGGUCUCGAGUGUAACAGUGAAAAUGCAUGAUGCAGUGAGAGACAUGGCAUUGUCGAUCACAAGAAUGAAUCCUCGAUAUAUGAUACAAGCAGGUUCGCAAUUAGAAGAGUUACCAGAAAAGGAGCAAUGGAGUCCGGAUAUUGAGAAAGUGUCACUUAUGUAUAACUCCAUAUCAGAAAUUUCCAUAGAUGUGCUGCCCACAAAAUGUCAACUGCUCACAACCUUGUUAUUGCAGGAGAACCCUAUAAAGAAGAUCUCAAGUUCUUUCUUCACAAACAUGCCUUGUCUUAGUGUUCUCAAUUUGUCCUCUACGAAGAUCAAAAGUUUACCAAAUUCCAUCUCUGAACUAAAGAACCUCACAACAUUGUUGCUUUGUGGUUGUGAAGAAUUAAGAGAUCUGCCAUGUCUUUCGAUGCUUCAAGAAUUGAAAAAGUUGGAUCUUUCUGGGACUAAAAUUGAGGAAGUCCCUGAAGGAAUGGAUAUGCUGAUAAAGCUAAGAUAUCUUGAUCUUAGAGUGCGCACUCUGAAAGAGAUACCCGCGGGACUUUUACCAAAACUCGUUCACCUUCAGCACUUGGGUUUUCAUGAGAACAAUGAAAAAACAAGUCUAAAAGCAGAGGAGAUGGAACCAUUGAAGAAGUUGGAGUACUUAACCGGACAUUUCGAAGACAUCAGUGAAUUCAAUAAGUUCAUCUCCUCAAUGCAACAAAGUAAGAAAAAUAUCAUCAAGUACUUUUUACAGGUGGGCUCAUAUAAUGUGUGUAUUGGAAGGGAGAAAAAAGUAACAAUUGGAGGAGUCCAGAAUUGGGAAGGUGAGUUAAUUAUGCACCCAAUUGAAAUUCGAGAUUUGACUAUUAUAAGGUGCGACUAUUUCAGAAACUUAGUCGAUGAUGAUUCUUCCUUCAAAAAUGCGAUUGACUUGAGGGUUUGUAGGAUUUGGGGGUGUGAAGGGAUAGAGUGUGUUGUUUCCCUGUCCUCUUUUGCCUCUUCUUCCGCUCAUCUAUUUCAGAGCCUCGAGGUGUUGUAUCUUCGUGAUCUGCCAAAGCUGAGUGCCUUUAUUAUGAAUGAUGCAGGAAUUGGUUCAGCAACAACAUCAACAUUGGCUCCGUCUGCCACCUUUUCCCAUCUCAAGGAAAUUAUGAUAGUGAACUGCUCAAGUAUGAAGACGCUGCUUCCACAUUGGUUGCUUCCAAACCUCCAAAACCUGGAAGAAAUAGAUGUGGAUGCUUGUAGUCAGCUAGUAGAAAUAUUGGGAGCAGCAACAUCAGAAGUCGAAGAAAAAGGGAGUGAUGCAUUAAUCAAAUUCCAUCUUCCUAAACUGAGAGUGCUGUCAUUCUGGGAAUUACCAAAUUUGAAGAGCAUAUGCAGCAAAAGUGGAGUGAUGGUUUGUGAUUCUCUCCAACUUAUCCAAGUUGCUGGAGACUGUUAUAAACUGAAGAGAAUUCCUCCAUUUGUUCCUCUUGUUGGCAAUGGGCAGCCAUUUGCAUAUGCUCCACCUUCUCUUACCAUCUUCUCAAGCACAGCAUGGUGGGAAUCGUUGGAGUGGGAUGACCAUCCAAACUUUAAAAAUGUUCUUCGCUUCAACCCCCGUUGAGGAUAAGAGGUAUGAACCAUUUAUGGUUUAGUUUAUUUUUUUUAUUUUGAUAAAUCUAAUUUCUCCAUAUUAAUUAAAUUUGAAGUAUAUUUGUGAAGAUGUUGAAGAGAAAGAUAAAAGGGUUGGUGGGAAAGAAGUAGGGGGAGGAUAGUGCAAAAGAGAGGAGAAAAGGAAUGAUGGAAGAACAUGGAGACUGAGGGGCAAAGGUAAAUAAGAAAUCAAACUGUCUCCCCUUUUUAAACAUUUUCCCUCUCUUGCCAUUCCUUCUAUUCUCUUAUAUAUUCUUCUCUAGUAUAUAUAUAUAUAUAUACACUUCCCAAAAUAACCUUCUAAAUAUUUAUUAUUAAAAUAUUUAUAUUAAUCAAAAUGAUUUAAGGUGAGACAAAACUAUGAUCAUAGUUUUAUUUCCAAUAAAAGUUAGGAAAGUAUUGUAAAAAGACAUAAUAUUUUUUAAUUUCCAUGUAAAAUUUCUGGAAACAUUAAGAUUUAAAAAAUAAUAAUAUAGUUAGAAAUUAAUACCAAGAGAGCUACCCAGAAGCAAUAUAAUGUUGAAAUCCCAAACUGUUGAACAUUUUACCUCUUAAUAUUCUGUUGCACACUUGAAUCCAGCAUUUUGUAUACAUUGAGAGGUUAAUUCUGGAUAUACAAAUUUCAUCAUGUUUCUGUCUGCCACCCAUCCAUGGCUCCAUCUAAUAAACGCCAUUGCUUCAAACUUGCACUCAUGCUUACACUGACAUAUCAAAAAGCCAAUACAUUCACAGAUUUUCAUUCUCUGCUACUGUUAUAUUUGCAUGGACAUAGCAAUGGAGUACGUAGAGCCUGUUCUUGGCAUUGCAAAUUGUCUCGGAACUCCGGCUUAUAAAUACUUGCUGUAUCACAGAAAGCUCAAUGAUUGUGUGAGAAACUUCAAGAGGAUGAGAGAUGAGUUGAAUUGCAAAACGGAAUAUAUAGAGUUGCAAUUGAAAGCAGAGCUUCUUCGUCCUCUGGGGAAGAUACCGAAGAAGGGAGUUGAAAAUUGGUUGAAAGCUGUGAAAGAGAUGAUUAGGGAAGCACAAGUUGUUGAAAACAAAGUCAGUAACGGGAGAUAUCUCUGUCGUACUUGCAACGGGAAGCUGGUUGAUGAAACGACUCGAGAAAUGAAGGAAUUUCUUGAUAACGCUCCUAAUGCCUCUGAAGGUCUUGCAAUGGAUGGUCCAAGUGCUGGGUUGCUACUGCCAACAUCAGAACUAGUUGGAGAAGAAGCUGUCAGAAAUGAGAUUUGGGCAUGUUUGAUGCAGGAGGAGGUGAGCAAGAGUGGGGUUUGGGGAUGGGCAUAAAAAAGUAUUAAAAUAGAUCAUUGCUAAUUCUCUGUUUUCUUAAUCGGUAAGUUUCUCUCUUCAAAUCCUUUUAUUUCUUUAUUGAAUCCAUGGCAUAUCAUUUGCAAACCGAUUUCUGUACAGUUUGUUUGUUCAAUUUUCACUUUCCAGUUUUUUUCUUGAUUUAGAUGGAAGAUUCUUUUGCUGCAUUUGAAGAGUUUCUAAAAAUUUUAGUGUUUUCCUAAAUCUAACUUUCUCGACACCAGGUGCACGUAUAAAUUCCUUUCGUGGAGAUUAUUUAUCAUGUUUGUGUGUUUCGUCUUUUGAGGUUGAGCUGUUUUUAUUUUCAAAAAUAAAUAUUUAUUUUCUUUUGCAUUUAUUUCUAAGAUCACCAUAAAUUGUUUAGGGUUGUCGAUUUUGGGGAUUUUAUGGAUAAAUUUUUUUUCAUAUCAGAUGCUCCAACUUUGUGCUUAUGAGUGAUCUUCAAACCUAGGUUAAUGCUGCUCUGACGAAUGAAGAUACUUGCAUGGAUGGAUUCUUAAGCAGGGCUAUGAAUGGGUAUGCAAAGAUGAUGGUGAGGAAACGAAUUAUUAAGAUUACACAAUUGACGAGCAAUGUUUUGGCUCUCAUCAAUAACUACGCUUCAUCUCAGAUCCUUCAUUGAUUUUCUUGAGAAAAUUUUGAUGGCAAGGAAAGCAUUGUGUUUCAUGGAUUUAUGUUCAAUAUGGGAUUUUAUGGUUUUCGAACAAGACUUAAGUUUUUAAGGUACUGUAGAUUGUGUUCUCAAUUCUAUGUUUGUGGUUAUUGAUUUUUGCAAUUGUAUCGGUUUGAAUAUGAAAUUUGUGUUCGUGUAUAUUUAGGGGUUUUUUUAUUGUUCUUUUAGUAAUUUUAAAGCCAUUUACUGAUGUGGUAUAUAAGAGAAAAUAAUGUUCUGUUAGUAUCUAAAUUCAUUUGGACCGUCAUGUCAGAGGUUAAUGUUGACCGUUAAAUAGCUAACGGCCACAUCAGCCUCUAUGUUAAAAACAAACCAAUUUGUUAGAAAUUUAAAUUUUACACUAUAAAAUUAAUUUUUAAAAUUAACUAUUCAAUUUGUAAUUGAUUUUAUUAAAUUAAAAUAUUCACUAAUUUUUAAAAAUAUUCUCCAUGUUAAUUAAAAAAUAUUUAAGAAUUCAGUUAAAUGAUAAUCAAUUUAUAUUAAAAUUAACUAUUCAAUUGGUUGUAUUAUUUCAUUAAUGUUCUUAUAAUAUUAUUUCAUUUUUAUUUAUAGACACCAACUUCAAAAUCAGAAGAGAAUUAAUUUACGAGAAGAUAUGAUUUAUACUGUAAACGAUAAAUAAGAUAUUAUCAAUUGAUAUGAUAAAAAUUUAAAUAAUAUAAAAAGAGUAGCAAAAUAAAUUGAAAACAUUUGAUAUGGUCUAAAUGAACUAUAAUAAAAGGAUUAUAUAUUUUGAAAUGGUGAUUUGAGAGACAACUAAUCAAUCCUACUAUCUUGUCUUUUUUAAAUAAUUUGGGAUCAAAGAUCCAUCAAAGAUGACUCACAUAUGUUUCCCAAAGAUACGAUAAAUAUAUAUAUAUAUUCCUAUCAAGCAAGUUGACAGCUAAAGGGUGCAAUUUUGACGUUGCUAAAUUCUCUAGCAUCAAAGAGGCAAGAUAUGUUGCAAACAAGACAUAAAUUACCAAUAUCAACCCCUACUUUUGUAUGAUAGAGAAAAUAUGAUGUACAAGUUUACAGUCAUGGAAUGUAUUAGGUGCAUUGAAGAUAAUUCGGUGUUAGAAUCAAAGAUAUUUAUCGGUAUUUUUGUUAAUUGUAAAAUUGUGCAUAAACUGGAAAAAAUGUUUGAUUGCCAUUACAAGAAUUUCUUUAAAGUUAAUAGUUUGAAAGAUAAUUUUAAGUAGGAGUUGGAAGGCAUUGCUAUAAAGAGAAUCUAAAGAAAGUAAUUUCAUUUUGAGUUUCAAGUGAAAGGAAUGAAAGAAAGGUUGCUUAAAUAAAUACGGAAUUGGAUAUUGAGCUGUUUUGAAUAGUUGGAGCGAAGGACACAUGGACCAUAUGAAAUUCUAGUCUACCAAAGUAAUGCUAAUCAGAUUCCUCUUUGGAAAUGACCAACUUUUCAAAACAUUGUCAAUCUACCUUGAAAGGUGGCAUCGGUGAAAGAAUCAAUCAUGAAAUAUUAAAAUUAUACUAAAAUGACUAUAAAGAUUUAUUUCCCCCAUAAAUAAACAUAUUCUUAUUCUUCCUUAAAAAUUAACAUGAUUUUAUCUUAAUAUACAUGUAUAUAUAUUUAUGUGUCAAAAUAGCCUUCUAAAAUAUUUAUUUUAGAAAAUAAUUUAUAUAAUACAUAUAAAAUUAAUUAUAAACUUAUUUUGAUAUGAUGUCGAAAUUAAAUAUUAUAAUGGUCCUUUACCACAUUCAACACUAACUUUUAUUUUAUUAUUUUUUUAAAAAUAAACUUUAAAUUUUAUAAUAAACAGCAUACAUAGGCUUCAAAUUUUAAGUUUAAAAUAUGGGAUAAUAGUUUACUAUAGACCCAUCCAUGGGCCCUUGACCAGAGUCGGGUGUAUAUAGAUAAAGGUUUUUAUAAUUUGGGUCGGUCCAACUCAAAUUUAAUUUAAAUAAAAAAAUUAUUUUUAAAAUUUAAAUUUAAUUAUAAAAAUAUGCUUCUUUUUUUUUUUUUGAACAUUGAAACGAACUGUUUAGGUAGAUCGAGUUGGGUUGAAAAUGGGUUUGGACUUGAAAAUUUUAGAUUUUUUUAAGAGAAUAAUAAUAUCAAGGAGUCUAGUAAUUAAAAAUUUUAUAUUAAAUUUUUACUGUUUGAAAUCUUCUAAUAACAUAAAAAAAAAUUUAAACCAAAGUUUUUAAAAGAAUUUAGGGUAAACUACACCAUUAGUCACUCAAAAAAGGGUCAAUUUUCAUUUUGAUCACUUAACUAAAAUAAGAUACAAUUUAGUCACUAAUGUUUCUAGAAAAAAAUUUUGGUCACCCGACUAUUAAGUGGCGCUUACUUUAGCUGGUAUGAUAACAAUUUUUGUCACAUCCCAAAAACCAAGUUCGUAGAAAUUGGGUUUGUCAAACCAAGAGUGGUGACGUCCUAUUUUUGAGUUAAGAUUGUGAAAAUUAUGUUAAGUAAAUUGAUUUGGUUCAGUGGUUAAGUGCUUUGGAUGUGUUUAAGGUCUUGUGUUCAAAUCUUUUCCCUUAAAUUUUCAUUAUUUUUGUCCUAACUUUCAUCUCUGAACAUCUAGCUUAUAUAUUAUUUUUGCUCAAUUGAUAAUUAGAAUGAGUUUACUAGUUUAGUGGUAAGGCUUUAGUUUACUUAGAGGUCUUGUGUUUGAAUCUUAUGUGUGUAAAGUGAAAUUAUUUUUGUUUUUAAACUCUAAGAAUUUUUUUUAUAAGGAUAGCUAAUCAAAUUGAGUGUGGAAGUUUUCCAUUUUCCUACAAACUUUCCCCAAAAUUCGCCUCAUUCUGUCGUCCACUUCUUGCCACAUUGUUCACGUUUUCUUUUCCCUUUUCUUCUUCCAUCUACUGAUUUCUAUUUUCUUUUUGCUUUAGUAGUUUUGGAGCCUUCCUUUCUCAUCUUUGCUCUACUAUUUUCUUUUGUGUUAUUAUAUUGGUACGUUGUUGAAUCUCUGUAAUUCCUUCGGGUAAGUGUUGGUUAUUUGUUUUAUAUAAAUGUGGUGUUGGUUUAAUCUUUCAAGUGAUUGAUGGAUUCAAGUUUGAUCUUUGUAAUGUGUUGUUAGGAGAAGAUCGACAGACUCGUGAAUUGUCUCCAGCGGUUUAAGUGCGGGAAAGGGCUGUUGUUCUUGCAAGGGUAAGUGAUUAAAGUUUUCAACUUGAGGUUGAUUCGGUUGUUUAGGCUAAGUGUUUAGCAUUUGUGAUCGAAUUAGUAACUUGGAUUUAGCAUAUUACUAAUAAUUCUUACAUUCUAAAAUGUCGAUUUAGGUAUUGGAAUCCUCGUAUUGGUGUUAACAUCGAAAAUUGAGCAGGUGUGUAACGGAAAAAUCAAAAAAUAGCGAACGGCAAGAUGUCAAAAAACCCACUAUCGACGUCACACAGCCAUGUGCCAAGUUAUGUGGGUCAUACGGGCUGGGUUAUUUGGGCCAUGUGUGUCAGGCUGUGUGCCAGGCCGUGUGGGGCCAUUUUUCGUAAAAUUCUGUCAGGGUCAUUUUUGAAGUGCAAUUUAAAAUUAGUCACUUCUUAGGUUCUGAAAUGUGUUAUGUAUGCAUUCUGGAUACGAAAUUUGAUAUUUUGUUUCUGUUAAUGUGGUUUUUGAAAGCAUAUUAUUCAAUAUUGACAUUGUACGUGUAACAUUUGAGAGUAUGUCUAUGGUAUAAUUUAUGCUUCUGAUCUGUAAUUUGAGAAUCUAUUUAAGCAUGAUUCAUUUAUGUGCAUCUAAGUAUGUAAAAUGUUUUGAUAUGUGCAUUGGGGUGGUAUGAUGAUGUGAUGGAGGAGGUAUUUGGCAGUUUAACUGCAUACUAAUAUUUAUAAGCCAUCGUUGUCGAGCAACUCGAGAUAACUUAAUUUGUGGUUUAAUAUAACUUAAUUUGUGGUUUAACCUCAUAUCUAAUAUGGUGGAUUGAACUCAUUUAUUGAUUUUGGCAGAAUAUCGCAUUAUUUAUGGCAGCUUGACUAUGACUACGCUAUUCUAAAAAGUGAUAUACGCUCACUUAUUGGUGUGACGGAUGGAUGGGCUCUUAUAGUCCUAUUUGGUGUGUAUUGGUGGGAUGGAGAUGGUGUUUAGUGGAUAGGUGUAGGAUCUAUUUCUGUGUCUGUAUUUGCAUCUGUAUUUGUAUCGGCAUCUGAUUUUAUAUAUGAGAUUGCAUCUAUAUCUGAAAUUGAAAUUAUAUAUGUAAUUGAAUUGUCUCUAUUUAUGUAACUGUUACUGUAUUUGAGUCUAUUCUGCCUGUUUGGGUUGAGUUACACACUAAGCCUAUAAGCUCACCCAAGUUCUUUGGCUUUUCAGAUAAUCGGCAUACUAAGGACCAAACGACGUGCAGAAGCUCAUAUUGGGUUCUCAGUUAUUUAAGUAUGAUGGUUCAUGUUUUUAAAUUAUUUUGGACUUUCUAGAUUUUUUGGGGGGUUGUAAAUCUGUUUCUGUAUUUUGCUUUUACGUUUGGGUUUGCUUAGUUGAAUUUAGUAAUUAUUACUUAAAACUACAAAGUUUUGUGUUUUGCAAAUUAAGUCACGAUUUUCGAAAUUUAAUACUUUGAAAUUUCUGCUGCAAAAUAAAGUAAUCAUUUAAGUGUUUUUCUAUAAUAAAAUAAAUAGUUUUAACGAAUGUUUUCUUAAAAACUAGAAAGUGAUUUGCCAGAAUUAAUAUUGCCAAAACACACGAUUUCAAAUUCAAUUUCUAGGUUUUUAAAUAAGUUAAUGUAAUUCCUCCAAAUUUGGUCAUAACGUCUAGGUCGGGUUUGGGAUGUUACAAUUUUAGUCCUUAAUUUUUAUAUUUUUACCAAAUUGACCCUAAUUUUAUAUAAAAAUUAUAAAAAAACUCAAAAUCAUUUAUAAAAUAGAAAAAUGUACGUAAAAUUUUAGAAAAAGAAAAUCUUGAAUAUGUUGCUGAAGAACUAAAUUGUAUGAGAAAUAAAGAAAAGUAUCAUUCAAUAGAAUCCAAUAACAAACUAGGCACAUAAUACAAUAAAAAAGUUAGACCAUUACAUACUUCCUCAACGUUUCUCGAAACCAAAUUAGUAAUAUUAUCUAGUUGAGUUUCAUGCUCUUGAAGAACAUUUAGAACCGGCAUUACAAAGAUUUAUGAAAUCGACCCGGAUGUCAUUUUUUUUAGUCAAAAGAUUACAAAAUAUACCACAAAAUUUUUUUCAAAUUCAAUUCAAAAUUUAAUUAUAUUUAAAAUAUUUUUCAUAACCCAAUUUGUAAAAACAAAUUAUGUUUCUUCUUCCAUGGUCGAGUUGGGCUUGGAAAAGGUUUUUAUGUCUUGACCCGUUACAACUUGAAUUCAAUUUAAAUAAUAAAAGAUAUUUUUAAAAUUUAAAUUUAAUUAAAAAUAUAAAAAUGUUUUUAAUAUUUUAUUAUUUUCUGAACUCUCAAAUGGACUUUUGGAGUGACCAAGCUAGGCUAAAAAUGGGUUAGGCUUGAAAAAAUUUUAGAUUAUUUAUAAGAGUAUAUCAAGGUGUCUAACAAUUACAAUUUUUUUUUGAAAGGUCUUAAUAACACUAGAAAUCUUAUCACACACAUAUGCAUGUGAAAAUCACGUAUUUAUAACACAGACUGUGUUUAAAAAUAACAUACAAUGAAUACUGAAAAGUAUAAUUUGGAACUAAUUAAUAAUAACACGUGAAAUAUGUAUGAUAUUAAAAUAAAAAUUAGAUUAAAUUGAGAGUAAAACAAAAUCUAAACACAAAAAUACAUCAUAUUAAGAAUACUAAAUGAAUACAAAUGUUUAUCAUUGUUUUGUCUUCAAUCCCGAGUUGGUGAUGCUAAAUCAAUAACAUUAUUUACAUACACAAAUAUAUAAAAACUUAGAACACAAAUGUUAUGACAUGUACAUUUCUGACAUUUGUUAAUUCUGCAUGUGCAUUAGGAUGAGAUUUGUGUUUACGGAGGAAGUGUGGGAGUUUAAUUCAUUUGCCUUAUUUGGUGGCUUAGCCACACAUAUUUCUGCAUUUGGCGAUGAAUCACCUAAUGAUCUGGCAGUUAGGCUGCGAAUACUUUGAAAAGUUUUAUAUCGACACUAAGUGGUGUGUAGGGUUUGAUGGUUAUUUAAUACCCUAUAUGGUGUGUAGGGAUGGUCGGAGAUGGUGCGUAACGGAUCGGAGUAGGAUUGUAAUCUACACCUGAUAUGUUCUGAUUCUGUUUCUGUAUAUGAUAUAUGUCUAAUUGACUUCCAAAAGCAUGUUUGAAAAUUAAAUCUAAUAUUUUAACUCUUAUAAGUUACACAUUGAGCUUGUAAGCUCACUCUCAGUUUCUCUUAUUCUUAGGCAAUCCUUAGAUUUAGGUGGGUAGGUGUGACUGGAGCUCGGUUAAUUAUCUUCUUGGUAUAUUUGUUAUUUUAAUUUGGUUUAUUCUAUGUUGGUUUUGAAUUGUUUUUGGACUGUUUUUAAGUUUAGGUUUAUUUUCAUUUUAUUUAUUUAUUUAAACGUUUUUGGUUGGUUUAAAUUUGAUCUACAAAAUGUUAAAUUACAUAGCAACAAACCGUGUUUUCAAAAUCGAACUCAACUAAAAAUUUUCGCUGCAAACGUAAGUGUUUUACGAGUAAAUAAUCGACAAAUUUAUCGAAAUGGCUAAGAAGGAUAUUUUCCCCAAAUAAACUCGGAUUUUACUUAAUAAGAGCUAGCAUUGUUUUAUAAGUCGAACGGAUUUUGGAUUUUCAAAUAAAUUGUAGUAACAUCUCCAGAUUUGGCCAUAACGUCUAGGCCGGGUUUGGGGUGUUAUAGAGCCUAUAAGCUCACCCAAUGUUUCUAACUUCUCAAUUAAUCAACAUAUUUAGGACCAGAUGACGUGCAGGAGAUCAGAUUGAGUUCUCAAUUAUUUAAGUAUGAUGGUUCAUGUUUUUAAAUUAUUCUGGACAUUCUAAUUUUUUUGGGGGUUGUAAAUCUUUUUCUGGAUUUUGCUUUGCUUAGUUGGAUUUAGUAAUUAUUACUUAAAACUACAAGAUUUUGUGUUUUACAAAUUAAGUCAUGGUUUUCAAAUUUUAGUACUCUAAAAUUUUCACUGCAAAAUAAAGUAAUCACUUAAGUGUUUUUCUAUAACAAAAUAAAUAGUUUUAAUGAUUAUUUUCUUAAAAAUUGAAAAGCGAUUUGCCAGAAUUAAUAUUGUCAAAACACACAAUUUCAAAUUUAUUUUUUGGGUUUUUAGACAAGUUAAUGUAAUUCCUCUAGAUUCGACCAUAAAGUAUAAACCAAGUUUGUGGCGUUACAAUUUUUGUCCUCAAUAUAUAUAUAUAUAUAUUGAUCAAUUUGACCCUGAUUUUAUAUAAAAAAAUUAAAAUCAUUUAUAAAAUAGAAAAAUGUAUAUAAAAUUCUAGAAAAAUAAAAUCUUGAAUAUGUUGUUGAAGAACUAAAAUGUAUGAGAAAUAAAGAAAAUAUCAUUCAAUAGAAUCCAAUAACAAUAAAGAAACAAAACGAAAUAAAAAAGUUCAGUUUCAUGCUCUUGAAGAACAUCUAGGAUUGAUAUUACAAAGACUUAUAAAAUCAACCCGGAUGUCUUUUUUUUCCUUGUCAAAAGAUUACAAAAUAUACCACAAUUUUUUUUCAAACUCAUUUCAAGUUUUAAUUAUAUUUAAAUUAUUUUUCAGAACCUAAAUUGUAAAAACAAAAUGUGUUUCUUCUUCCAUGGUUGAGUUGGGCUUAGACAAGGUUUUUAUGUCACGAGCUAUUUCAACUAGAAUUCAAUUUAAAUAAUAAAAAAUAUUUUUAAAUUUUAAAUUUAAUUAAGAAUAUAAAAAUGUUUUUUAAUAUUUUAUUAUUUUUUGAACUCUCAAAUAAACAUUUCUGGGUUGACUGAGCUGGGCUAAAAAUGGAUUAGGCUUGAAAAAAUUUUAGAUUAUUUUUAAGAGUAUAUCAAGAAGUCUAAUAAUUACAAUUUUUUAAAAAGGUUUUAAUAACACUAGAAAUCUUAUCACACGCAUAUGAGUGUGAAAAUCACGUAUUUAGAACACAUAUUUGUUGGUAAAAAGAACAUACAAUAAAUAAUGAAGAGUAUGAUUCGGAACUAAUUAAUAAUAACACAUGAAAUAUGUAUGAUAUUAAAAUAAAAAUUAGAUUAAAUUGAGAGUGAAACAAAAUUUAAACACAAAAACACAUGAAUAUUAAAUGAAUACAAAUGUUUAUCAUUGUUUUGUCUUCAAUACUGAGUUGGUGUCAUGUUCAUUUGUGACGCUAAAUCAAUGACAUGAUUUACAUAUACAAAUAUAUAAAAAUUUAGAACACAAAUAUAGUUAUUAAAGUUUCAAAUGAAAACAUUAUAACUAAUGUAAAUGAAAAAGCUUUAUAUGCAUGGUGUCCCCUAGUUCAAAUAUCAUUAUGGGUAAAUUUUUAUUGAUUUAUAAAAAAAUAUAAAAUGAUGAAAACACCCUCAUAAACAUAUAUCUUACUUUGUAAAUAAAAUAGUAUUUUUGGUAAAAUUUUUAAAAGAAUUUAGGGUAAAAUUCAACUAUGAUUAAGUUUUUAUUUUGGUCACUUAACUAAAAUAUGUUACAAUUUGAUCACUAAUGUUUUAGAAAUUAUUUUUUUUUUGACACCCAACUAUUAAGUGGCACUUGUUUUAGUUGGUAUAAUAAUAAUUCUAGUCAUCAGUUCUUAUAUUUUUUUGUCAAUUUGACUCUGAUUGUGUAUAAAAAAUUAUUAAAAAAGCUCAAAAUAUUUAUAGAAUAGAAAAAUGUAGAUAAGAUUUCUAGAAAAAUAAAAUCUUGAAGUUGUUGAAUAACUAAAUUGUAUGAAAAAUAAAGAAAAUUAUGAUUUAAUAAAAUACAAUAACAAAUUGAAAACAAAACAAAGUUACAUUUUGCACCUUAUACUUGUUCAUAAUAGCUAAUAUUCACAUAAUUUUUCAAUUCACAGCUAAACAUAUAGAUGAAAUAUUCAAGUACAAUUUACACAUAAUAUAAAACCAGAGAGUAAGUUUCAAAUUUAAUGUCACACCCUGAUACAACUCAUUGACUUGUAUAUUUAAUUUCAAGAUGUAUAUUCAAUACUGACAACUUCAACAAUGCAAAUCCUUUAGUAAUGGGGUGCCAAUAACUAUACCUAACGCAGCUCCUUUACUUGUCUAUUUAAUUUCAGGUUAUGCAUUCUGAUACCCUGCCAACUAUUAUUUUUAUUAAAUAUUAUUUAUUGCCAUCUUCAAUGAUUUUGUUUUGAUCUCCAAGGUCUACCACAACAUUUCAAGCAUCCUGUCAAGGUAAUUAAUUUUCUUUCAUUUGCUUAACUCAUCACAUGCUUUUCUUUGCUCGAUUCAUGACUUUGCAACGAUUCUUUCUGAUUAUCUGCUACUCUUAUCAGCUAGCUUUGUAAGACAGCCAAGGAAGAAGUGAACUUCACUGCUUCAUUUUCAGUUCUAUUCACUCAACACUUUUCAGCCACUAAGUCAGGUAAUAAGAUCUGAAGCUAUGGUUUCCUCUACUGAUUAUCAACAGUUUUAGAUUUUAAGAUAAGAUGAUCAGCAGACAUAAUCUACUCUAGAUUGAAAUUAAUACAGAAAGAGCUACCCAGAAGCAAUAUAAUGUUGAAAUCUCAAACUGUCAACAUCUUAACUCUUAAUAUUCUGUAAUGAACUGUUGCACACUUGAAUCUAGCAUUUUAUAUACAUCGAGAGCUUAAUUCUGGUGACCAGAAUUUCAUCAUGUUUCUGUCUGCCACCCAUCCAUAGCUCCAUCUAAUUAACGCCAUUGCUUGAAACUUGCAUUCAUGUUUUCCUUUUCAUGCUUACACUGACAUAUCAAUACUUCAUAAAAUAUCCAAUUCAUUCACAGAUUUUCAUUCUCUGCUACUGUUAUAUUUGAUUGCAUUGCAGGGACAUAGCAAUGGAGUACGUAGAGCCUGUUGUCGGCAUUGCAAAUUGUCUCGGAACUCCUGUUUGUAAAUAUUUGCAAUAUCACAGAAAGCUGAACGAUUAUGUGAGAAACUUCAACAGGAUCAGAGAAGAAUUGAAUUGCAAAAUGGAAGAAAUAGAGCUGCAAUUGAAAGCAGAGCUUCUUCGUCCUCUGGGGAAGAUACCGAAGAAUGGAGUUGAAAUUUGGUUGAAAGCUGUGACAGAGAUGAUUGCGGAAGCACAGGAUGUUGAAAACAAAGCCAGUAACGGGAGAUAUCUCUGUCGUGCUUGCAACGGGAAGCUGGUUGAUGAAAAGACUCGAGAAAUGAAGGAAUUUCUUGAUAAAGCUCCUAAUGCCUCUGAAGGUCGUGCCAUGGAUGGUCCAAGUGCUGGGUUGCCACUGCCAACAUCAGAACUAGUUGGGGAGGAAGCUGCAAGAAAAGAGAUUUGGGCAUGUUUGAUGCAAGAGGAGGUAAAAGAGAUUGGGGUUUGGGGGAUGGGCGGUGUGGGUAAAACCACUAUCAUGAAGCACAUCCACAAUGAUCUUUUGAAAGAACAAAGAUUCGAAAGGGUAAUCUGGGUUACCAUAUCAAAGGAGUUCAAUGUCAUGAAGGUACAAGAUGAUAUUGCAGCUGCUUUGAAGUUGAACGAAGAUUGGCCUAGAGAAGGAGACAAGCUAAGACGAGCAGCAAUCUUGUCAGAAAUGCUGAAGAACGCAGGAAAGCAUGUUCUAAUCCUAGAUGAUAUGUGGGAUGAAUUCUCUCGAGAAGAAGUUGGGAUCCCCGAGCCGAGUGACAGCAAUGGCUGCAAGUUGGUGUUGACAACCCGUUCGGAGCAUGUCUGUAAGUUUAUGGGUUGUAAGGUGAUAAAAGUGAAGCCCCUUUCAGGACAACAGGCAUUGACACUAUUCUUGAGUAAAGUUGGUGUUGAAGUAAUGGUCAGCAUGCAGCAACCAAGACUGUCAAAGGCACUACAUGCAGAAGCUGCUGGUUCACCUAGUCAGCAAGCUGUUUAUGUUUCAUUUUGUAAUUUUAAGUUAGAGUAAUGUAACUUAGUUGCUUUAUAACUAUGUUAGGUUUAUGUUUAAUGUAAUUUUGAUGUUGACUGAGCUGAUAAAUCAGCUUUGUUUGUUUAUUCAAGCUAAUUAGCACAAGUUACUAUGUGUAUUAGUGGUAGUAGGUGAAGUUUAGGUCAACCUACUGUUUUGUCAAGAUUGUAAACUUGUUUUAUGUAUUGGCUUUGUGCCAUUUUUGGUUUGAUGAAUGAAUUCAAGAAGUUAUCAUCCAUAUGCUCUCCAUUUUUAGUUUUGCUUAAAAAUCCAUUUGAGUUUUCUGCUUUGUUUCUCCUACAAGUCACGAGACUUGCCAUACAAGCAUUCUGCUGAAGCUUGCUGCUGCUGCCUCUUGCUCCAACAAUUGGUAUCUAGAGCCACAUUCUUAGAGGACCUGUUGUAGUUCAGUAUCAAAACGAUGGCAUCAUCAGGUUUUUCACCAGCUUCACCACCUGUCUUCAAUGGAGAGGGCUUCAACAUUUGGGCAGUUAAGAUGAGGACUUACCUGCAGGCAUUCGACCUAUGGGAAGUUGUUAACUCAGAUACUGAGCCAGCACCUCUUCGAGCUAAUCCAACAGUUGCUCAAAUAAGGCAACACACUGAUGAAAGGACAAAAAGGCACAAGGCCAUGUCAUGCAUACAGAAUUGUGUGACAGAUGUGAUCUUUAUGAGGAUCAUGGCCUGUGAGACACCAAAGGAGGCUUGGGACAAGCUGAAAGAAGAAUUUCAGGGGACUGAGAAAACAAGGCAACAACAGCUGCUCAAUUUGAGAAGAGAUUUCGAAAAUCUCAAAAUGAAAGAGGAAGAAACAGUUAAGCAGUACUCAGACCAGAUUAUGGCUGUUGUAAACAGCAUAAGGCUCCUAGGAGAGCAAUUCAGUGAAGCUAGAAUGGUUGAGAAAGUCAUGUCCACUCUACCAGAGAGGUAUGAAGCUAAAAUUUCAUCCCUCGAAGACUCAAGGGACUUGACAACUAUCUCCUUAACUGAGCUAAUCAAUGCCUUGUAUGCACAAGAGCAAAGAAGAGCUAGCAGACAAGAGGAGCACCAGGAAGGGGCUUUUCAAGCCAAAGAAGCCUCGAGCAUCAAAACUCAUAAAGGCAAAAAGUUCUGGAAAAACAGGCCUAAGCCUGAUGCUGCUAGGAGCAGUGACCAACUCUGCAGACAUUGUAAAAGAGCUGGUCAUCCAGAAGAUAGAUGCUGGUUUAGACCAGAUGCAGUAUGCCAACACUGCAAGAAAAAAGGCCAUGUUGAAAAAGUUUGCAAGAAUAGAAGCAAACCAAGACAGAAUCAAUUUCAGCAACAAAAGGUGGAAGCUCGAGUAGCUGAAGAAAGCAGUGAUCAAGAAGAACAUGUUUUUGCUGUGUCAUGUGCAGGAAAUCAGAAGAAGGGUUCAAAGGGCUGGCUUCUAGACAGUGGGUGCACAAACCACAUGUCACCAGAUGCAACUAUCUUCAAAACCCUGGACAGAACCUGCAAAACCAAAGUAAAAAUUGGAAAUGGUCAGUUAAUCAAUGCUGAAGGAAGAGGAGAUGUGCUGAUUCAUACUUCUACAGGUGGCAAAAUCAUUUCAAAUGUACUUUUGGUACCUGAAAUCGAUAGGAACCUUCUCAGUAUAACUCAACUACUUGAGAAAGGUUACUCAGUUGUUUUCAAGGAGAAAGAAUGUCAAAUUUUUGAUCCAAGUGGAUCAAAUCUUAUAACAGUCACCAUGACUGAUAAAUGUUUUGAAGUAGACUGGCCAAAUGACUCACAUUCAGCCUGCAUAGCCUCCACUGAUGACUCGAGACUCUGGCAUCAGAGGCUUGGAAUGCAAACUACAAAUCCAUAGCCCGCAUGGUCAAUGAAGGUCUGGCAGAAAAUUUCAUUGAUUCAGUGAAGAAUGAUGAGCUUUGUGAGAUAUGUCAGCAAGGAAAAUUGGCAAGAUUGCCAUUUCCAACAAGCACAACAUGGAGAGCAUCAGAGAAGCUCCAGCUUGUGCAUACAGAUGUGUGUGGACCAAUGAAGACUGAGUCUCUCAAAGGAAGCAGGUACUUUAUUUUAUUUAUUGAUGACUUAACAAGAUACUGCUGGAUUUAUUUUCUAAAACAGAAAUCAGAAGUACCAUCUAUGUUCCUGAAGUAUAAGGCUGCUGUUGAAACUGAGUCUGGUUGCAAACUUAGAGCAAUGAGGUCAGAUAAUGGAACUGAGUACACCUCAGCUCAGUUCCAAGUCUACUGUGAAGAAGCAGGUAUCAAACACCAGUUGACUAAUGUGUAUACACCCCAACAGAAUGGGGUCAGUGAAAGGAAAAACAGAAGCUUGAUGAACAUGGCAAGAUGUCUUCUGUUUGAGAAGAAUUUGCCCAAAAGUCUGUGGGCUGAAGCUGUUAACACAUCAGUUUAUCUCCAAAACAGGCUCCCAACCAAGGCUCUGGCUGAGAAGACUCCAUUUGAAGCCUGGUUUGGGUUUAAGCCAUCACUGGCUCAUCUCAGAACCUUUGGUUGUCUGUGCUAUACUCAAGUUCCAGCUGAGAAGAGAAGCAAGCUAGAUAAAAGAGCUCAAGCAGGGAUCCUGAUCGGCUACAGCUUGGUUAAGAAGGGCUACAGAAUUCUAGAACCUGCUACAAACAAGAUAUUGGUUAGCAGGGAUGUUGUUUUCAAUGAAAAAGGACACUGGAAUUGGGAGAAGGCUGAACCAGAGGCAGUGGCUGAAGAUUUGGCAGUGGACCAAGUUGAAAAUGAUGAAAACACACCUGAAAUGGAUGUAGAUGAUGUUCCAAUCAGAGGCACUCGAUCACUGGCUGAUGUUUAUGAAAGAGCACAAGUGGCUACUGUUGAACCAAGUUGCUUUGAAGAAGCAGAAAACCAGGAGGACUGGAAGCAAGCCAUGAUUGAAGAAAUCAGAAUGAUUGAAAAGAAUCAGACCUGGAGUCUGGUUGAUAAACCAACAAACAGGAAAAUUAUUGGUGUCAAAUGGGUUUAUCGAGUAAAAAACAAUGCUGAUGGUAGCCUAAACAAGUUAAAGGCUAGAUUGGUUGUGAAAGGCUUCAGUCAAAGUUAUGGAUCAGACUACCUGGAAACCUUUGCACCAGUGGCCAGGCUAGACACUAUUAGACUGCUAGUUGCCUUAGCAGCACAAAAACAGUGGCUGAUACACCAACUUGAUGUAAAAUCAGCAUUUCUGAAUGGAUUCCUUGAAGAGGAGAUUUAUGUGGAGCAACCUCAAGGUUUCAAGGUGUCUGGCAAAGAAGAUAUGGUGUACAAGCUCAACAAAGCCUUGUAUGGCUUGAAACAGGCUCCAAGGGCCUGGUAUAGCAGAAUAGAUGGCUAUCUGACCAGUCAAGGAUUUGAAAGAAGUCUUAGCGAGCCAACUCUGUAUGUUAAAUCAACUAGUGCUGAAACUCAGCUCAUUGUCUCAAUAUAUGUCGAUGACCUACUGGUGACAGGAGGAGAUCAUGAGAUGCUAAGCAGUUUUAAAGUCAAAAUGCAACAGCACUUUGAAAUGUCAGACUUGGGAUUGAUGUCUUACUUCUUAGGCAUGGAAGUAACUCAAGCUAAGAAUGGGAUUUGGCUAAGUCAAAAGACCUUUGCUAUGAAGGUUCUCAACAAAUUCUCAAUGGAGAAUUGCAAAGCAACCAGCACACCAGUUGCUGUUGGAGAAAAACUCUCGAGCCAAGACAAGCAUGAAAAGGUUUGUGAAACAACCUAUCGAAGUCUAGUUGGAUGUUUGUUGUAUUUGACUGCUACUAGACCUGACAUAAUGUAUGCUGUGAGUCUACUCUCGAGGUUUAUGCAUUCUUCAAAUGAAAGUCAUUUUAGAGCUGCAAAAAGGGUUCUAAGAUACAUCAAAAGAACUUUGUCCUAUGGAAUGCAGUUUACCAAGGCUGAGAACUUGAGGCUAGUUGGAUAUUGUGACAGUGACUGGGCUGGUUCUUUGGAUGAUAUGAAGAGCACUACAGGUUAUGCAUUCAACAUAGGCUCUGCUAUGAUAUGCUGGAGCUCAAAGAAGCAAGGAGUAGUGGCUCAGUCGACUGCAGAAGCAGAAUAUGUGGCUGCUGCUGCAGCAGUCAAUCAAGCCAUAUGGCUUAGAAAAAUUUUGAAAGAUAUAAUCAUGAGCAAAAGGAAGCAACUGAGAUAAUGUGUGACAACCAAUCAGCAGUUGCUAUUGCAAAGAAUCCUGUUUUUCAUGGAAGGACCAAGCACUUCAACAUCAAACUUCAUGCAGUUCGGGAAAUGGAACAAGCUCAUGUUGUUAAGCUGAUACAUUGCAGUUCUGAAGAGCAAAUUGCUGAUAUUUUAACAAAAGCACUAAGUGUUUCCAAGUUUCAACACCUGAGAGCUAAUAUGGGAGUUUGCAACAUGCUAACCAAGGAGGAGUGUUGAAGUAAUGGUCAGCAUGCAGCAACCAAGACUGUCAAAGGCACUACAUGCAGAAGCUGCUGGUUCACCUAGUCAGCAAGCUGUUUAUGUUUCAUUUUGUAAUUUUAAGUUAGAGUAAUGUAACUUAGUUGCUUUAUAACUAUGUUAGGUUUAUGUUUGAUGUAAUUUUGAUGUUGACUGAGCUGAUAAAUCAGCUUUGUUUGUUUAUUCAAGCUAAUUAGCACAAGUUACUAUGUGUAUUAGUGGUAGUAGGUGAAGUUUAGGUCAACCUACUGUUUUGUCAAGAUUGUAAACUUGUUUUAUGUAUUGGCUUUGUGCCAUUUUUGGUUUGAUGAAUGAAUUCAAGAAGUUAUCAUCCAUAUGCUCUCCAUUUUUAGUUUUGCUUAAAAAUCCAUUUGAGUUUUCUGCUUUGUUUCUCCUACAAGUCACGAGACUUGCCAUACAAGCAUUCUGCUGAAGCUUGCUGCUGCUGCCUCUUGCUCCAACAGUUGGCCCGAACAUAGUGCAAAAUCAAACUUUAAUGCCAAUUUUGAGGCCCGUUGUUGAAGAAUGUGCGGGUCUACCUCUUACAAUUGUUGUCGUAGCUGGUACAUUGAAAGGAGAAGAGGACCCUCUUAUUUGGAAAAAUGCACUCAGGGAAUUGAAAGAGAGAAUAGGGAAAGUGAAAGAAGCGGAAGAUAAAGUGAUCGAGAGUUUGAAAGUUAGCUUCAAUCACUUAAAAGACGAGAAAAUGAAGCAUUGUUUCUUACAUUGCGCAUUAUAUCCUGAAGAUUUUCAAAUUUGGAAGUAUGGGCUAAUUGAGUGCUGGAUUGAAGAGGGAUUCAUAGAUGAUAUGGGUACAAGACAAGAAAUGAAAGAAAAGGGCCAUGUUAUUUUGAAGAAGUUAGAAGAGAAUUGCUUGUUGGAAAAUACUACCAAUGUAAAUGGUCAACCUUGCGUAAAGAUGCAUGAUGCAGUGAGAGAGAUGGCAUUGUCGAUCACAAGAAUGAAUCCUCGAUGUAUGAUACAAGCAGGUUUGCAAUUAGAAGAGUUACCAGAAAAGGAGCAAUGGAGUCCGGAUAUUGAGAAAGUGUCACUGAUGUAUAACUCCAUAUCAGAAAUUUCCAUAGAUGUGCUGCCCACAAAAUGUCAACUUCUCACAACCUUGUUAUUGCAGGAGAACCCUAUAAAGAAGAUCUCAAAUUCUUUCUUCAUAAACAUGCCUUGUCUUAGUGUUCUCAAUUUGUCCUCUACGAAGAUCAAAAGUUUACCAAAUUCCAUCUCUGAACUAAAGAACCUCACAACAUUGUUGCUUUCUGGCUGUUAUGAAUUAAGAGCUCUGCCAUGUCUUUCGAUGCUUCAAGAAUUGAAGAAGUUGGAUCUAAGUUGGACUAGAAUUGAGGAAGUACCAGAAGGCAUGGAUAUGCUGAUAAAGCUAAGAUAUCUUGAUGUUCAAGUGUUCACUCUGAAAGAGAUACCCGCUGGACUUUUACCAAAACUCGUUCACCUUCAGCACUUGGGUUUUCAUAAGGACAAUAAAAGAACCAGUCUAAAAGCAGAGGAGAUGGAACCAUUGAAGAAGUUGGAGAACUUAACCGGACAUUUCGAAGACGUCAGUGAAUUCAGUAAGUUCAUCUCCUCAAUGCAACAAAGUAAGAAAAAUCUCAUCAAGUACGAUUUACAGGUGGGCUCAUCUUUUAUGCGUGCUACAAGAGAUAAAACAGUAACAAUUGGAGGAUUCCAUGAUUGGGAAGGUGAGUUAAUUAUGCACCCAAUUGAAAUUCAACAGUUGAAUAUUUUAAAGUGCCACAAUUUAAGAAGCUUAGUCAAUGAUAAUUCUUCCUUCAAAAAUGCGAUUGGCUUGAGGGUUUGGUGGUGUGAAGGGAUAGAGUGUGUUGUUUCCCUGUCCUCUUUUGCCUCUUCUUCCGCUCAUCCAUUUCAGAGCCUCGAGAUGUUGGAUCUUAGUGAGCUACCAAAGUUGAGUGCCCUUAUUAUGAAAGAUGAAGGAAUUGGUCCAGCAACAACAUCAACAUUGGCUCCGUCUGCCGCCUUUUCCCAUCUUAAGGAAAUUACGAUAGACAGCUGCUCAAGUAUGAAGACGUUGCUUCCACAUUGGUUGCUUCCAAACCUCCAAAACCUGGAAGUAAUAUCAGUGUCACACUGUGAUAAGGUAGCAGAAAUAUUGGGAGCACCAACAUCAGAAGUUGAAGAAAAAGGGAGUGAUGCAUUAAUCAAAUUCCAUCUUCCUAAAUUGAGAAAGUUGAAAUUGUGGAGAUUACCAAAUUUGACGAGCAUAUGCAGCAAAAGUGGAGUGAUGGUUUGCGAUUCUCUCCAAGUUAUCCAAGUUGCUGGAGACUGUUAUAAACUGAAGAGAAUUCCUCCAUUUGUUCCCCUUGUUGGCAAUGGGCAGCCAUUUGCAUAUGCUCCACCUUCUCUUACCAUCAGGUCAUGGAAAGAAUGGUGGGAAUGGUUGGAGUGGGAUGACCAUCCAAACUUUAAAAAUGUUCUUCAACCCCUUUGGAAGGAUGGAAGGUAUGAACCAUUUAUAGCUUAGUUUAUUUUAUUUAAUUUAUAAAUCUAAUUUCUGAAUUUUAAAACCAUUUCAUGUUAUAUUUUAUUUUUGUUAUAAGAUGAUGCUGCCUCCAUUGCCGCCAAAGAAGUAGAAGAGAGUAGCAGCGCGGAGGAUGGUGCAAAAAAGGCGGGAAUAAAAGGAAUGAUGGAGCAUUGAGGAAUUGAGCAGCCACCAUAAUAAUUGACUCCUUUUCCAUUUUAAUAACAAAUUAUUUUAUUUGUAUUUUUAUAUAAAACAAUUAAAUUCAAAUAUUAUAUAAAAAAUCUUUAUAUGUUCUUAAUUGAAUUGAUGUAAUUCGUUAAUUGAAUUUUAAUAUUAUUUUCAUAAAAUAACAAAUAUUAUUUUGAGAAUAUUUUUAUUUUUUACAUAAAAUUUUAAAAUAUAUAUGUACAUGUUGAAAUUUAAAUCUAAAACAUCACAUUCUUUAAUACCUCAAUUCUAUUAUUUAAAAUUAUAGUACUCUUUACUUAUAUUGAUCUAUUGGCAUAAUCUUAAUUAGAUAUGUUUGUAUUGAUCGUAAAGUGAAAUUAUUUUUCUUAACAUUUAUAAUUGAUUAAUAUUAAAAUAUUUGAAAUUAAAAAUAAAUUACUAAAAUUAAUUUUAAAAAAAAUUAGAUUUAAAAUGGAAUUAAAAUAUAAUAUCAAAUUAUUACUACCUUUAUAGUAUAAUUUAUUGGAUAAACUACACCGUAGGUUAUUCUAAAACAAUAUUAUUUCUAUUUUGGUCACUUUAUUUUUUUAUCAAUUUAGUCACUUUAAUUAAAAUAAUUGCUUGAAUUAGACAUUGACAUGACAUUUUUUUUUACUUUUGACUAAAGCUAGGGAUUUUUCUAUUAGCCCAAAACAUUUGUUUUUGUUUAUUUGCAACCACAUAUCCUUGUCGCCACUCAUCCCCUGCUUUCCAUCUCUAUUGCUCCUCACUGCACCAUAAGAACUACGUUUCAUCACAAUGGUGUACAAAGAGUGUUGGUUGUGUUUUGACUAUCGUACAAAUUAGUGUAGAAAUACAAACGGCAAACUUCCAAGUGGAUACUAUUGGGAAACUAUAGGUGAAGUUGGAGUGAAAGACACAAGCCGUCAUGUAAGGACCUACGGCUAUCGUCGAAUCUUGCAUGGCGACUGGGGAUAUGACAGAUUUUUUAGUUCUGACGAGGAACUUGGAUCCGAUAUCCAGAGUCCAUUUCCACUUAUCGUUAUUGUAUAGCUCAGAUUUUUCGCCAAGAAUCUUCUUGGUUAGAACAUAGUCAAUAGCUAAGACAAGGUGAAAGAGAAGCAACAAGGAAGCUAAAAUGGUAACAAGCUUGGGAAAGGAUUGAGUAGAAACUGACUUCUUCAUGGACUCAGUAUGGGAUCCAGGAAGGGAAAAACUCAAUCUUUAAGAACAAAUGAAAAAAACCAAAGGAAUCCGCUUUCAAAUAAAUUUACCUUUGAGGCUUUGUUAGUGUUUUGGAUUAAUUAUAGAGAGGUUCCUAAUUUUAGUAAAAAGUAAAAAAAUGAAUGUCAUGUCAACAAUCAGUUAGUGGGUUAAUGCGAUAGUGACCAAUUCAAAUAAUUAGUAUAAUAAAAAAAUUUGCUCUUUAACUUUUAAAUAUUAUAUCAGUUUGGCAUAAUUUUAAAAAAAUAAUCUUCAAAAUUACAAAUGAUCUCUAUUUCAUCAUCAAAUUUUACCUACCUUUUCUGCUUCCCCACGGUCACUACUAUGGUUGCCUCCAUAUCCUCCUCCACCCUUCUUCAAACAAAAAAAAAAAAAAAAACUUCUCUUUUUUCUUAUUUGAACCUAAUUUAUCGUUAAAUAGUAGUAGAUAUAUUCUGUUUGUAUGAUUUCUGGGUUGACAUAUUCUUUUCAGCUGAAUGCUAAUAAUAACAAUAAUAUGAUGAAACAGUGGAGUAAUUUCUGAUGUGACGGCCUUCAUUUCGCUCACUAGUUGCAUGUUUAUUGUUCAUGCACUGAUUAAACAAGAUUUGAAAAGGCUAAAAGCAUGAGCAUGCAACACUGAAUUGUCAAAUACUCAAUAGUAUAAGAUUGAAAUGGUGUUAUUUUGCAGGAAGAAUGGGUGAUUGCAGAAUAAUACACAAAACAGGCGAGAAGAAAAAUGGGGUAGCUGCUGCGCAAGGACAAGGUUAUCUCUUGGAACUUUCUUCAAUAUCUUCAACAGCAAAGCAACAACUAAUUGCUUUCGUCCACUGCUUGAAAUCCCAAUUCCAUUGUUAGAAUCUCAAGCUCAAACUUCAGAGCAGGCUGCCCCUAACUCUUUUACAGAAAAUGACCUGAAAAAGCCUAAUAAACCCAGUUGUUUAUCCAACUAAUAAUGGGUUCCAACCCUCCUUUUCAGCCACUUCCACCUAGCACACUUGAUUUAUAAAUUUUGAAAUUUAGUUUUUUAAAAUUAUGAUCAAAUUGAUAUAUUAUAUCAAAGUUGAGAGAUAAAUUUAUUGUUAUAUCAAUUUUUUAACUGCCACAUCACCCUCCGAUUAGAGUUUUAAGGCACUUAACGAAAAUGGAUAAAAAAAACAAUCUUAAUUAGUUGAGUGACCAAAUUAAAAAUAAAUUAAUAGUUGGUGACCAAAAAGAAAAGGUACAAUAAUUAGAUGACCUGUGAUGUAGUUUACCCAUAUCUUUUUAAAAGCGUAUAAAUAUUUAUAAAUGUCAUCAUUCGUAUAGAAAUGUCACAAAUAUUAAAUCAUUAAAUUGCAUGUUUCAAAACAAAAUUAUUAAUUCAUUUUUUAAGAUUAGUAAUUAAUAGAAAUAGGAUCAAAAACAUCCAUACUAAACUUAACUAAACAGACUUACAAUUCGGUCACUCAUGUUUUCAGAAUUGUUUGUUUUCUUCACUCGACUGUUAAGUGACGCUUGUUUUAAUUGAUAUAAUAAUAAUAAUUAUAAUAAUAAUAAUGAUAAUUUUAGUUCUCAAUUUUUAUAUUUUUUAUCAAUUUGACCUUAAUUUUAUACAAAAAUUAUAAAAAAACCUCCAAAUUAUGUAUAAAAUAUAAAUUUUUAUAUAAAAAUUCUAGAAAAAUAAAAUCUUGAAUAUGUUGUUACAUAACUAAAUUGUAUAAGAAAUAAAGAAAAUCAGCAUUUAAUAGAAUCUAAUAAUAAAUUAAAAAUAAAAUAAAAAGUUAGAUCAUUACAUGCUUCAUCAAUGUUUCUCGAAAUCAAAUUAGUAAUAUUAUUAAGUUGAGUUUCAUGUCCUUAAAGAACAUCUAGAAUUGAUAUUGCAGAGGCUUAUGAAAUUGACCUUGAUGUCAUUUUUUUUUUUAGCCAAAAGCUAUUAUGUUUCAAACUCAAUUCAAUUUUUCGUUACAUUUAAAUUAUUUUUUGAAACUCAAAUUGUAAAACGAAAUCAUAUUCAAAAGUUUAUCUUCUCUUGUAAGGUAAAAAUUAUAUCAAGAAAUAGAAAAAGUAAAAAACAGAGAACAAAUAAAUCAGCUUAAUAUUUGUUUUCUAUGUUUGUUUUUAAAGAACGAGUAUUGGAUAUUUCGAUAUACAUAAUAUAGAGAAUUUCUGUAGGGUUUAAAAACAAUUAUCCCUCAUUUUCUCACACUUUAUUUAAUUUUGAAAAUUUUAGCUACUUUUAUUUAAUUUUUAAUUUUAUAAUGUUCUAAAAUUUUAAAAAUAAUUUAUUUUUUUACCAUUUUAUAUAUUAUCAAGAUUAAAAUGAUUGAAAAUAUAAAAGUUAAGAACUAAAAUUGUUAUUAUACUAAUUUAAAAAGUACCACUCAACCAUAUAAGUGACAAAAAUUUUUUUUUUUAAAAGCAACUUAAAUUCAAUGAUAUAACUUAUCGAGAAAUUUAUAUAUACUUAAAUAUUUAUAUAAAAAAUUAAAUAGAUUUAUUCACAUCUUACUAAUGUCCAUAUGUAAGAAAUUGUCCAAAAUUGAAUACUGACAACUUCAAGAACGCAAAUAAUUUAGUAAUGGGGUGCGAAUAACUAUACCUAAUGCAACUCCUUUACUUGUAUAUUUAAUUUCAAGUUGUAACUUAUAACUAUGCAUUCUUAUACCCUGCCGUCCCAACUAUUAUUUUUAUUAAAUAUUAUUCAUUGCCAACUUCAAUGAUUUUGUUUUGAUGUCCAACGUCUAUCACCAUAUUUCAAGCUCAUUUUCUUUCAUUUGCUUAAUCCAUCACAUGCUUUUCUUUGCUUGAUUCAUGACUUUGCAAUGAUUCUUUCUGAUUAUCUGCUACUCUUAGCAGCUAACUUUGUAAGACAGUCAAGGAAGAAGUGAACUUCACUGCUUCAUCUUCAGUUCUAUUCUCUCAACACCUUUCAGCCACUAAGUCAGGUAAUAAGAUCUGAAGCUAUGGUUUCCUCUACUGUUUAUCAACAGUUUUAGAUUUUAAGACAAGAUGAUCAGCAGACAUAAUCUACUCUAGAUUGAAAUUAAUACAGAAAGAGCUACCCAGAAGCAAUAUAAUGUUGAAAUCCCAUACUGUUAACAUUUUCACUCUUAAUAUUCUGUAAUGAACUGUUGCACACUUGAAUCUAGCAUUUUAUAUACAUCGACAGCUUAAUUCUAUCAGUCACCCAUCUAUAGCUCCAUCUAAUAAACGCCAUUGCUUGAAACUUGCAUUCAUGCUUACACUGACAUAACAAAAAGCCAAUACAUUCACAGAUUUUCAUUAUCUGCUACUGUUAUAUAUGAUUGCGUUGCAGGGACAUAGCAAUGGAGUACGUAGAGCCCGUUCUUGGCAUUUCAAAUUGUCUUGGAACUCCUGCUUGUAAAUACUUGCAAUAUCACAGAAAGCUCAACGAUUAUGUGAGAAACUUCAAGAGGAUGAGAGAUGAGUUGAAUUGCAAAAUGGAAGAUAUACAGCUGCAAUUGAAAGCAGAGCUUCUUCGUCCGCUGGGCAAGAUACCGAAGAAGGGAGUUGAAAAUUGGUUGAAAGCUGUGAAAGAGAUGAUUAGGGAAGCACAAGUUGUUGAAAACAAAGUCAGUAACGGGAGAUAUCUCUGUCGUGCUUGCAACGGGAAGCUAGUUGACGAAAAGACUCGAGAGAUGAAGGAAUUUCUUGAUAACGCUCCUAAUGCCUCUGAAGGUCUUGCCAUGGAUGGUCCAAGUGCUGGGUUGCCACUGCCAACAUCAGAACUAGUUGGAGAAGAAGCUGUCAGAAAUGAGAUUUGGGCAUGUUUGAUGCAGGAGGAGGUGAGCAAGAUUGGGGUUUGGGGAUAGGCGGUGUGGGUAAAACCACUAUCGUGAAGCACAUCCACAAUGAUCUUUUGAAACAACAAAGAUUCGAAAGGGUAAUCUGGGUUACCAUAUCAAAGGAGUUCAACGUAAUGAAGGUACAAGAUAAUAUUGCAAGUGCGUUGGAGUCAAAGGAGUAUUUAGACAAAGAAGAGGACAAGCUCAGACGAGCUGCAAUCUUGUCAGAAAUGCUGAAGAACGCAGGAAAGCAUGUUCUAAUCCUAGAUGAUGUGUGGGAUAAAGUCUCUCUAGAGGAAGUUGGGAUUCCUGAGCCGAGUGGCAGCAGUGGCUGCAAGUUGGUGUUGACAGCCCGUUCGGAGCAUGUCUGUAAGUAUAUGGGUUGUAAGGUGAUAAAAGUGAAGCCCCUUUCAGAAGAAGAGGCAUUGAUACUAUUCUUGAAUAAAGUUGGACCUAACAUAGUUCAAAGUCCAACUAUAAUGCCUACUUUGAAGCUUGUUGUCAAGGAAUGUGCGGGUCUACCUCUUACAAUUGUCGUGGUAGCUGGUACCAUGAAAGGAGAAGAUAACCCUCGUAUUUGGAAAAAUGCACUCGGGGAAUUGAAAGAGAGAAUAGGGAAAGUGGAAGGAGUGGAAGCUGAGGUAAUCGAGCGCUUGAAAUUUAGCUUUGAUCACUUAAAAGACGAGAAAGUGAAAUAUUGUUUCUUACAUUGCGCAUUAUAUCCCGAAGAUUUUGGAAUUGAAAAGGAUGAACUAAUUGAGUGCUGGAUUGAGGAGGGAUUUAUAGAUUAUAUGGGUACAAGACAAGAAAUGAAAGACAAGGGCCAUGUUAUUUUGAAGAAGUUAGAAGAUAAUUGCUUGUUGGAAAAUGAUACCUCUCAAUUUGGUUUACAUGUUAUAAAGAUGCAUGAUGCAGUGAGAGACAUGGCAUUGUCGAUCACAAGAAUGAAUCCUCGAUAUAUGAUACAAGCAGGUUUGCUAUUAGAAGAGUUACCAGAAAAGGAGCAAUGGAGUCCGGAUAUUGAGAAAGUGUCACUUAUGUAUAACUCCAUAUCAGAAAUUUCCAUAGAUGUGCUGCCCACAAAAUGUCAACAGCUCACAACCUUGUUAUUGCAGCAUAACCCUAUAAAGAAGAUCUCAAUUUCUUUCUUCACAAACAUGCCUUGUCUUAGUGUUCUUAAUUUGUCCUUUACGAUGAUAAAAAGUUUACCAAAUUCCAUCUAUGAACUAAAGAACCUCACAACAUUGUUGCUUCAUGGCUGUUAUGGAUUAAGAGAUCUGCUGUGUCUUUCGAUGCUUCAAGAAUUGAAGAAGUUGGAUCUUUCUGAGACUGGAAUUGAGGAAGUCCUGAAGGGAUGGAUAUGCUGAUAAAGCUAAGAUAUCUUGAUGUUCGAGUGUUCACUCUGAAAGAGAUACCCGCUGGACUUUUACCAAAACUCGUUCACCUUCAGCACUUGGGUUUUCAUAAGAGCAAUAAAAGAACAUGUCUAAAAGCAGAGGAGAUGGAACCAUUGAAGAAGUUGGAGUGCUUAACUGGACAUUUCGAAGACAUCAGUGAAUUGAAUAAGUUCAUCUCCUCAAUGCAACAAAGUAAGAAAAAUCUUAUCGAGUACUAUUUAGUGGUGGGCCCAUAUAAUAUGGGUCGUGGAAGGGAGAAAACAGUAACAAUUGGAGGAGUCCAGAACUGGGAAGGCGAGUUAAUUAUGCACCCAAUUGAAAUUCAAGAGUUGAAUAUUGUAAGGUGCGACUAUUUGAGAAACUUAGUCGAUGAUAAUUCUUCCUUCAAAAAUGCGAUUUACUUGAGCAUUUUUUAUUGUAAAGGGAUAGAGUGUGUUGUUUCCUUGUCCUCUUUUGCCUCUUCUUCUGCUCAUCCAUUUCAGAGCCUCGAGAAGUUGGAUCUUCUACAUCUUCCAAAGUUGAGUGCCUUUAUUAUGAAAGAUGCAGGAAUUGGUUCAGCAACAACAUCAACAUUGGCUCCGUCUGCCACCUUUUCCCAUCUUAAGGAAAUUAGGAUAGUGAACUGCUCAAGUAUGAAGACGUUGCUUCCACAUUGGUUGCUUCCAAACCUCCAAAACCUGGAAGAAAUAUUAGUGGAUAUUUGUGAUGAGUUAGUAGAAAUAUUGGGAGCAGCAACAUCAGAAGUUGAAGAAAAAGGGAGUGAUGCAUUAAUCAAAUUCCAUCUUCCCAAAUUGAGAAAGUUGUCAUUCAGGGAAUUACUAAAUUUGGAGAGCAUUUGCAGCAAAAGUGGAGUGAUGGUUUGCGAUUCUCUCCAACUUAUCCAAGUUGAUGAAGAGUGUGAUAAACUGAAGAGAAUUCCUCCAUUUGUUCCCCUUGUUGGCAAUAGGCAGCCAUUUGCAUAUGCUCCACCUUCUCUUACUAUCAGUUCAAGCACAGAGUGGUGGGAAUCGUUGGAGUGGGAUGACCAUCCAAACUUUAAAAAUGUUCUUCGCUUCAACCCCCUUGUGGAGGAUAAGAGGUAUGAACCAUUUAUGGUUUAGUUUAUUUUUUGAUUUUGAUAAAUCUAAUUUCUCCAUAUUAAUGAAAUUUGAUUUAUAUUAGUGAUGAUGUUGAAGAGAAAGAUAAAAGGGUUGGUGGGAAAGAAGGAUAGUGCAAAAGAGAGGAGAAAAGGAAUGAUGGAAGGAAGAGGUUAAGAGGCAAAGGUAAAUAAAAGAUCAAACAGCCUCCACUUUUUAAACAAUUUCCCUCUCUUACCAUUCCUUCUAUUCUCUUAUUCUUCUCUAAAUAUUUAUUAUUAAAAUAUUUAUAUUAAUCAAAAUGAUUUAAGGUGAGACAAAACUACGAUCAUAGUUUUAUUUCCAAUAAAAGUUAGGAAAGUAUUGUAAAAAGACAUAAUAUUUUUUUAUUUCCAUGUAAAAUUUCUGGAAACAUUAAGAUUUAAAAAAUAAUAAGUGCUUGUUUUUUUUAAAACUUAGUAUUUAUAAAAAAAAUAUAAUUGGAUUCAUUCAUAUGUAAACGUAACAUAUUUCUAAAAUUAAAUAAUAUUUUAAAUUAUGAGGACUAAAUGAGAAAAUUAAAAAGGUGAAAUCCCUUUUAAAAUAAAUUAAAAACAUUAAGGGGAUUAUGUUGCAAAUAACCCCUCCACAUUUCCCAUAUAUAAAAGAAAAUUUCCUUUUCUUUUAAUUUGAUUUGGUGUGGUGGUUAAGUGGCAUGAAUGUUUGCUUCAGGUCUUGGGUUCAAUUUUUUUUUUAAUUUUUCCUAUUUAUUUUGGUAUUAUGUUCAAUUUGAGCCUUAGGGCCUAUCUCUUAUUUUCAAUGAUGAGUCUACUGAUUCAGUGGUAAGACUUUAGUUUAUCAUCAAUUUAAAUUCUAUAAAAUCUGGUAAGUGGGAUUUGGAUUAACUUAAUUUUUUUUAUUUUUUUAUUUUAAUUUAAUUUUACAAAAUAUCUAUUUUCACUCAUUGUUUCAACCGUCCACACUAUCACCCCACUUUGUAUGCUACUUCCUUUUGUUUCCCUAUCUUCCUUCUUUCUCCUCUUUGAUUAUUCCUGAAUACUGCCGUUUAUUUUGUGAGUUCUGUCACUUGGAUCGUAUUCUAUUUGCAGUGUAAGUUUCAUUUGGUUACUUUUGUUGUCUUUCCAUUAAUAGUCUAGUUUUGUUUCGUUUCUUGAACAAGUUGAGUUUGUGUUGGUAUUUUCUAUUCGUUAUCAUGAUUAGUAUUUUUGUGGUUCUCGAUUAGGCGAAAUGUGUGAGAAUCCUAACCCUCCAGCAAAGUAGACACAAUUUUCAACGUUGUUUCGGAGAACUAAGUAUUUGAAUUCUAUUUUAGGGGUUGAAAUUUUGAUUCAAUGAUGUUAUUAUGGAUAAUUAUUGUUAGUUAAUCCGUAUGGUUUGAUGAACGUUUAUAGGAUUCGUGAGUUCCAAUUGAGCUGUUGAUCAAAUCAGCAAUAGGUGUGUGAAUUUAACUCGAAAACUCAAUGAAAGCUCGAGAAAAUUGCGAAACAAGGGUUGUUUUCGAAACUGUCCAACGCCACAUGGCCAUGUGGUAGGACGUGUGGAGCACACAGUCGUGUGAAUUUACACAGCUUGUGUCCGUAGGCUAUGUGAACGACACGAGCUAGCUUUUUGAGCUGUGUGAGCCACAUGACUAUGUGGGCAUUUUGGUCAAUUUUCAGCCCCAAUUAGGGGGCGGAUUAAAGGAUUCAAAUAUUGGGUCCAUGGGCAUCAUAUAAGCCCAAAAAAAUGUAAGUUUUAGCACGUAUAUAUACAUGGCUAAGCUUUGGAGGUAUGUUAAGUAGGUGGUAUAUAAAUCAUAUGCUAUGUUAUGUUCCUUAUAAAAAUAUGUGUAUGCAUGUCAUACGACUUAUGAUAAAUGUUUUUAUGAUAUUAUAAUUAUGAUUAUGCCUAUGUUUUGGGCUAGGUUAUGAUAUGAUGGAGGAAGUGUUAUAUGAUAGAUUUUAUCGCAACUAUGGCAGCUAGACUAUAAAAUUUCUAUCUAACAGCUCAGUUGCAUAUUUAUGAGUGACAUACCACCACAUAUUGGUAUGAUUGGAUGGAUGGACUCUUGUAGUCCUAAUUGGUGAUAUUGCUUGGACGGAGAUGGUAUGUAGCAAUUGGGGGUAUGAUAUGAUAUGAUAUGGGAUAUGAUAAAAUAAGACAAGAUAUGAAACAUGCUAUAACAUGAUAUAAAAACCGAUAUGAUAUAAGAUAUGCUUCGAUUUGCUAUGAUACAUUCUGAUAUAUAUAUAUAUAUACUACAAUGUGUAGGUCAAAUCACGCACUGGAUGUUAAGCUCACACGUCUGCUUAUUUUGUUUCAGGUGAUCUUCAGACCUAGGAUUAGAAUAUGACUCUAGAGCUCGUAUUUUACUCUUUCGGUUUAAGUAUGCAUUGGACUCUCUUUUGUUUAUAUGGACUUUUUGGACUUUUGGAUAUUUUAAAUUUAUUUGGAAUGCUAAAAAUUAUUUUGCAUUUAUUUUUCAAAUGUUUUAACUUUUACCGAUACUUAAAUCAAGACAACUAAAAAUAAACCAUAGUUAUAAGGUAAAUUUGCUAUAAUGCUUUCUGCUGCAUGUUUUAAGGUCAAUUUGCUAUAAUGCUGUCCGUUGCAAGUUUUAUUGAAAUUGGCUAAGAUGUUUUAUCUCACAAACAAAAUAAGUAAAUUAAAUACAUUUUGGUAAAAUUAACAAAUAUGGAUUUCUUCAAUGUACUCACGGGUUUUCAAAAAUGGUACAUCUUCAACGGGUUAAUCAAACUUGUUUUCUUUUGAGUUAAAUAGUUUUUGCCAAAAUGAAGUAAUAUUGUUUUCACGCACAAUGUAAUCUCCUCAAUCUGACUAUAACAUCUAGGCCAUGUUUGGGAUGUUAGAAUUAGAGUUUUAGAAAAUAAUUACUUUUUCUUUUACAAGUUAAUGUCAUUGUAGGGUUUGAUGGGUUAUCUUCAACUUUAACAGUUAAGCUUCCAAAGUCGAUGAUCGUAUUUAAAUAUGUAAAAAAAUCUUUAUAUUUAAAAGAUAUUCUUAUAAGAAAACAAACAUGUUAUAUAUGAUUGUUGCAUGCAAUUAUAUUAUUUUAUGAUUCGGUUUAUAUAUGAUUGUUGUCAUGACAUUUAAGCAUUUAAUUAAUAUUUUAAAGUUUUCAAAAAUAAUAAAUAUAUUUUUAAUAAUUUUAAUUUUUAAAAAAUAAGUUAUAUAUAUUUUUUAAACCUUAAAAUAUUUUUAAAAAACUAAUGUAUCAUCCAUAACAAAUCAUACAUAAUUAACACAUAUUGGGGCAUGGGAAAGCUUUUAAAAAAUUGAACUCAAAUAGUCCUCUACAUGGUUCAUCAAGGCAUGGCAAGUAAGUGAUCGUUUAUUGAAAGAAAUCCGUUUAUAGCAAUUGGGCCUGGGAAGCAAACAGGAGAAGUCCACUAGCAACAAACAAACCAAAGUAAAUCAAAAACAAAACAAAUUGGAAAAACAAAACAGCAAAAAGGGAAAAUUAAAACAGAAAUCGACAAACACCGUCUUCUCCAUCCAACAAGUCCCCAGGCACUGUGUGACUCCACCAAACCCCAAUGAAAUAAACGGUAAAGAUCUUCCAAAUCCGACAACAACCGGAAAAGAAAGCAGUUGAGAAUUGCCAUCUUGUAUAAGUAUUUCUCAACUCCAUCACUGAAAUAGAAAAAAAAAGGUUAUGGAGGUUGCCCACACCGACGAUCAGAGUCGGCCACUUCCAGAGCUUUCAAAGGCGCAUCUUCCAUCCAGAAUGAAUCCCCUUCUACUCGCAUACCCUCAACAGCCGAUGCAUGCGCUGCUCCACUCCCUUCUCUCGCAAUGAACUGGAAUCGACAGCAUUGGAACUUUCUGGCCAGGUUCUUCGCAUCCCAGGUAAAUGGUCUAGUCUCCGAGUAAUCCUCGCUUAAUUUUUGAAUAUUAUUUACCACCAGUCUCGAAUCACUCUCAAGAAUCACCUUUGAAAAACCCUUAUCCAGGGCGAAAUGGAGCCCAUGCAAGUAAGUGAUAGUUGAAGCAACUUGUUUCAUGAUUGCCUGUAUUUCUCUCAUAAUUUUGUUGUCACUCUGUACCCGUGGCACACUGCAAAAUCUCCUACAUUUCAAAUAAACUGAUGUCUAGUAAAACAUUAAAGCAGAAGAGGAUGAACUAUAUAUUACCCUCAGUAUUUGUUUCAAUGCUAAAAUUCCACCUCUCCUCUCCAACACCUCAUUGGUAGCCUUACUCAUCAUAACUAACACCACCCAUUCUUUUUCCAAUACAUUUCCAGAAUGUGAGGAAUGCCCUACACUUUUGUUUCUACAUUAUUAGGAAAAAUUGUAAUAUAUACCUGAACUUGAGUUGUCAUAUUCUAAUAUUUCUUUGCUCAAUAUUUACUUGAUUGUAUACAUUAGAUUUGCACCCGAAGCAAUAGUUUUAGAACACUUACAGUAAUAGUUUUAGUCUUUCAACUUCAUCAACUAAUCUUUCAAAGUUAUGUGUAUCGAUUGCGGUCGUAAACCAACUAAAAAUCUGAUUAAGGUAAAUGUACUUAUCAAUUAUUAGUAUAGUUACGAUGAGCAAAGAUAUCGUUCCCACGAGAGCUAAAAGUGUUAGUAAUUAUUGUCUUUCUAUUAUUUAACCAAGAAAUUGGAGUGAUUGAUUAAAAAUAAAAUUAACUAAAUUAAUUAACUAAAGAACACGACAAAGAACAAAUCAUAAAAAUAAACGAUUAAAAACCAAAAAGCGAGACAAUAUCCAGGAAAGAAUCUACCUAGACUUCAUAUGUCAUUAUCAAUCUAAAUCACGCAAUUUCUUCACUUACUACCUUGAUCUGUAGAAAUCCCUAAAUUAUGCUAAUAUCUCUCUUCAAGACUAAGAGCAACUGACUUUAGAUUGAUUAAUUAAAAUUUCUUUCUAAUUAAAAACCCUAUUAUCGCAUUAACUCGAUUUAUGGAUCAUUCUAUUAGAUUUGACUCUAAUCCGGUAGAUUUAUAUCGUCCUAUUUUUAGAAUUGCAUGCAACUCCACUAAAUUACGCUAGAUCUACUCUUAAACAGGUCUAUUCCUCCUUUAAUUUAAGCACAUAAAACAUGAAUCAAUAGUCUAAAAAUAUUAAACUAUGAAUUAAGUACACAUAAUUGAGAGCAAGAUUUAAGUAUUUAUUGCAUAAAAAUAGAAAUCAAAUAAUACAAUCCAUCCUAAAAACAGUAUAAUCACAAGAAAUAAAAAAACUCAUAAUAAACUUCAAAGAAAUCAAAAGGAGAACUUCAAUCUUGAUGGAAAUCUACUUCAAAGUCGGCUUUAAUAGUAUUUUUCGAGUUAUUUUCUUCAAUAUUAUAUGACAACUCACUCCCCUCCUCUUAUCUUUGUCAUAUAUAUCUUAGAAAACCUAAACAUUAUGAUUUUCUGCGUGUUUAGAGUGCAAUUUGCGAUUUGCACAUGGACUGGCAUAUGGUCGUGUGACAGCCCGUGUGGCUUACUCAGCCGUGUGUCCAGACCGUGUGCAAUGGCCCAACCCAUGUGGCUCCUGAAACUUGCUCCAAUUUUUCGAUUUUCGCUUAUUUUUCGCUCAUUUUGCUCUCAAAUGCUCUCCUAAGAAUAGAAAUAUGAAUUUAAAGUAUUAGGAGCAUAAAAUUCACCAUUAACACAUUUUCUUUGUACAUUUAGCAUAUAUUCAAACAUCGAGGCUCUGCUUUGCAGUUUAGGUUCAAAAAUAUGAACCCAUGUUUUCAAAGGUCUAAUUUUUCCAUGAACUGCCAAAAAUGAAAAAAAAAAAACAAAUGUUUAAAAAAAAAUGAAAGAAAAGAAAAUGAAAAUAUAGUUUAAUGAGACUUACAUAAAUGUUGGGAUUGAGAAAAUGAUUGUCUAAAGGGAAGCAGAAAUUUGGCCAUCCAAGCCAUCUUAUUCAGUUCAUCGAUGCAAGUUUCUCUGCUUAGCCACCGCUGCUCUCAAAAUGACGACGGACUAAUUAGUUUAACAACAAUACCAGUACGACGUCGUAAGGACGUAUCCUACGUGGCAGUCGUGUCAUCUAGCUAAGUCAAACUACGAAGCUACAGUUGGACUUUGAUUUCAGUUGGGUUUGGUUUCUUAGGUGGAGUUCUAUUUAAACUUGGGUUUUGUUUUCGGUUAAAUUACCCUAUUAGUUACUAAAUUAUAAGUUGCUUUUGUUUUGUUCACUUAACUAAAAAAAAGUUAAAAUUUUGUUACUGAAAUAUUCGAAUAUUUUCAUUUAAGCCACUAAAACAAGAUCUUUUUAAAUAAGAAAUAAAUAUUUUUUAUAGAGAAAUUUUAUAUAUAAAAAAUAAAAUACUUUAAUUUAAAAGGACAUUUUGUUUAAUCCUUUAAUAGCUUUUGGAGUGAUGAAAAGUCUAAUUUCACUUUGCACCUAAAAUGAUUUUUUUGGUAAUUUUCUUACCGAGUUGGGACUCAAUUGAUGGUUGACGCCAACUCAGUAAAAGGCUUUAACAUGGUAUAGAUAAAAAAAAGUUUUUAAUUAAAAUUUUUAAAAGAAUUUAGGGUAAACUAUACCAGUCAUUCAACUAUAGGCAAGUUUUCGUUUUAAUCACUUAACUAAAAAUAUUACUAUUUUGAUCACUAAUGCUUUCAAAAUUGUUUUUCUUUUCUGUCACCCAAUUGUUAAGUCAUACUUGUUUUAGUUGGUAUAAUAAUAGUUUUAGUUCUCAAUUUUUAUAUUUUCUGUUAAUUUGAUUCUGAUUUUGUAUAAAAUUAUAAAAAAAACUCACAAUUAUUUAUAAAAUAGAAAAAUGCAUAUAAAAAUUCUAGAAAAAUAAAAUCUUGAAUAUGUUGUUUCAUAACUAAAUCGUAUGAGAAAGAAAAAAAAUCAUCAUUCAAUAACAUCUGAUAACAAAUUAAAAUCAAAUCAAAACAAAAAAAAAAGGUAGAUUAUUAUAUGUUUCCUAAAUAUUUCUCGAAACCAAAUUAGUAGUAUUAUCAAGUUGAGUUUCAUGCCCUUGAAGAACAUCUAAAACUAAUAUUACAAAUACUUAUGAACUUGACCUUGAUGCCAUAUUUUUAGUUAAAAGAAUACAAAAUAUACCAUGAUUUUUCUUUUUCAAACUGAUCAAUUCAAAAUUUCAUUACAUUUUAAUUUUUUUUUCAAAACCCAAAUUGCAAAAUGAAAAUAUAUUCAGAAUUUUAUCUUUUCUUAUAAUGUAAAAAGCUAUGUCAAGUAAUUGAUGAGGUAAAAAAGCAUAGAACAAAUAAAUUUGCUUCAUAGUUUUUUCUAUGUUCGUUUUUUAAAGAAUGAGUAUUAAAUAUUUCAAUAUAGAUAAUAUAGAGAAAUUUUGUAGGGUUUAAAAAUAAUUAUCCCUAAUUUUCUCACUUUAUUUAUUUUUCAAAUUUUUAUUUUACUUUUUUUACUUUUAUAAUUUUCUAAAAUUUUAAAAAUAAUUUCAACUUUUAUCAUUUUAUAUAUUAUCAAAAUCAAAUUCACUGAAAGUAUAAAAAUUAAGGACUAAAAUUGUUAUUAAAUCAAUUAAAAAGUUCUACUUAACAGUUGAGUGACAAAAAAAUAAUAAUUUCAAAAACAUUAGCGGUGAAAUUGUAACUUUUUUUAAUUGAGUGACUGAAACAAAAAUUAGCAAUAGUUUAGUGACUAAUAGUGUAACUUUUUUUUUGGUAUAAUAAUAAUUUGAAUUUUGGCUAUUCCUAAAAAGGGUGAACAUCUGAUCAUAUUUAUUCACAUAUUACAAACAUCCAUAUGUAAGCAAUUCUCCCGAAUUAAAAUCAAAUUUUAAUAUCAACAACUUCAACAACUCAUAAAUAGGAAGAUAAUGUGUUUCAGUACACUUAAAACCACAUCUUUCUAUAUUGACAACAAUUACUAUGACAAUGAAGCUAAGACUCAAUUCACAAUAACUAUAUAUUUUUGUUAUACCUAAUUAAAGUCAUUUAUAUCAGUAUAUUAGACAUUCUUAUACCCUAGUUUCCCAUACUUUCCCAUUAUUAUCGUGAUGAUGAUGAUGAUGAUGAUGAUGUUACAAUUGAGCACCAAGGUCACUGUAAUACUUGUUAGUAUUGUCCAGAAUAAAUGGAAAGGACAUUUCCAUGGAAAUUAGACCUCAUAUCUAUCUUUCAAAUUUUGAGAGCAGAUUAAAGGUUUUAUUAUCAAGUAGAAAUGUCAGUAUGAAAAACCCCAAAUGCCAACUAAUAAUGGCAGACACCAAAGCUAAAAGCUAAAAGCUAAAAGCUUGGAACCCACCACUAAAGUGUAUGCCUCAUUAUUUUGCCUGUUUUUAUCUUCACUUUCUUCCUUUUUUGGCUUUUGUACCCACAACGUUCUUUCUUCUUCACUGUUUUUAUCAAGCAUCCAGUUAGGGUAAUUUCUUUCGCUCCCAAAUAUUUUUUUAAGUAUAAAAAAUUUAAAUUUAAAAAAUUACGAGCAUCAAAUUCACUAAUUUUCAUAACUGAUCAUCUAAAAACAUAUUAAGAAUAAGAUUAAAAUAUACUAUUUUUGUAACUUAUCGUACCCCUAAACCACAACUAAAAAGUUUAAUCUGAUAGUGGACCCUAGAGCUUAAAGGAGGCUAAAGAUGGUGGAAUCCAAGGUAGUGUGAAACAACAUGGUCUUGACCAUAACACUAAAAUUGCUUUAGCUUAAAUGAAAAUCAAAAUAUUUGUAUGUAUGAUAUCUCCAGUUUAAAUCUUAUUAUCGAUAAAUUUUUAUUGAUUUAUAAAAAGAUGAAAAAUAGCUUUGUAAUUAUAUAUCUUACUUUACAAAUAAAAUGUUUUUUGUUAGCAAUUUUCUUACUGCGUUUGGACUAACUGGUGGUUGACACUAUGUCAGUAAAAUGCCUAAUACAUAAUAUAGAUUAAAAAAAAGUUUUAGACUAAAAAUUUUAAAACAAUUUAAGGUAAAUUACACCAUUAGUCAUUCAACCAUGAGUAAGUUUUCGUUUUGAUCAUUUAACUAAAAAAAAAGUUACAAUUUAGUCACUAAUAUUUUUGAUAUUGUUUUUUUAUCACCUGAUUGUUAAGUGGCACUUGUUUUAAUUGGUAUAAUAAUAAUUUUACUCCUCUUUUUUAUAUUUUCUAUCAAUUUGACUAUGAUUUUGUAAAAAAUUAUAAAAAAUCAAAAUUUUAAAAAUAGAAAAAUGUUUAUAAAAAUUCUAGAAAAAUAAAAUCUUGAAUAUGUUGUUUCAUAACUAAAUUGUAUGAGAAAUAAAGCAAAUUACCAUUCAAUAAAAUCCAAUAACAAAUUAAAAACAAAACAACACUAAAAAAAGCUUCCUCUCAAUGUUUCUCGAAACCAAAUUAGUAAUAUUAUCAAGUUGAGUUUCAUGCCCUUGAAGAACAUCUAGAACUCGUAUUACCAAGGCUUAUGAAUGACCCUAAUGCCAUUUUUUUAGUCAAAAGAAUACAAAAUAUACAACAAAAUUUCCUUUUUCAAACUUAAUUCAAAUUUUCAAUUACAUUUAAAUUAUUUUUCAAAACUCAAAUUAUAAAAAUAAAUUAUAUUUAAAAAAAAUUUAUAACGUAAAAGCUAUGUCAAGAAACAGAGAACAAAUAAUUUUGCUUAAUGUUUUUUCUAUGUUUUUUACUAAAGAAUGGGUAUUGGAUAUUUCGAUACAGAUAAUAUAGAGAAAUUUUGUACGGCUUAAAAACAAUUAUCUCUCAUUUUCUCUCACUUUAUUUAUUUUUAAAAUUUUUAUCUACUUUUAUUUUUGAAAUUUUAAAAAUAAGUCAUUUACCAUGAUAACUACAAAAGUGAAGUUCAUAUAAGACAAAUGAAAGCACGAUUCAUCAAUAUACCAAGUAAAAAAAAGUUAAGUCAAGACUUAGAUUCAGUUCAAUGAUACCAUCCACAGUAUGACACUUAAAGGUAUCCAUCCACAAUAAAGGCACCCUUCCACCCAGGGGUGAAACUAGAAAACUUUUUUAGGGGAUGAAAUUAAAUUGUAAUUUAAAAAAAAUAUAUAAUUUUAUCAUUUUAGUAGCCUAUAUCUUUAUAAUUUUUAAAAUAUUAAAUAAAAUUUUUAUAUUUUUAAGGAGAGCAAAGUGCAAUUUUACCUUUACUUAUUUAAAAAUUUUAAGGGGCUAAGUAAAAAAUUUUCCAUUUUAAGGGGGGUCGGGGCCCCUGCCACCACCCAGGUUCGCCCUUGCUUUCACCAGGGGUUCAUUUUCAUUCCACUAAAUGUUCAUUGAUCGAAUGGUGGCUCGCCUUAUUACAUUAGUGUAACGCCCCAAAAUUUUAAUUUUGGGUAUUGUAAAUGUGUGACACAAAAUAUCUAUUUGCUUUAGUGGCUAUGUGUUUUGGGUGUGUUUGGGAGGUCCCAAGUUCAAGCCAGGACUUGGGCAAAUUUUGGUAUUUUUAUGAAUAAGUCUUAUCUUUGGUCAGUAGGCUUUUAAGUAAAAGUUGGCAAAUAAUUAACAAAAUGGGCUGUUAGUCUAGUGGAUAAGUGGAGUGAUGGUGUAAAGGAGGUCUUGUGUUUGAAUCUUGACAUGGGUAUUAUUUUUGCUCGUGAGUCCAGGAGAGUUUGAGAUGGACUAAAAAUCUGAGUAGUGGAUUUAGUGGGGAGUUUGAUGGAGAGAAAUAAAGGAUUGGGGUGGUUAUCAAAUAUUCUGUUCAUCUUAUUUUCUUUCCUUUUUUUUACUUUCCCCAAAAUCCCUCCACCCUUUUGUCGUUUUUCUCUUCAUUGCUGCUGAGUUUUUGCUCUCUUUCACCCUUUAUCUUCUUGAUAUUUCUUUUCCCACUCUACCUUGUGUCACUCCACGUUUUUCUGCGAUCGUUCGGUAAGUUUUAAAUAAGUGAUUUGUCUUCGUUUGUUAACUUUCUUCUAAAGUGUUUUGUUUAUGCCAAUUAAAGGAGGAUUCAAGGGCUCGUAAUCACCAAUCGGAGUCUUAGUUUGAGUGGGAAUUACUGUUCAUCGGUUGAAGGUAAGGUUUAGUCGCUUAUGGGUUAAAACCUCGAUACGAGUUCGAUUUGGGAUCACGUUAUGUGAGAUUAAAUUAGUGUUAUUUGUUCAAUUAUAGGCUUUGGAGUGCUCGGGGACUGUUUUAGCAUAAAAAAUUAGGUGUGUACUUGAAACACGGAAAAUGGGAUUCGGUGAAAAGCCAAAAUUGCUUGCUGUUUGAACAGCUGCAGUAGGCUAACUUUGAGAAAUCACCAUAAAUUGUAGAAAUCGAAUUAGAGGAUGAAAAAAGUGGAAUUAAAUCUUAUUGAGUCUAGUUUCUCAUAGAAGAAAUGGUGUAUGUAAUGGAAUUGUAAAUCGUGAGAUAUAAUAAGUCUUGUGAGACAAGGUCAGAAUGAAUUAGGGUUUCCCUGUUCUAACUUUGAAAAAUCAUAAAAAAUUGGAAAAAAAUAAUUAGGGGUUAAAAUUUACAUGUUUAAAUUACUAAUGAGUCUAUUUUCAAUAGAAACAAAAGUAAUAUUAUCCAAAUUUUGUACUAAGAGAUAAUUAAUUUUUAGCAAAGAAAGGUUGAAGCUGUCAAACAGCAAAACAGGGGUAAGAUUGAAGAUUUUACUGUACUUAUUGGCUGAACCAAAAAUUUUGAAAAUUUUAUGGUAAAAAGGUAUUUGAGUCUAGUUUCAAAGACAUCAAGUGGACCUUAAUUUGGAAUUCUGUAGCUCAAGAUAUAAAUAAUUUAGUAACAGUGACUCAAGUAGACAGCUUUGAAGGAACAUAUAAGUAAAUAGUGAAAACAUAUAUGAAUAUUUAGCUAGCACGUGUUACAUUAAAAAUGGAUCACGCGGCCAUGGCCAAUUUGGGCCGAAUGGGCCACACGAGCGUUUGGGCCCACACGGGUUGGCCACAUAGGCUUGUGAGCCCAAUUUUCUGAAAAUUUCUGUAAGGUUGCACGGGUCGCCCAAGUCGACUGUGGACCUAUUGUAGGGUCGGUAUGCUUUACUUAGACCCCUUUCUGUCUAAUUUCUAUAUCGAGCAUGACUUAUGAUAUCUGAAUGUAUGUACUAUUAAUUGCAUAAUGGCAUGACAUAUUUUACAUGAUUGCAUUGCAUCAGGGUGGGUUGAUGAUAUUUAGAGGAAGUGUCUGAAAGGUUAUUAAGCCUGUUAUCUGACAGCUCAGCUACAAUCUUCUGAUUAUGUGCCGCAUUUCGGUACAGCAUGGUGUGUAGGGAUGGGUGGGUUGAUUUAAUCCCCACAUGGUGUGUAGGGUUGGACGGAGAUGGUGUGUAGAGGCUGGUGGGUAAGAUUAUAAUUUACUGUAUCUGCAUUCUGUAUUUGAUAUGGGCCAAGGCCCUAAUGUAUUUCUGAGACUGUAUCUGAACGGACUAAGGCCGAAACUGAUUCUGUGAUGGGCCCAGGCCCCAGACUGUAUUUAACUGAAUGUUGUUGAAUAUCUGUAUGCAUGUUUUCUGUGUGGAUUACAUACUGAGUUUGCGAAAACUCACCCUUUUUCUAUUUAAUCUCUACAGGUAAUCCCCAAACUUGACGGGUCGCUACAACAGAGGACUCAAAGGUGGCCACACAUAAAUUUUAAACUGUUUUCCGUCAAUGUCUAGAGUUUAUUACUUAUUUUGGGUUUUUGAUGUAACUUUUGGACUAUGGACUGGUUGGCUUUAAAUUUGGGACUUUAUACUAUUUUUUUGGAUUUUUUUUAAACUGCAACUCAACAAAACACGGUUUUUCUAAAAAUUAAGGUUUUCGUAAAUAGAAAUGAUUUCCCUAAAUUAAUUGGUUACACAAGCUUCCGCUAAGAGACAAGUUUUAAAGCAAAUCAACUAAUACUUAUUUUUUCUAAAUUAAAUAAAAGCUAACUAACUAUAACGAUUUUAACUCGACAAUCUUGUCUUCAAAUCCCAUUCCAUGUGACCUCAUUAGAUCCGGCCAUAACGUCUAGGCCGGGUUUGGGGUGUUACAUUUAGCAUAAUCCUGAAUAGUUUCUAUUGCCUUUAAUGUGAACUUAAUUUCAAACGAUUGAUUUACCUUCAAGGUUAACCUAAUUUUAAAUACUCAAACGAUUGCAAUGCUUACAAUGCCAGCAAAAUUCUAAAUAUUUAUGAAUUACAACAAUUUUUGUAAUAAAAAAAUACAAGCAAAUUUUCCUAAAUCUAAUUUACCUGGUUUAAAACUCAAAGUUCCAGAUUUGAACAUGUAAGAUCUAAUAUUACAUCAGACCUUCGAAAAACAAAGACUGGUUUAAAUUAAAAAAAAAACUCUAGAUAAUGAUUUUUUUAAUUAAGAUGAGAGGAAGGAAUUAUCGGACAACAUAACAACACAAGUCAUUAACUUACUAGAACACUAUUAGUUAAUUAACAAUUUAGCUAUAGCUAGUUGGCUAUUAGGAUUUGUUAAAUUAGUGUCAUUAUACAUCUUUUAAAUUAAUGUUAUCUUACAUCUAUUAAAUAUUUAACUUUUUCCACUUUCCUCUUACUCUGAUUUUAACAUUUCAUUACCACUCUCCAAUAUUUAUACCUCUUCUUGCACUGGCAGCUGCAGGUUUUAAAGAUGCCAUAAAUAAGGAUUUCAUAGCUCAAGAACUUGACAAUGACAGGGAAGAUGACUAAGAAGAAGAAGGGGUUGCUAUGGGAAGAUAGGGUUCACUGAUGGGUUGUCACAGUCUUUUUCUCAAGUAAAGAAAUCCAAGCUCAGUUUAUCGGAUGCAUUUAACCGUAAUCAAAAGGGAGUCAUUGCAAACAUAAUCAGCUUAUGGUACCAAUCUUAAGAACCAAGACAUCGAGUUACUAUACUAUGAUGAAGGAUUUCAUAACAACGUCAGAGGGAAUCUAAGGGAUAACAUCUGAAGGAAAUUCAUAUUGUUAAACACAAAAUUUGAAAUUCAUGGCAGAUUAGGUAUCUGAUCAACUAAACAGCUAAAGAAAUUAAAAGCUUGGUAGAUUAUUAUGUUCCAAUGCUACAAAUUCAACUUUGGUUUCCUUACUUCAUUAGACAGUUUCAUUAUAGUUUGCCUAUGUGUAGAAAGCUUAGGAUACGACACAAAAUAUGCAUAACAUUCUAUCCAACAUCAGAAAGAUACAAAAAAAAAGUUCGUUAUCAAAUGAAACCAGGUGAAGUUGCCACACUUACAGAUCACUAAAAUUUUACAACAAUGAUGGAAAUGUCAUCCUUGUUGUUCCUCUCAACAGCUUCCUUAGUUAUGUGCUUUGUAGUAGAUCGAGCAUCCUUAAUGCCUUUGAUAGCAUCGACAGCUUCUUGGUAACGGACCAUUAAAUCUCAGGUUCAACAUGUAGGUUCAAUAAAAGAAAAAUGUGAUUAGAUAGGGCUUACCUUCCAUAAACCAUCACUAGCCAAUAUUAUAAGGACAGUAUCAUCGUCGGUUGUUUUAAUGCUCACAUCUGGCUCUGAAGUAAGAUGUUUCUUUAAACUCUUGUCAUUAAAUGCUCUCGCCACCCCAACUGACCAUCAACACGCACAACAUCCCCUGAAACAAAAACAAUAUCAGGAAAAGAUGGUGUAACCUUAAGUGUCAUCCUUAAAAGAUCAGGCACCCAUUACCUGGAAUCCAAUUUUUUUUACCCAUAUCAUGGUUUCAAACAGGUCAAUAGAAAAUUUUGUAAAACCUUAAAAAUAAUAACCUGUACCACACUAAGGUAUCUCUUGUUCUUAGUGCAAACCAAUUUUAGUUGAAAGAUUUUUAUUCAUAGGCAUGAUUAUACCUCGUAUUUAAACUAAGUUUAGGAAAAAAUAAAAUUGAAAGUGUAAAAAUAGAAUGUCGAUAAUGACAAUAUAUCGCAAAGAAAAGAAAAAGGAAAAAUAAAGAAUACACAGAUUUUUACGUGGAAACCCUUUCGAAAAAAACCACGGGCAGAGGAAAAGAAAAUUCACUAUGUCGAAUUCAAAUGAUUACAAGAGGAGUAGACUAGGUCUAUUUAUAGGCCUAUAAAAUCACAUUCUAAUAGAAGUGUAGUAAGAUUGAAACACCUUAUUCUAAUCAAUAUCAAAUAGAUGUAGUUUAAUAAGGUUUAAAAAACCUUAUUCUAAAACAAAAUAAAAGAAGUGUAGUUCUAUAUAGAUUUUACUUUUAUUUUAUUUUAUCACUGUAUUUUAUUUAUAAAAGGAUUCGGGUCACUCAAUUUUAAGAAUCUCCACCUUGACACGAAUUCUCAAUGAACAAGUUCUUCAUUACGAACUCUCAACGAACAAGUUCUCCACCUCUUCCAUAAAACCCCUUAAGGGUUUAACUUCAAUAAUGAACACAAACCAAGUCUAAGUAAUGCUCAAACUUGGUUAUAGGAAGUGACUUAGUCAUCAUAUCUGUAGGAUUUUCAUGAGUACUAAUUUUGCUCACAACAAUAUCACCACGAGCAAUAAUAUCACGAAUAAAAUGAUACCGAACAUCAAUGUGUUUUGUUCUCUCAUGAAACAUUUGAUCUUUUGUAAGAAAGAUGGCACUCUGACUAUCACAAAAUAUUGUAUUGAUUUGAAAGCCUUCAUUGAGUUCACUAAAUAGUCCCUUCAAUCAAAUGGCUUUUUUACAAGCCUCAGUAAUCGCCAUGUACUCAGCUUCAGUGGUAGAUAAAGCAACUGUAGUUUGCAAAGUGGCUUUCCAACUGAUUGCACAACUUCUCAUUGUAAAGACAUAACCUGUGAGAGAACUUCUUCUAUCAAGGUCUCUAGUAAAAUCAGCAUCAAAAUAUCCAAUGACUCAAUCUCUAGUUCUUCCAAACUGUAAGCAAACAUCAAUAGUACCUCGUAAGUAUCUUAAAAUCCACUGAACUACUUUCCAAUGUUCUUUACUGGGAUUCACCAUGUAUCUACUAACUGCACUAACUGUAUAUGAUAAAUCUAAACGUGAACAAACCAUAGCAUACAUGAGAGAUCCCACUGCACUAGAGUAUGAAACACGUGAUAUGUACUCAAUCUCAUCAUUUGAUUGUGGAGAUAAAGCCGAUGAAAGUCUGAAAUGGGCUGCUAAAGGAAUACUAAUAGGCUUAGCACUCUGCAUAUUGAACUUGCAAAGAACUUUCUCAAUGUACCAGUUCUGACUUAGGUACAAUUUACUUGCUUUUCAAUCUUUGAGAAUCUCCAUACCAAGUAUAUUCUUUGUUGGUCUCAAAUCUUUCACCUCAAAUUCUUUACUUAGUUGGGCUUUGACAUUUCUUAUCUCUCAUUUAUCUUUUACUGUUAUCAACAUGUCAUCAACAUAAAGGAGCAGAUACACAAAAGAACCACCACUGUUUUUCUUAAAAUAAACACAAUUGUCAAAGCUACUUCUUUUGAAAUCAUGAGAAGUCAUAAAGGAAUCAAACCUCUUGUACCACUGUCUUGGUAACUAUUUCAAGCUGUAAAGGGACUUUUUCAGCAAGCAAACAUAGUCCUCUUUUCUGAAACUGUAAAACCCUCUGGUUGUUGCAUGUAAAUAUCUUCUUCAAGUUCUCCAUGCAAAAAGGCAGUUCUUACAUCUAACUGUUCAAGCUCCAAAUCAUGCAUGGCCACAAUACCAAGCAAAGCUCGAAUCAAACUAUGCUUCACAACUGGGGAGAACACAUCUGUGAAGUCUAUUCUUGGAAUUUGACUGUAACGUUUGUAACAAGCCUUGGUUUAUAUCUGAGUUCUUCAACUCCUAGACUCCCUUCUUUCUUUUUAAACACCCAUUUACAACGAACAAUCUUUUUACCUUUAGGAAGUUUCACAAGAUCUCAUGUUUUGUUUUUAUUGAGUGAUUCCAUCUCCUCUUGCAUAGAAAACAUCCACUUUUCUGAGUCUUCACAGCUAGCUGCCUUAGAAUAAUUAGAUGGCUCUUGGUUUGCAUCUAUAUCUUCAGCCACAUUUAAAGCAUAAGCAACUAGAUCAGCCUCGACAUACUUCUUUGGAGGUUUAAUUUCUCUUCUAGUUUUGUUUUUGGCGAUAGAGUAUUGUGGUGAAGAAGCAAUUCUAUUCUGAAUUUUUGCACUGGCUUGAGGAGUCGACUCUUUUGUUGAUUCUAGAUUAAUCUGAUGCUCUACCUGCUUUUGAUUUCCUUUAUUAGAAGAGUUUUUAAGAGAUAAGUUAGGUAGCAUAGCAGUUUCAUCAAAAAUAACAUCUCUGCUAAUCACAACUUUUCUAUUUUCAGGAACACCAGCUUUAUAACCAAGAAAAACACAUUUAAUGGAUCUCGGUUUCAAUUUGACUCUGAUUUUGUAUAAAAUUAUUAAAAAAAACUAAAAAUUUUAAAAAUAGAAAAAUGUUUAUCAAAAUUCUACAAAAAUAAAAUCUUGAAUAUGUUGUUGAAUAACGAAAUUGUAUGAGAAAUAAAGCAAAUUACCAUUGAAUAAAAUCCGAUAACAAAUUAAAAACAGAACAAAACCAAAAAAAACUUCCUCAAUGUUUCUCGAAACCAAAUUAGUAAUAUUAUGAAAUUGAGUUUCGUGCCCUUGAUGAACAUCUAGAACUGAUAUUACCAAGGCUUAUGAAAUUGACCCUAAUGCCAUUUUUUUAGUCAAAAGAAUACAAGAAAUAUAACAAAAUUUCCUUUUUCAAACUUAAUUCAAUUUUUCAUUACAUUUAAAUUAUUUUUCAAAACUCAAAUUAUAAAAAUAAAUUAUAUUUAGAAAAAAUAUUUAUAGCGUAAAAGCUAUGUCAAGAAACAGAGAACAAAUAAUUUUGCUUAAUGUUUUUUCUACGUUUUUUUACUAAAGAAUGUGUAUUGGAUAUUUCGAUACAGAUAAUAUAGAGACAUUUGUAAUGCUUAAAAACAAUUUUCUCUCAUUUUCUCUCACUUUAUUUAUUUUUAAAAUUUUUAUCUAUUUUUAUUUAACUUUUUAUUUUAUAAUGUUCUAAAAUUUUAAAAAUAAUUUCAAUUUUUACCAUUUUAUAUAUUAUCAAGAUCAAAUUGACUGAAGUAUAAAAUUUGAGGAUUAAAAUUGUUAUUAUGUCAACUUAAAAAAGUGUCACUUAACAUUUGAGUGACAAAAAAAAACAAUUUCAAAAACAUUAGUGAUGAAAUUGUAACUUUUUUAAUUGAGUGACCAAAACAAAAAUACCCAUAGUUUAGAGUGGGGGUGAGCAAAAUUCGAUUCGACUCGAAAAAAUCAAAAAAAAAUUUGAAUUUCGAGUUAAACGAAUCGAGUUAUUCGAAUCAACUUGAAUUUUUUUUCAAAUUUCGAGUUAGCAUCGAGUUGCGGUUUCGAAUUCGAAAUACUCGAAUAACUCGAAUAAUUCGAAUAUCAAAACUCUAAUAUUUUAAUUUUUACCAAAUCCCAAAUCUUUUUUACUUUUCCCCCAAAACUUUUACUCCUUCCCACUUUCCCCCCAAAACUCUUCCAUUUACUUUUUCUCAAAAUUUUUCUCCCAAAAACCCUCAAAACCUUUUAUUUUCCCCCAAAAGUUUUACUCCCUCCCACUUUUCCCCUAAAACUUUUAUUCCCUUCCCAUCACACCUCCCACCUCUCAUCUACCCCACACCGUCCCCCCUCCAAUUUUUUUUAAUAUUUUCCCUCCAAAAUUUUAGUCCCCCCUAUUUACUUUCCCUCAAACUUUUAUUCCCCAAAACUUUUUAUUUUCCCCCUAAAUUUUUACUUCUCACCCUUUACUCUCAAAUAAAAAAUCAAAAUUAUCCAAAAAAAAAUCACUAAACAUAAAUAGUAAUAAUUUUAUUUAUAUCUACUAUUUAUAUUAUUAAAUUAAAUUUCACAUUUUAUAUUAUUUGUAUUAUUGAAUUGUUUUGUCAUAUUGAAUAUUUAUAUUAAAAUUGAAUUAUUAAUUAUGCCAUAAAAUAUUCGUGUUAAAAUUUUAUAUUGGUAUCAAUUUCACAUUUUAUUUUUAAAAUAACUUUUAUUAAAAAUAAUAUUUUUACAUUUAAUAUAUUUUUUAAUUCCAAAAUAUAUAGUGACAAGAAUCUGAAGAUAAUUGAAACAACAAAGCAAGCAAAGAAGCUAACCAGUAUAUAAAAAAUUAAUAAAUAAAUUAUGAGGUGAUAAAAGUUAAUAAAAAAUUUGAUUAAGGUGGACAAAUUUUAUUACGAUGGGUGACAGUGGUUACAAGGACCCAAAAUUAUUUUUUAAAAUUUAACUCGAACAAAUAUAUUUGAUUCGAUUCGAUUCGAUUCGAUUUGAUUUGAAUUCCAUCUCACUCGACUCGAUUUGAGAAAAUUUCAAAUCAAAUUAGGAUGAUAAAAUAUGAUUCGUCAACUCGAUUAACUUGAAAUUUUUUUAUUCAAUUCGAUUCGAUUCGAUCAAACGCUCACCCCUAGUUUAGUGACUAAUAGUAUAGCCUUUUUUUGGUAAAAUGAAAAUUUGACCCUGAUUUUGUAUAAUAAAAAACUCAAAAUUAUUUAUACAAUGGAAAAUUGUAUAUUAUUCAACAUAGGGAUUUUUUACCCAAAUCAUAUAAAAAAUAAUUAAUUAUAAAAAUAAGGCAUUUGGUACAAUGUUCUAUAACAAAAUAAAUAGUUUUAAUGAUUGUUUUCUUAAAAACUGAAAAGCGAUUUGCCAGAAUUAAUAUUGUCAAAACACACAAUUUCAAAUUUAUUUUUUGGGUUUUUAAACAAGUUAAUGUAAUUUCUCCAUAUUCGACCAUAACGUAUGAACUAGGUUUGUGGCAUUACAAUUUUUGUCCUCAAUUUAUAUAUAUAUAUAUUUAUCAAUAUGACCCUGAUUUUAUAUAAAGAAUUAAAAUCAUUUAUAAAAUAGAAAAAUGUAUAUAAAAUUCUAGAAAAAUAAAAUCUUGAAUAUGUUGUUGAAGAACUAAAAUAUGUGAGAAAUAAAGAAAAGUAUAAUUCAAUAGAAUCCAAAAAUAAAUUAGAAACAAAACGAAAUAAAAAAGUUCAGUUUCAUGCUCUUGAAGAACAUCUAGGAUUGAUAUUAGAGAGACUUAUAAAAUCUACCCGACUGUCAUUUAUUUUGUCAAAAGAUUACAAAAUAUGCCACAAUUUUUUUUUUCAAACUCAAUUCAAACUUUAAUUACAUUUAAAUUAUUUUUCAAAACCCAAAUUGUAAAAACAAAAUGUGUUUCUUCUUCCAUGGUUGAGUUGGGCUUGGACAAGAUUUUUAUGUCUUGAGCUGUUCCAACUUGAAUUCAAUUUAAAUAAUAAAAAAUAUUUUUAAAUUUAAAAUUUAAUUAAGAAUAUAAAAAUAUUUUUAAUAUUUUAUUAUUUUUUGAACUCUCAAAUGGACUUUUUAGGGUUGACUGAGCUUGGCUAAAAAUGGGUUAGGCUUGAAAAAAUUUUAGAUUAUUUUUAGGAGUAUAUCAAGGAGUCUAAUAAUUACAAUUUUUUAAAAGGUUUUAAUAACACUAGAAAUCUUAUCAUACGCAUAAGCAUGUGAAAAUCACAUAUUUAGGACACAUAUUUGUGUUUAAAAAGAACGUACAAUAAAUAAUGAAGAGUAUGAUUCGGAACUAAUUAAUAAUAACACAUGAAAUAUGUAUGAUAUUAAAAUAAAAAUUACAUUAAAUUGAGAGUGAAAUAAAAUUUAAACCAAAAACACAUGAAUAUUAAAUGAAAACAAAUGUUUAUCAUUGUUUUGUCUUCAAUACUGAGUUGGUGUCAUGUUCAUUUGUGACGCUAAAUCAAUGACAUUAUUUACAUAUACAAAUAUAUAAAAAUUUAGAACACAAAUAUACUUAUUAAAGUUUCAAAUGAAAACCUUAAAUUGUUUUAGUUAUAAUGUAAAUGAAAAAGCUUUAUAUGCAUGGUGUCCCCUUGUUCAAAUAUCAUUAAUAUGGGUAAAUUUUUAUUGAUUUAUAAAAAAAUAUAAAAGGAUGAAAACACCAUCAUAAACAUAUAUAUUACUUUGCAAAUAAAAUAGUUUUUUUUUGUAAUUUUCUUAUUGAGUUAGGACCCGAUUGAUGAGUGACACCAACUCAAUAAAAUAUUUAAUACAUAGUAUAGAUAAAACAAUUUUAAUCUAAAAUGUUUAAAAGAAUUUAGGGUAAAAUUCAACAAUGGGUAAGUUUUCAUUUUGGUCACUUAACUAAAAAAUGUUACAAUUUGAUCACUAAUAUUUUCGAAAUUAUUUUCUUUUUGUCACCCGACUGUUAAGUGGCACUUGUUUCAAUUGGUAUAAUAAUAAUUCUAGUCAUUAGUUUUUAUAUUUUCUGUCAAUUUGACUCUGAUUGUGUAUAAAAUAUUAUUAAAAUUAUUAGAUUUAAUUUCAAGUUGUAACAUAUGAUUAUGCAUUCUUAUACCCUGAUGUCCCAUACUUUCCGAUUAAUUAUUAGAUUUAAUAAUAAAUUUAGCCUUUAACGUUUGAUUAUUUUGUUAAAAUGGCCCUAAUUGUGUUUUUGAUUUUUAUUUUUUUUGCUAUCAACCUUUGUUCUUUUUUUUAAUCUUCUUUUUUUAAUAUAUUUAAUGAAAGUACUUUAAAAAAGUUGACCGCGAAAAUGUGAAAUUUCAUAUGUCAAAUAUUUUUAAUGAGAUAUAAUUUAUUAGUUAAAUAACCCUAUAAGAUAAUUACAUGUAGAAAAUAUUAAAAUAAAUAAUACAUUAAAUUGAAAAAAAUAAUUUAAAGAAAAUAAAUGUAAUUAUUUAAAAAAAACUAACUCAGUAGAAAAACUUCUCAGUAAACAAACAUACGAAAGAUUCAAAACUUUUGAAAGAAAAGAAAUAUUGAAACAAAGGUUGAUGGUAAAGAAAAGCUCAAAAGUAGAAUUAGUGAUCAAAUUUAUCAUUAAAUCUAAUUAUUAUUAUUAUUAUUAUUAUUAUUAUUUAAUGCCAAUUAUAAUGGGUGACAGCAAAGAAAAAAGUAAAAAAAGAUGGAUUUCUUACUCAUAUCCACAACAUUCGUCUUUUUAUACAUGUAAUUAUGCUUUCCCAUUAAUUAUUAAUUAUUUUCUCUUUCUUCUGCUUCUUCACAUAUUGCUAUCACAAUUUUGCUUAUUUCUGUUUUCACCUUCUUCUUCACUCUUUUUAAUUUCUUUUGAUCUCCAAGGUCUAUCACUAAUUUUCAAGCAUCCAGUCAAGGUAAUUUUCUGUCAUUUGCUUCAUUCAUGACUAUACAAUGAUUGUUUUUAUUAUCAGCUACUGUUAUAGCAGCUAGCUUUGUAAGAUAGUCAAGGUAAUAAGAUCUGAAGCAAUGAUUCCUCUACUGAUUAUCAAUUUUAAGACGUACAGGAUGAUCAGCAGACAUAGUCUACUAUAGAUACAAAUUAAUACGAAAAGAGCUACCCAGAAGCAAUAUAAUGUUGAAAUCUCAUGCUGUUGGAACAUUUUACCUCUUAAUAUUCUGUAAUGCUCUUGCACACUUGAAUCUAGCAUGUUAUAUAGUUUGAGAGGUUGAUUCUGGAUAUACAAUGGUGACCAGAAUUUCAUCAUGUUUCUGCCUGCUACCCAUCCAUAGCUCCAUCUAAUAGACGCCAUUGCUUGAAACUUGCAUUCAUGCUUACACUCACAUAUCACAACUUCAUAAAAAAUCCAAUACAUUCACAGAUUUUCAAUGAUUUUGUUUUGAUGUCCAAGGUCUAUCACAAAAUUUCAAGCAUCCUGUCAAGGUAAUUUUCUUUCAUUUGCUUAAUCCAUCACAUGCUUUUCUUUGCUUGAUUCAUGACUUUGCAAUGAUUGUUUCUGAUUAUCUGCUACUCUUAGCAGCUAGCUUUGUAAGACAGUCAAGGAAGAAGUCAACUUCACUGCUUCAUUUUCAGUUUUAUUCUCUCAACACUUUUCAGCCACUAAGUUAGGUAAUAAGAUCUGAAGCUAUGAUUUCCUCUACUGAUUAUCAACAGUUUUAGAUUUUAAGACAAGAUGAUCAGCAAACGUAAUCUACUCUAGAUUGAAAUUAAUACAGAAAGAGUACCCAGAAGCAACAUAAUGUUGAAAUCUCAUACUGUUAACAUUUUAACUCUUAAUAUUCUGUAAUGAACUGUUGCACACUUGAAUCUAGCAUUUUAUAUACAUUGAGAGCUUAAUUCUGGUGACCAUAAUUUCAUCAUGUUUCUGUCAGCCACCCAUCCAUAGCUCCAUCUAAUAAACGCCAUUGCUUGAAACUUGCAUUCAUGUUUUCCUUUUCAUGCUUACACUGACAUAUCAAUACUUCAUAAAAUAUCCAAUUCAUUCACAGAUUUUCAUUCUCUGCUACUGUUUUUUUAUGAUUGCAUUGCAGGGACAUAGCAAUGGAGUACGUAGAGCCUGUUGUCGGCAUUGCAAAUUGUCUCGGAACUCCUGUUUGUAAAUAUUUGCAAUAUCACAGAAAGCUGAACGAUUAUGUGAGAAACUUCAAGAGGAUCAGAGAUGAAUUGAAUUGCAAAAUGGAAGAUAUAGAGCUGCAAUUGAAAGCAGAGCUUCUUCGUCCUCUGGGGAAGAUACCCAAGCAGGGAGUUGAAAAUUGGUUGAAAGCUGUGAAAGAGAUGAUUAGGGAAGCACAAGUUGUUGAAAACAAAGUCAGUAACGGGAGAUAUCUCUGUCGUGCUUGCAACGGGAAGCUGGUUGAUGAAAAGACUCGAGAAAUGAAGGAAUUUCUUGAUAAAGCUCCUAAUGCCUCUGAAGCUCUUGCCAUGGAUGGUCCAAGUGCGGGGUUGCCACUGCCAACAUCAGAACUAGUUGGAGAGGAAGCUGUCAGAAAUGAGAUUUGGGCAUGUUUGAUGCAGGAGGAGCUGAGCAGGAUUGGGGUUUGGGGGAUGGGCGGUGUGGGUAAAACCACUAUUAUGAAGCACAUCCACAAUGAUCUUUUGAAAGAACAAAGAUUCGAAAGGGUAAUCUGGGUUACCAUUUCAAAGGAGUUCAAUGUAAUGAAGGUACAAGAUAAUAUUGCAAGUGCGUUGGAGUCGAAGGAAUAUCUAGACAAAGAAGAGGACAAGCUCAGACGAGCUGCAAUCUUGUCAGAAAUGCUGAAGAACGCAGGAAAGCAUGUUCUAAUCCUAGAUGAUGUGUGGCAUAAAGUCUCUCUAGAGGAAGUUGGGAUCCCUGAGCCUAGUGGCAGCAAUGGCUGCAAGUUGGUGUUGACAACCCGUUCGGAGCAUGUCUGUAAGUAUAUGGGUUGUAAGGUGAUAAAAGUGAAGCCCCUUUCAGAAGAAGAGGCAUUGAUACUAUUCUUGAAUAAAGUUGGACCUAACAUAGUUCAAAGUCCAACUAUAAUGCCUAUUUUGAAGCUUGUUGUCAAGGAAUGUGCGGGUCUACCUCUUACAAUUGUCGUGGUAGCUGGUACCAUGAAAGGAGAAGAUACCCCUCUUAUUUGGAAAAAUGCACUCGGGGAAUUAAAAGAGAGAAUAGGAAAAGUUGAAGGAGUGGAAGCUGAGGUAAUCGAGCGCUUGAAAUUUAGCUUCGAUCACUUAAAGGACGAGAAAGUGAAAUAUUCUUUCUUAAAUUGUGCAUUAUAUCCCGAAGAUUUUGGAAUUGAAAAGGAUGAACUAAUUGAGUGCUGGAUUGAGGAGGGAUUCAUAGAUGAUAUGGGUACAAGACAAGAAAUGAAAGACAAGGGCCAUGUUAUUUUGAAGAAGUUAGAAGAGAAUUGCUUGUUGGAAAAUAAUACCAAUGUACGUGUUCAACCUUGCAUAAAGAUGCAUGAUGCAGUGAGAGACAUGGCAUUGUUGUUGGAGCAAGAGGCAGCAGCAGCAAGCUUCAGCAGAAUGCUUGUUUUGCAAGUCUCGUGACUUGUAGGAGAAACAAAGCAGAAAACUCAAAUGGAUUUUAAGCAAAACUAAAAAAUGGAGAGCAUAUGGAUGAAAACUUGUUGAAUUCAUUCAUUGAAAAUUAAAAUGGCCCAAAGCCAAUACAUAAACAAGUUUACAAUCUUGACAAAACGGUAGGUUGACCUAAACUUCACCUACUACCACUAAUACACAUAGUAACUUGUGCUAAUUAGCUUGAACAAAUAAACAAAGCUGAUUUAUCAGCUCAAUCAACAUCAAAAUUACAUCAAGCAUAAACCUAACAUAGUUAUAAAGCAACUAAGUUACAUUACUCUAACUUAAAAUUACAAAAUGAAACAUAAACAGCUUGCUGACUAGGUGAACCAGCAGCUUCUGCAUGUAGUGCCUUUGACAGUCUUGGUUGCUGCAUGCUGAUCAUAACUUCAAUACUCCUCCUUGGUUAGCAUGUUGCAAACUCCCAUAUUAGUUCUCAGGCGUUGAAACUUGGAAACACUUAGUGCUUUUGUUAAAAUAUCAGCAAUUUGCUCUUCAGAACUGCAAUGUAUCAGCUUAACAACAUGAGCUUGUUCCAUUUCUCGAACUGCAUGAAGUUUGAUGUUGAAGUGCUUGGUCCUUCCAUGAAAAACAGGAUUCUUUGCAAUAGCAACUGCUGAUUGGUUGUCACACAUUAUCUCAGUUGCUUCCUUUUGCUCAUGAUUGAUAUCUUUCAAAAUUUUUCUAAGCCAUAUGGCUUGAUUGACUGCUGCAGCAGCAGCCACAUAUUCUGCUUCUGCAGUCGACUGAGCCACUACUCCCUGCUUCUUUGAGCUCCAGCAAAUCAUAGCAGAGCCUAUGUUGAAUGCAUAACCUGUAGUGCUCUUCAUGUCAUCCAAGGAACCAGCCCAAUCACUGUCACAAUAUCCAACUAGCUUCAAGUUCUCAGCCUUGGUAAACUGCAUUCCAUAGGACAAAGUUCCUUUGAUGUAUCUUAGAACCCUUUUUGCAGCUCUAAAAUGACUUUCAUUUGAACAAUGCAUAAACCUCGAGAGUAGACUCACAGCAUACAUUAUGUCAGGUCUAGUAGCAGUCAAAUACAACAAACAUCCAACUAGACUUCGAUAGGUUGUUUCACAAACCUUUUCAUGCUUGUCUUGGCUCGAGAGUUUUUCUCCAACAGCAACUGGUGUGCUGGUUGCUUUGCAAUUCUCCAUUGAGAAUUUGUUGAGAACCUUCAUAGCAAAGGUCUUUUGACUUAGCCAAAUCCCAUUCUUAGCUUGGGUUACUUCCAUGCCUAAGAAGUAAGACAUCAAUCCCAAGUCUGACAUUUCAAAGUGCUGUUGCAUUUUGACUUUAAAGCUGCUUAGCAUCUCAUGAUCUCCUCCUGUCACCAAUAGGUCAUCGACAUAUAUUGAGACAAUGAGCUGAGUUUCAGCACUAGUUGAUUUUACAUACAGAGUUGGCUCGCUAAGACUUCUUUCAAAUCCUUGACUGGUCAGAUAGCCAUCUAUUCUGCUAUACCAGGCCCUUGGAGCCUGUUUCAAGCCAUACAAGGCUUUGUUGAGCUUGUACACCAUUUCUUCCUUGCCAGACACCUUGAAACCUUGAGGUUGCUCCACAUAAAUCUCCUCUUCAAGGAAUCCAUUCAGAAAUGCUGAUUUUACAUCAAGUUGGUGUAUCAGCCACUGUUUUUGUGCUGCUAAGGCAACUAGCAGUCUGAUAGUGUCUAGCCUGGCCACUGGUGCAAAGGUUUCCAGGUAGUCUGAUCCAUACCUUUGACUGAAACCUUUCACAACCAAUCUAGCCUUUAACUUGUUUAGGCUACCAUCAGCAUUGUUCUUUACUCGAUAAACCCAUUUGACACCAAUAAUCUUCCUGUUUGUUGGUUUAUCAACCAGACUCCAGGUCUGAUUCUUUUCAAUCAUUCUGAUUUCUUCAAUCAUUGCUUGCUUCCAGUCCUCCUGGUUUUCUGCUUCUUCAAAGCAACUUGGUUCAAUAGUAGCCACUUGUGCUCUUUCAUAAACAUCAACCAGUGAUCGAGUGCCUCUGAUUGGAACAUCAUCUACAUCCAUUUCAGGUGUGUUUUCAUCAUUUUCAACUUGAUCCACUGCGAGAUCUUCAGCCACUGCCUCUGGUUCAGCCUUCUCCCAAUUCCAGUGUCCUUUUUCAUUGAAAACAACAUCCCUGCUAACCAAUAUCUUGUUUGUAGCAGGUUCUAGGAUUCUGUAGCCCUUCUUAACCAAGCUAUAGCCGAUCAGGAUGCCUGCUUGAGCUCUUUUAUCUAGCUUGCUUCUCUUCUCAGCUGGAACUUGUGUGUAGCACAGACAACCAAAGGUUCUGAGAUGAGCCAGUGAUGGCUUAAACCCAAACCAGGCUUCAAAUGGAGUCUUUUCAGCCAGAGCCUUGGUUGGGAGCCUGUUUUGGAGAUAGACUGCUGUGUUAACAGCUUCAGCCCACAGAGUUUUGGGCAAAUUCUUCUCAAACAGAAGACAUCUUGCCAUGUUCAUCAAGCUUCUGUUUUUCCUUUCACUGACCCCAUUCUGUUGGGGUGUAUACACAUUAGUCAACUGGUGUUUGAUACCUGCUUCUUCACAGUAGGCUUGGAACUGAGCUGAGGUGUACUCAGUUCCAUUAUCUGACCUCAUUGCUCUAAGUUUGCAACCAGACUCAGUUUCAACAGCAGCUUUAUACUUCAGGAACACAGAUGAAACUUCUGACUUCUGUUUUAAAAAAUAAAUCCAGCAGUAUCUUGUUAAGUCAUCAAUAAAUAAAAUAAAGUACCUGCUUCCUUUGAGAGACUCAGUCUUCAUUGGUCCACACACAUCUGUAUGCACAAGCUGAAGCUUCUCUGAUGCUCUCCAUGUUGUGCUUGCUGGAAAUGGCAAUCUUGCCAAUUUUCCUUGCUGACAUAUCUCACAAAGCUCAUCAUUCUUCACUGAAUCGAUGAAAUUUUCUGCCAGUCCUUCAUUGACCAUGCGGGCUAUGGAUUUGUAGUUUGCAUGUCCAAGCCUCUGGUGCCAGAGUCUCGAGUCAUCAGUGGAGGCUAUGCAGGCUGAAUGUGAGUCAUUUGGCCAGUCUACUUCAAAACAUUUAUCAGUCAUGGUGACUGUUAUGAGGUUUGAUCCACUUGGAUAAAAAAUUUGACAUUCUUUCUCCUUGAAAACAACUGAGUAACCUUUCUCAAGUAGUUGACUUAUACUGAGAAGGUUCCUAUCGAUUUCAGGUACCAAAAGUACAUUUGAAAUGAUUUUGCCACCUGUAGAGGUAUGAAUCAGCACAUCUCCUCUUCCUUCAGCAUUGAUUAACUGACCAUUUCCAAUUUUUACUUUGGUUUUGCAGGUUCUGUCCAGGGUUUUGAAGAUAGUUACAUCUGGUGACAUGUGGUUUGUGCACCCACUGUCUAGAAGCCAGCCCUUUGAACCCUUUUUGUGAUUUGCUGCACAUGACACAGCAAAAACAUGUUCUUCUUGAUCACUACUUUCUUCAGCUACUCGAGCUUCUACUUUUUGUUGCUGAAAUUGAUUCUGUCUUGGUUUGCUUCUAUUCUUGCAAACUUUUUCAGCAUGGCCCUUUUUCUUGCAGUGUUGGCAUACUGCAUCUGGUCUAAACCAGCAUCUAUCUUCUGGAUGACCAGCUCUUUUACAAUGUCUGCAGAGUUGGUCACUGCUCCUAGCAGCAUCAGGCUUAGGCCUGUUUUUCCAGAACUUUUUGCCUUUAUGAGUUUUGAUGCUCGAGGCUUCUUUGGCUUGAAAAGCCCCUUCCUGGUGCUCCUCUUGUCUGCUGGCUCUUCUUUGCUCUUGUGCAUACAAGGCAUUGAUUAGCUCAGUUAAGGAGAUAGUUGUCAAGUCCCUUGAGUCUUCGAGGGAUGAAAUUUUAGCUUCAUACCUCUCUGGUAGAGUGGACAUGACUUUCUCAACCAUUCUAGCUUCACUGAAUUGCUCUCCUAGGAGCCUUAUGCUGUUUACAACAGCCAUAAUCCGAUCUGAGUACUGCUUAACUGUUUCUUCCUCUUUCAUUUUGAGAUUUUCGAAAUCUCUUCUCAAGUUGAGCAGCUGUUGUUGCCUUGUUUUCUCAGUCCCCUGAAAUUCUUCUUUCAGCUUGUCCCAAGCCUCCUUUGGUGUUUCACAGGCCAUGAUCCUCAUAAAGAUCACAUCUGUCACACAAUUCUGUAUGCAUGACAUGGCCUUGUGCCUUUUUGUUCUUUCAUCAGUGUGUUGCCUUAUUUGAGCAACUGUUGGAUUUGCUCGAAGAGGUGCUGGCUCAGCAUCUGAGUUGACAACUUCCCAUAGGUCGAAUGCCUGCAGGUAAGUCCUCAUCUUAACUGCCCAAAUGUUGAAGCCCUCUCCAUUGAAGACAGGUGGUGAAGCUGGUGAAAAACCUGAUGAUGCCAUCGUUUUGAUGUUGAACUACAACAGGUCCUCUAAGAAUACGGCUCUAGAUACCAAUUGUUGGAGCAAGAGGCAGCAGCAGCAAGCUUCAGCAGAAUGCUUGUUUUGCAAGUCUCGUGACUUGUAGGAGAAACAAAGCAGAAAACUCAAAUGGAUUUUAAGCAAAACUAAAAAAUGGAGAGCAUAUGGAUGAAAACUUGUUGAAUUCAUUCAUUGAAAAUUAAAAUGGCCCAAAGCCAAUACAUAAACAAGUUUACAAUCUUGACAAAACGGUAGGUUGACCUAAACUUCACCUACUACCACUAAUACACAUAGUAACUUGUGCUAAUUAGCUUGAACAAAUAAACAAAGCUGAUUUAUCAGCUCAAUCAACAUCAAAAUUACAUCAAGCAUAAACCUAACAUAGUUAUAAAGCAACUAAGUUACAUUACUCUAACUUAAAAUUACAAAAUGAAACAUAAACAGCUUGCUGACUAGGUGAACCAGCAGCUUCUGCAUGUAGUGCCUUUGACAGUCUUGGUUGCUGCAUGCUGAUCAUAACUUCAAUAAUUGUCGAUCACAAGAAUGAAUCCUCGAUAUAUGAUACAAUCAGGUUUGCAAUUAAAAGAGUUACCAGAAAAGGAGCAAUGGAGUCCGAAUAUUGAGAAAGUGUCUCUUAUGUAUAACUCCAUAUCAGAAAUUUCCAUAGAUGUGCUGCCCCCAAAAUGUCAACUGCUCACAACCUUGUUAUUGCAGCAUAACCCCAUAAAGAAGAUCCCAUAUUAUUUCUUCACAAACAUGCCUUGUCUUAGUGUUCUCAAUUUGUCUUUUACAAAGAUUGAGAGUUUACCAAAUUCCAUCUCUGAACUAAAGAACCUCACAACAUUGUUGCUUCGUGGUUGUUCUGAAUUAAGAGAUCUACCAUGUCUUUCGAUGCUUCAAGAAUUGAAGAAGUUGGAUAUAAGUCGUACAAGAAUUGGGAAAGUACCUGAAGGCAUGGAUAUGCUGAUAAAGCUAAGACAUCUUGAUCUUAGUGUGUGGAAUGUGAAAGAGAUACCCGCUGGACUUUUACCAAAACUCGUUCACCUUCAGCACUUGAGUUUUGAUGUGUACAAUGAAAAAACAAGUCUAAAAGCAAAGGAGAUGGAACCAUUGAAGAAGUUGGAGUGCUUUACGGGACGUUUCGAAGACAUCAGUGAAUUCAAUAAGUUCAUCUCCUCAAUGCAACAAAGUAAGAAAAAUCUCAUCAAGUACUAUUUACAGGUGGGCUCAUAUUUUGUGGGUGCUACAAGAGAUAAAAAAGUAACAAUUGGAGGAGUCCAAAAUUGGGAAGAUGAGUUAAUUAUGCACCCAAUUAAAAUUCAAGAGUUGAAUAUUUUACAUUGCGACUAUUCGAUAAACUUAGUCGAUGAUAAUUCUUCCUUCAAAAAUGCGAUUGACUUGAGGGUUUGUAGGAUUUAUAAUUGUAAAGGGAUAGAGUGUGUUGUUUCCCUGUCCUCUUUUGCCUCUUCUUCCGCUCAUCCAUUUCAGAGCCUCGAGGUGUUGCAUCUUCGAUCUCUGCCAAAGUUGAGUGCCCUUAUUAUGAAAGAUGCAGGAAUUGGUUCAGCAACAACGUCAACGUUGGCUCCGUCUACCACCUUUUCCCAUCUUAAGGAAAUUGAUGUACGGGGAUGCUCAAGUAUGAAGACGUUGCUUCCACAUUGGUUGCUUCCAAACCUCCAAAACCUGGAAAAAAUAUAUGUGCGUGCUUGUAGUCAGCUAGUAGAAAUAUUGGGAGCAGAAACAUCAGAAGUUGAAGAAAAAGGGAGUGAUGCAUUAAUCAAAUUCCAUCUUCCCAAAUUGAUAGUGUUGGAAUUGAGCGAAUUACCAAAUUUGAAGAGCAUAUGCAGCAAAAGUGGAGUGAUGGUUUGUGAUUCUCUCCAAUUUAUGAAAGUUGAUGGAGAUUGUGAUAAACUGAGGAGAAUUCCUCCUUUUGUUCCCCUUGUUGGCAAUGGGCAGCCAUAUGCAUAUGCUCCACCUUCUCUUACCAUCUUCUCAAGCACAGAAUGGUGGGAAUCGUUGGAGUGGGAUGACCAUCCAAACUAUAAAAAUGUUCUUCGCUUCAACCCUACAUUGAGGAUAAGAGGUAUGAACCAUUUAUGGUUUUGUUUAUUUUUUUUAUUUUGAUAAAUCUAAUUUCUCCAUUUUAAUAAAAUUUCAGAUAAAUCUGGUAAUGUUGUUGAAGAGAAAGAUGAAAGGGUUGGUGGGAAAGAAGUAGGGGGGGGAGGAUAGUGCAAAAGAGAGGAGAAAAGGAAUGAUGGAAGGAAUGAUAGAGGCAAAGGUAAAUAAGAAAUCAAACUGCCUCCACUUUUUAUACAUUUUCCCUCUCUUACCAUUCCUUCUAUUCUCUUACCACUUUUUAUAUAUAUAUGUAUAUAUAUGUACUUCCCAAAAUAACCUUCUAAAUAUUUAUGAUUAAAAUAUUUAUAUUAAUCAAAAUGAUUUAAGGUGAGACAAAUCUUAUUUCCAAUAAAAGUUCGGAAAGUAAUGUAAAAAUACAUAAUAUUUUUUAAUUUCCAUGUAAAAUUUCUGGAAACAUUAAGAUUUAAAAAAUAAUAAUUGCUUGUUUUUUUAAAACAUAAUAUUUAUUAAAAAAUAUAAUUGGAUUCAUUCAUAUGUAAACGCAAGCAUAAAGAUUAAAACAAUAAUGUAAUUUCAUAAAAGUAUGAUAUUAGAAAUUAAAAGUGGAAAUUAAAUAAGAUGAAUUCCUUUUCUUGAGUAAUAUAAAAAUUGUAGGGAUAGUUAAUAAUAUUAACAUAUUUCUAAUAUUAAAUAAUAUUUUAAAUUAUGAGGACUAAAUGAGAAAAUUAAAAAGGUGAAAUCCCUUUUAAAAUAAAUUAAAAACAUUAAGGGUAUUAUGUUGCAAAUAACCCCUCCACGUUCCCAUAUAUAAAAGACAUUUUCCUUUUUCUUUUAAUUUGUGAUAAGUUGGAAAAUAAAAAAACAAAAAAAAAAAAAACUUAGUUUCCUUUUUUAUUCUUGUUUCAUUUUGUUGUCCGACUUUUUUUUUGAAGCUGAAGAUUUAAAGUUUUUUAGUAUUAAAUACCAAAAUAUCAUAGGUUCUCAAUAAUUAUGUAGUUUGUAAUGCCAGAAAGUUUACAUUUUUUAAAUAUCAUAGGGACACUAGCGUGUGUCCAGACUGUGUGUGACUAUGUUAGUGCAGGGUUCACACAGGCCAAGGACACGAACGUGUGUCCAGGUCGUGUAACUCACUAUUUACAAAAUAAGGAUCUCACGAACGGAUGACACAGCCGUGUGUUAGGCCAUGUGAGACACACGGGCAAGCAAACAGGAAUGUGUCAGGCUGUGUGGGGCUACACGGGUGUGUGGGCCAGUUUACGAAAUUUUUUCAUUUCCUGAACUUCGUUUGAAAUGAAUACAAGCCUUCUGUGAGGCUGUAUGAACUGAAUUAAAUUGUAUAAAUUGAUAUUCUAUGAUCUGAAAUUGAGUACUAAUAAUGUGCGUGUGUAUUGUAUAUGACCAAUGUUAAUAGUAUCGAUCUCCUGUAUUCAAGCAUGAAUUGUAUCUAAAUAUUCACAUUUGUAUUAACUGUCAUGUGAAGUCUGCAUAUGCAUUGGGUGGAAAUUGAGCAAGAAGGAUGUAUUCUGUUCUAACAUAAUGAUUAAAUCACUACCAUAUGUACUCUGAUCUAAUAGCUAGACUGCAAUUUCUGAAACGUGUUAGAUCGACCCUAUAUGGUGUGUAGGAUUGGAUGGGUUAUAAGUAUCCUAUUUCAUGUGUUAGGUUGGUUGGAGAUGGUGUGUAACGGCUGGGAUUAAGAAAAUUGCAUAUGUUCUGUUCUGUUCUGUAUCUGAUUAUAGUUUGAUUUGAUAUCUGUCUGUAUUGUUCUGAUCCGUAAAUUAAUGAGCUAUUUCCUAAGUCUAAAUCGGUAUUUGCACUUGGACAUCUACUGGUUUAAUCCACACUCUAUUGAAUAUGUAUAUAGUUGGUUUCUUUAUGAGAUAUUAAAUCAUUUUUUUGUUGAAUGAAUUAUAGGUAAAUCACAAGCUUAGAGAAGUCGGUGGAUGGGGAGCUCAGUUUCAUUGUUUUAAACUGUUUAGUAGUACUAGUAUUGUUAGUUGUUAUUCAUAUUUUCAAUUUACUUGGACGAUAAACCUCAAAUUUCUUACCUUGUUAGUUCUUUAAAUCUUAUAUGACUCUGAAGGAUUUUAAAGUUAAGUUAUGAAGUUGCUUUAUUAUUAUAGUUCGUUGUAACCCUCCAGGCUUGGUCUUGUCGUCUAGACCGGGUAUGGAGUGUUACAUUCCUUUAUAAUAUUUAGCAAUGCCAACAAUGUUAAAAUUGUAUUGGUAAAAAAAGUAAAUUUAAUUUUAUAAAUAGAUUUUCACAUAAACAUUAAACAUUUUUACUCUACAAAAAAAAUUAAUAUAAAAUAUUUAAAUAAAUACCCAUGAUGAAUACAUGCAUUGUACAAGUUAUAUAUCAACAUUUAACAUUUUAUCCAAAAAGUUAAUGAUACUAACUGUAUAGACUAUAUAUCUAAUAAUAUUACAAAAAUAUAGAGACUAAAUUAUGUUAGAAAUUAAAGUAUAAAGAUUAAAUCAUAAAUUUAGAUAUAAUAGAGGGAUCAAAACUUAAAAUCAUGAAAAAUUCCUUAACAAAAUCUUUCCAUUUAACAACCAAACAUCAUAAACCACCAUUAAACUUCAAAAAUCUACCAUCUUCAUCAAUGACUUCUUCCAAAUCAUUAACAAUUUAACAAAAAAAAAUCCUUGGAUUAGAUAGAUAGAGUUAAAAUGAUCCCAAAAACAUUAAAUUCAUGAAAAACAGAUUAAAAUAUUCUUACAUGCAUUAACCUUAAUGACUGAAAAUGCAAGCUACAAAUAGACUAUUCUUUUCUCUAUUUUCGGCAAGAACACCUAAAAAAGAUGAUAAUUUUCAUUAAUUUUUCUUUUAUGUUUUCUAUUCUUUAUUUUCAUAAGUACUUACUUAUCCUUGUAAUAUAACUAAACAAUGAACUAAACUUAGUCUAUAUUUGUCCACUAAAGUUCUAUAUGGUUUAAUUACCACAUAGAUCCAUCCACUCAAAUAAUACUAACCAUUUAAUACAGUUAACUAUGGGAACUAACUUUUUAAGUUUUUACAAUUUAAUCCUUUUUAAUUAAUUAACUAUCUAAACAAUAACCUUCUUAACUAAAAUUUAAUAGACACUAAUGACCUUGUAAAUACUAAAUUAACCUGAAAAAUGAGAAAACAAUUUAAUCCUUUUUAAAUUAAUUAACUAUUGGCCGGACCCUCGGGCUUUCAGAGAAAACAAAAAGUGGUUUUUUUUUUUUUGAGAAGUGAGAGAAAAUGAAAUUUUUUAAAAAAUUUUGGUUUAUAUAAGGCCUUACAAACGACGAUGAUAUAUAAGCUUGUGAAAGUUAAAGUGAACAGAUGAUGAUAUUUAUAAGUAAAUAUACACUUUGAUGAUGCUUGUUUAUGUGUAUGGUGCCAAAGAUUUGUUGCUUGAAUAGAAAUGAAGGCAUGUCUUUUACCUGUUAAGUUAAUUUUGGUUAUAUGAUGGGCCCUAUAAUGUGGAUAGUUGGGUGGAUAGUAAAAACAAACUGAAAUUAUUCAAAGUUUAAGUGGGAAACCAAAACAGAGUUUAACUGAGAGAAGAAAAAAAAACAAACUUGAUGAACACGUCACCACGUCGUGACGUAGCAUUCUUGUCAUCGUGACAGGGAGAUGUUACGUUGUUGAGAUGAAGGCUUUCUUCUUAUCAUGACAUUGGUUGUUUGUCGCGGCGUUGAGCUUUAUCUUGUUGGGACAUCACUUACUAUUUUGUUUGAAAUGUGAGGCAAACGCCAUAAAGUGUAUAGUGAUAUAGAGCCAUGGUUGUUUGAACCAAGAAUCAGUCAAGGUACUAGUUCGAAGUGAGGCAUCAGACCACUUCACCCGCGAAUCGGUGCAAACCUAUUGAACAAGAUUAAAGAAAACUAGUUUUUUUUUUUAUGAGUUUUUAAUGAUUUAUUUAAUUGAACAAUACAGACUAAUAGUUUACCGGUUCAACUACUUCUAAAAACCUUAGAAUAUAUUUUAAUCUUUAAAUUUUUACUCAAACACUAAUAAUAAAUUUUAAUCUUUAAAUUUAUUUUAUAAUUUAACAUAAAUAGAAAAUAACUCAACCGUACUAGCAUUAAAGAAAAAGGAAAUCCAUAGUGGUACGAGUCACGCAAAGGAAGGAACUGCCAACAUCCUUGAAGCUCUAUAAUUAUCAAAAUUGAAAAACAAAAUGCCAACAUCCUUUAAGCUUUUGCACUAGAAUCGAAAUUAAAAAAGAAAAAGGAACUGCCAACUUUCGUUAAGAACAAGUAGUUGAAACUCUUCGUUGACACCUGAAUAACCAAGGUUCAUCCCUUAUCGUACUCUCCUAUCAUAACGCGACAACAAACUUUGCAUUGUUUCUACUCAAAAGGGUGACAUCAAAAUAUAUUUUGUUGAAUUUGAAAAGGAAAAUUUAAGAACAGUGAAGUACAUCCAACUAUGAAAGACUAACGUUGAGAUUGACCUGGUGCUAAUUUGCACUCAGCAGAGCUCUUGCAUGUCCUUUAGAUAUCUGUAGCUGCUCUGUUAUGCCAAAAUGAGCCAUAAGAAGCCAAACAUGGGUUAGAAGCUCUCCACCCCUUCUCAGUUGAUUAGCAUGCUGAGUUCCCCCACAAUGACUUGCAGCAUAAGUUAGCAUCUCUAACCAAAUUUCUUUAAUCAUCUCCCAUUUUACCUUUUUGUCUGAUAUGCCUUCAAGUGUUGAUGCCAGCUUGCAAGCGUCAAACAACACAGAUUUGCUUUUAUCCCCUUUUACUUUGCUCGGGUCUACAUCGGUCUUCACAUGAAGCAACAUACUGCAAGCAUCCUUCACACUCAUUAAUUGGUAUGCACUUGAAGAGAGCAGCCGUCCUUUAAAGAACCUCCAAGCUUGAAGCAACUUUCUGCAAUACUUGGUUAUUUUAUUCACUCGCUUAGCACUAGAAGAUUCCCGUCUUUCCUUGAAAAACCUCCUGGCCUCGGCUUCAGUGUCUCGAAACCUUAUAAGCCCUAUUCCUGAUGGCAACAUAAGAGGAUAAAAGACAAGGAGGUAUAUCAGGUACUUUGAGAUUAACAGGCUUGCUUCCCGACAUUGUCCAUUUUCAGUAUCACUUUGAAGACCUGAGUUGUAACAAAUCUCUGUAGCAAUGUGCCAGAUAAGAAUACUCUGGUCGAACUCAACAUCAAUACUCCACUCAAGCUUAGCUGGCAAUUUAUCCUCAUGUUUUUGAAGUAUGCUCUCUCCCCUUUGGCGGCAGAAGUCUCUAAGAUUAGUACCUUUUUUUCCCUUUUGCGCUUCAAAUUUCGCUUUGACAUGGCUAAAGAGGGUGUCUCUCAAGGAUCCCUCGAAUUUUACACUACUUCUAGGCGGCCACAUUUGCUGCACCUUUUCAAGUAUUUUAAACCCAGGUCUUUCUUCCAGGAAAUGGCUGAGUAGGCUGUACUGUGAUAUGCGACCAGACCACCUCUUUUGAUCAUACAGGGAAGUCAAACAUCUAGUGGCUCUAAUAAUGAAAGUUCUGUUAUUCUUAACCAACCAAUGGCUCGUCUGGUCUGAGCAAAGUAAUAAAAAUGCUGCAUACAUCUCCAGAAGAAUAGCUACAACAAGCAAAAGAAAAGUGAUGCAUACAUCAGCCUCUUCAUACUUGUUCAGGUUAUCAGUAGAGAACAUCCCCAACACAAGACAGGUGAGAAGGACAGUAGUAAAGCGGCAAACCAAACCGGAACGAGUAUAAUUUACCAUAGCUUUGGUGUAUAGUAAAUCAUACAUGAAUCCUAGUUCAAUGGCCACCACAUCGAAAGCAUCCUCCGGACUCAUGUCCUUGAAUAAAUUUUGGCUUUUCUCCUUGUCUUUAAAGCUUAGGAUGAGAUCUGCAAACAGACGCUUGAAUAUCUGAAACAUCACAGUGGCUUUAAUGAUUUUGUCUUGGUCAGUGCUCCUUUUUUCAGGGGCUGUAAUAUCCAUUUCUUGCUCAUCUUCCUUCACCUCUUCAAUAGUCACCAAGAACCCCUCAAAUUUCCUCAGACUGUAUUCAUCCAUCAACUUGGGGUAAUUAGGACCAGGAUCUGGAGAAGUUAGCAUCGAGUCUCGUAAUUCGCCAGGGCUUGCUCUCCAUAGAGUCCAUGUCCUCUCAGCAUACUUAAUUGAUCCAGCCACAAUCAUUGGAAUGGUUAGCUUGGAGAGAAGGGAACCUGUCCAUGCCAUGAAUAAGAUGUAUAUUGUCACAAUUGUCUGCACAAUUAGUCCAAAAAGGUGCCUUAACCAUAGCUGAUUGUCUUCCAGGGAGUAAGCUGUAAUGGCAUCUGGGCCACCCAAGUGCAGUAGGAGAAAGGGUGCCCACGUUGCUUUAAGCUCAGUGCUCAAGUCAAGAGCUCCUCCCUUAUCAUAUAUUUCACCCAGGUCAUUUGUUAGUAUGCCGAGGGCGAUAGAUGCUAGAGAAUCAGCCAGCAAAUAGGAACACCAAACAGCAGCUCUAAUCCUUCUUUUUGAAGUGCAUUUUCUGCGCUUGCCAAAUAAAAUGAGCAAAAUUUGGACCAGAAGGCUGGUUAAAACCAUUGCUCGGAGCUCCCAUUCCUUCCACAACUUCAUUAAUGAGGGAGAAAAGACCUCCACCAUCUUUCGGCUUUUCUUCACCAAAAUUAAGCUACCAACUACUGCAUAUGCACGAACAAACAAGAAUUAUUCAUAAACUUAACGCAGCUAACUAGUGAUGAUUUUCAAAAAUAAAUAUUCCAUUUUUUUCCAGAAACAUAUUUUGUUCAUUUCUUCCCAUUAUGAAUAUAUAUGCAGAAUCUAAGAAAGAAAAAUUGGUUCCUUACUUGUGGGAAUCAUUGUGAUUGUUAAUGCUUCCUGAUGAGUCUACUCGCAUCACCUAACUGGGUUUUGCUCUGCGAAACGGUUUAGCUAACAUUGAUGGGAAAAGCAGCUUCUUUACUCUAAGCGUCAAUGCGUUAUGCUUAAAUCAAAUAUUCUUAGAGUAUCCUUACAAAUUAGUUUAGAUGUGCCAACGGUAUUUUUACUUUUUUCACAUUUAAAAUUUAAAAUUUAAUCUUUAUAAUUUUCAGACUUUUUACUUAAAAAAUUCUAGUUUCUCUAUUUAAUUUUACCAUUAUCGACUUUAUAAAAAAAGUAAAAUGAAUUUUUAGUCCUUAAUAUUUACAAUUUUUUAUCAAUUUGAUUCUUACCUUUAAAAGUAAAUAAGAAAUUUUUGAAUUUACUUUUUCCAUAUUUUAUUUAAAAAUUUUAAAAUAUAUUUUAAAAAUCUAAAAUUAUGAAAGAAAUAAAAACUAUUUAAAAUUCAAAAAAUAAUCAUUUAAUAUAAAUUUUAUUAAUAAUAUAAUAAAUAAAUUAAAUCACAAAAUAUUAAUGCUAAAAUUAAAAAAUGACACUUUUGGACUAAUGUAAUUUAGAUAUUAAAUAUGAUAUAUAUGAGAUAUUGGUAUUUAUUUUAUUAAUAAAAUAUAAAGAAGCAAAUUACAUAAAAAGAUAAUCAUGUAUGAUCACAUUUUGUUAUAUAAAUCAUAUAUAAUCAUUAAAUAUGAAGCAAUAAAUGCUUUUUAAUUUUUUUAAAUUUUAUUUAUAAUAAUUAUGUUUCUCUAAUAUUCUUUAAAUUAACUUAAUGUUAUGGAUUGAUUUACCCAUCUGUAAUUCAACAGUUUUUUAAAUAUUAUAAUAUACAAAUUAAAUUUUAUAAUUACAAAUGCUUUAUACAAUAAAUCCAAAUGUUUUAAUUUAGAAAUAUAAUUCUAAAAAAUGUUGAAAAUAGCAAUUUUUAAAUAAAUAAUGUAUUUAUUAUUAAAAAAAUAUUUUUAAUAUUAUAGUAUUUAUUUAAUUUAAUAAAAAUAAAUAUUUUUAAAUAUCAAAAACUUAAUAAUUGAAAUUUAUUACGCAAGUGCAUGUAUCAAUCAAGUAAUAAAGUGAUAAAAAUAGGGACAAAACCAGGAAAUUACAUUAGGAGGGCCGAAAUUAAAUUUUAAUUUUAAUAGCCUAUAUCUUUAUAAUUUUUAAAAGAUUAAAUCAAAUUUUUAUUAUUUUAGGGGGACCAAAGUGCGAUUUUACCUUUACCAAUUUAAAAUUUUAAAAUUUCUAAAGGGCCUAAAUGAAUAUUUUUCCAUUUUAGGGGCUAGGUGUAACACCCUAAACCCGGCCUAGAUGGAAAGACCAAGUCUAGAAUGUCAAAUGAACUUACCAGAAAAUAGAUACACUUAAAGUCGGUUUAACUAAUACGUAAAUAAGUCUUAAAAUCAUUAACCACUCAACAUAACACAAUCUUAAAACUCAAAGUCGGAAAACAAUAACAAUUUAAAACACACACACACACAUAUUGAUACAGAUGCAGUUAUCCUACCCCCAUCCGCUACGCACUAUCUCCGAUCAUCCCAACACACCAAUAGGUAUAUAAUACCCCUCCAGCCAUACAUACCUUAUAGUGUCGGCACGACACAUUGUAAUGUUUACAGUCUCACUGCUAGAUCAGAUAUAAUUCUAGGUGGUUUGACCACCAAAUUAGUAUGGAACACUUCCUUCAAUCCAUAAUUCCCACCCCAUGCAAAUGCAGAGAACAAAUGACCAAUAUUUAUGUAUUGUUAUGCAGAUACAAAUCAUACAGUUUCAAUAUAUCAAAGGGUUGAAAUUCUUACGAAUUGUCUCAUACGGUUAUGUAAAACCAAUUUAUAAUCAUAAUAAAGUAGAUCAUAAAGUCCAGUUUAGUUCAUACACAUCCUAUAGACGACUUACACUCGCCUCGCACAACAAUUAUAGCAUUAACAAAAAUUUGGCGAUUCUAGCUCACAUGCCCAUGUGGAUGCCCGUAUGACUCCACACGGCCUGGCACACGACGAUUCUGAGAUUGGUAUUAACAGAGAAGUGCAAAAAUAAUAAUAUUUCUAAACGCAGGAUCAAAGACUCAAACACCAGACCAUAAUGUAUACAGAUUCUUUAUCAUCAAACCAACAGGUUCAUUCUUGAGAUGUCAAUGCAUGAAAUUUAACUUAUGUGACACAUGUAAGUCAAAAGUUCAAUUAUAAUACGCAAAACUUCAAAAAAAAAAAUGUGACUUGAACCUCCAAUCUCAAACACAUAAACAAAGUACUUAAACACAGAUACAGAGACUUAAUUAUUGAUACUACCUAAUAGGAAAACCCACAUUUUUAGGGCGUUACACUGGGGCCCUACCAACCCCCUCUAGAUACGCCACUGGAUAAGAAGAUAUCGAUCCCACAAGUACCAAAUUCUAAGAUGUUAAGUAACAAAUAUUUAGUUUUAUCUAAUUCAAAUUAAUAAAAUAAAAUUUGAUUAGUAGAAAAAUUAAACUAAACAAAUUAUGGACUUGAAACUCUAACUUCUCCUAAUCUAGAUUCAAUCUAUGUAAGUCCUAACCCAUAAUUCAAUGAUAUUAAUUAGACUCUUCCUGUAUCUAGUUAAGUUAAUCUCCUUUCCCAUUAACUGUAUUCCCAUACUAGGCAAGUUAAGUGAAAUCACUAAGAACAAACUUAUUAGAUUGAUUAGGGAAUCAUGUAUAUUUAUAUCUUAAUCACAGAUUAACUCAAUUAAUCUUGAUUUAAUUAGCCUAAAUCUUAACCUUAAUUUUCUCUUCCAUGACAAAUCAAGAUUAUUGAAUUAAUGUAACUUGGUGAUUAGACAAGUAGAUUAAAUAAGCAUAGGACUGAAUAAAUAAUUAAUAAGGAUCGAGCAAUUAAAGAGAAAAUUUAAUUAAUUAACUAAGAAAUAAGAUUCAUUAUCUUUCUAAAAAAAAUUAAAGUUUAAUUCAUAAUAAGUUGAAAAAACAACACAAAAAAUUUAGAACAAACUUGCAUCAAUAAAUUCAGAUAAUUUAUAAAAUGCAUAUAUCAAAUCCAUUGCCAUUUCCUUAAUUCAAUUAGAGAAUAUCAAGAUUUAUUACAUUGUUUGUAAAUUAAAUCAGUAAUAUAAAGUUGAGACUUACCUAAAUCAAAUCGAAAUUCAAUGAUAAAUUAAAUUAAAGAUAAAAGAUUAAACAUAUAAAGUAUGGAACCACCUAAUCAUAAAUUUUGGAAAUAAAGGUGAUCUUAAAAAAUUAUUCCUAAAAAAAAUUCAAUUCCUGCACAUGAAACAUGACUUGACUGGAUUCAACUUUAUUUCCUUUUCAUUAUUUAUUAUAUUUAAUAUUAAUAAAAAUUAAAUAUUUUUUUUUUCUUUUUUACUUUUGGCCUUUUUCUUUUCUCUCUUGCAUGUGGUGACCAGUUUAAUGGGUUAAAAGUUAUCUAAAAAUUUUAUUACAAUUUUCUCAAAAAUCCAAUGCCACACGAUGAAUCUUUUUGUAGACGCCACUUGUGAUUGUCUUUUUGGUUUUAGUUUUUAAAAUUAAAAGUAAUAGAUAUUUUAGAUGCCAAUGAUGAUGAGGUGAGAUAUUACUUAUGACAAUAUAGCAUAUUUGAUGAUUAAUUAUUUAUUUUAAUUACGAUCAAGAAAAAAAUAUUUUAAGUGUUAAAUUGAAAAAAAAUUAAAAGUUAAAAUUAUAUUUAAAUUUUAAUUGAAUAUUAAUUUUGAUUUAAUGCAGUUAUAAAUAUGAAUUUUGAUUUAAUUUUGAUACAUGUGUUAAUUUUCAUUGAAUAAUCCAUUUGAUAGCAAAAAUAAAAAGUUGCCUUAAAAUAUUUUCCAAAUUUGCAGCUGUUUGAAAGCAAUGGAAAUAGGGCUGUCAUCCCGUAAGACAACUUACCCCAAAUUCUUUUGGUAAGUCAUGUUACGGUACCUAAACCCCAAAUGUUUAUUCCCACAACAAUUGCUCUCUCCUAUUCAAACAAUUCUAUGAAUGGAAUUUGGGAAUAAUUGUAUCCAGAAAAUGAACAAAUUACAUGGACAAAGAUGAUGAAUUUUAGAAUACAUGUUACUCUUUGUGUUAUUUUGUUUGCAUAUGAAUUUAGAGCAACAUGUGUCCUUUUUUUUCUCAAUCCCUGUGUUACUGAAUUCAUUUGUUUUUUAGACGUCAUUCAUUUUCUUUUCAUUAUACCUCUUGGGGUCGGUCUUCUUUGACUCUUGUUCAAAGUUCCAACAUUGAGUUCUACUUGUUGAAUGUUGCAAAAAAAAUUUUUAACUUUUGAUUAAUUAUACUCAUUCAUUUAUAGUUAUUGGAACACUAUAAAUAUUUAGAAAUGUUCUAACAAUCUCCCCCCAUUUUCAAAAUAUUUUAGAUUUUGAUAUUCUUAAAAAUCAAUUUGCAUAAAUGAAUGUGUCUUACGAUUGAAUCUUCACUUAGUGAAAACAUGUUAAAGUUAAUCGAAAUUGCAUAGUAGACUAAACUUUGAACCAGCUAUUCCAUGUCUCACACAAUGAUUUCAACAUCAGUCAAUGCAUAGUAUCUAGGGACACAUUAUGGCUAUGUGUUUGUGUCCUCUUUUCAUAACUGCUGUCAGAGUCAAGCCCUUGAACUCCUAGAAAUGGCCAUACUUCCACUCACAUAGGUAGAUUCCAUCAAGAGUGUUCUCGUAAUUAUAACACUAUAACAUAUUUAUGUUAUGGGUCCAUUAAGAGUACAUUACUCACCCUUCCCUUAUCAUUACGAGUACCUAGCACUUUUAUCUUAGGAUGAAUUUAUUUAUAGUGUUAACAGUCACAUUGUAACACCCCAAAUCUGGUCUAGACGUUAUAGUUGAAUCUGGAAAUGUUACAAAGGAGAAUUGUAAAGUCACCCUUGUUGUAAUGAAAAUAUCGUAUAAUUUGUUAUUAAAAGAAUCCACUUUUUAGGAAAACAUUUUAUUAUACACAUCAUGAAACCAUCAAUUGUUUGCCCUUUUAAGUAAAACUAUAAUUUACAACAGAAAAUGAUGUUCGUUAAGUUAUAAAAACUGAGUUGGUGUUCUCAAAAACAUUUGUUUUCGUAAAUUGUUUUAAUAAGCGUCGCAGGAAACUUAAACAAAAAAUCAACGACCAACAACCAAACCAAAAAUUCUAAAGAGUCCCAUAUUUACAAAACUCUCAAAAAUAAUUCAGGAAUUUAAAUAAAUUUUUAAAUAAAUGAUAACACUAUAGAAUAACGUAUUUUUAUGUAUUAAUUAUGUAUUUAUUCUGAGUAUGAUCCUGCUAAUUUGAGUUAUUUAUGAUCUUUUAUUUCAUGGGGACUAAAUUUGAGGCAAAAGCAAAAUUAAGGGCCAAAAGCGUGAAUUUAAAGAUAAAAUGGGCCAAUGUGCAACACAAGGAAAAGUUGGUGCUAAAAGUGCAAGCAUAAAGGACACAAGGGUUGAAAUGUAAAAAGAAGAGAUUUUAUUCUAUCAGGCUCUAUUUUAAUUAUAUUAGGAUAAUUAAUAUUAAGAUAAUUAUUAAGGAUUAUUUAAUUUAGGAUUUUAUUUAAUUUAUAUUUAUUUAUCUUCAAUUAAAUGUAUUUAUCUUUUGAGAGUUAAGUAGGAUUAGACUAUCUCCCCUAGCACUAUGAAUAGGGGGUGAAGUGACUCAAAAGAGAUCCAUCUUUUUCUGUAAACACUCUCUCCCCAAAAGUCUAGGCUUUUGUUCUUCUCAUAUUUCCUUUCAAUUAAAUCUCCAUUUUUAUUAUAUAUUUUUUUUCCACCACAACCAUGAGCCACUAAACCCAUCUAGCCAAAAGUUGUCGAUAUUCCCCAAAAAGGGUUCUUGAGGCUUAGAGUCUGUACUUAGCCUCCUUGCUGAGUAUUAAUCGUUUCUCCGUACUACGGGGUUGAUGCUUCCAUCCAUAUCCCUUAAGAAGUAAACUUUUCAACAUAUGCAAAGGCGGUCUCUUUGUAUGUUUUGGGAAGGUUGCACAGUCAGUUCAUUAGUUUAUUGCAUCUGAGGUUGGCAAGCCCAAGAGACAAAAUGCUGUGAGAUUCGCCAUUGAGAAACAUUGAUCUAGCAUAAGAUGAUCCCACAGAAACGAUUGUUGGCUGAAGUCAGGUUCCACUAAAUCAUAAGUCUAAAUCCUUGGAGCUGGUGGUCGUAGGCAUCCUCUUCCAUUAUAACUGGCUUAUUUGGUUUGGAAAGGAUCAUCUAAAAGCCAAGGAUUGAACCCAAGGCGGAACGAGACAAUUGGAGGUUGGAACCUCCCAUAAGAAUUUCCUUUCUCUCAACUCUAUUUUUAAUUUCUCAAAUUUUUUAUUUAAUAUUCUUAAUUUUGUUUUUAUUUUAUUUUUCGUUUCUACAUCCAAACCUUUAAUUCUGUUAUUUUUUUAUUUUUUUCCAGGAACGCAGGUUUUCUUGGGAAAGAUUCUACUUGUGAUUUCACGGAACAAGAUAUUGUACAAAUCUAGUCCCUGAGGAUUUGACCCUACUUCCCUUUUACUAUUAUUUUUCAUUAUUUAUUAGGGAUAGGAUAUUUUUUGUGCUUUCAACGACCGCAUCAAAUCUUGGCGCCGUUACCGGGAACUGACAACGUACUAAUCUUAUUUUUCUCUUAUGACCAGAUCUGCUCCAGGUACUCUUGUGUUCGAUUCAAAAAUUGAGAAGGCUGCUAGAGCCAAUCGCAAUGAGACAAAGUUAUAAAAAAAAGCAGUAAGCUGUGGUUAGAACUCAAAGUAACCAACUGACAGAAAUCAAAGCCGACAACGAAGCUGAGUCUAGGGUUAACAAAAACCCUACUCAAACACUUGAAAGUGAAAAAGUAGAAGUCAACUCACCAGAAGAAGUGCUUAACGCUAAGAUUAAUGAAAACUCGAAUCUAGCACACCAACCAAUGGCUCAAACGAUUCGGCAACUAGCCGAAGCUCCGACAGAACAACCGCCAUUGUGCAUCACGUAUCCUACUGUGGAUACUAAUUUUGAGUUGAAGUUAGGUUUAAUCCAGUUACUGCCAACUUUUCCUGGGUUGCAAAAUGAAAAUCCCCACAAGCAUCUGAAAGAGUUUCAUAUGUUUUGUCUUAGCAUGGAACCUCAAGGGGUAACUGAGGAUCAGAUUAAAUUGCGUGCUUUCCCUUUCUCCCUAGUAGAUUUCGCUAAGAAAUGAUUAUUUUAUUUACCCCUAGAUCUAUUGAUAACACUCUAGAAUAACAUAUUUUUAUGUAUUAAUUAUGUAUUUAUUCUGAGUAUGAUCCUGCUAAUUUGAGCUAUUUAUGAUCUUUUAUCUCAUAGGGACUAAAUUUGAGGCAAAAGUGAAAUUAAGGGCCAAAAGCGUGAAUUUAGAGAUAAAAUGGGCCAAUGUGCGACACAAGGAAAAAUUUGUGCCAAAAGUGCAAGCAUGGAGGACACAAGGGUUGAAAUGCAAAAAGAAGAGAUUUUAUUUUAUUAAACUCUAUUUUAAUUAUAUUAGGAUAAUUAAUAUUGAGAUAAUUAUUAAGGAUUAUUUUUAGGAUUUUAUUUUAUCUUUAUUUAUCUUCAAUUAAAUGUAUUUAUCUUUUAGGAAUUUAAGUAGAAUUAGAAUAUCUCCCCUAGCACUAUAAAUAGGGGGUGAAGUGACUCAAAAGGGUAUCAUCUUUUUCUUUUUCUGUAAACACUCUCUCCCCAAAAGUCUAGGCUUUUGUUCUUUUCAUAUUUCUUUUCAAUAAAAUCUUUAUUUUUAUUUUAUUUAUUUUCUUUUCUACCACAACCAUGAGCCACUAAACCCAUCUAGCCGAAGGUUUUCAAAAAUCCCCAAAAAGGUUCUUGAGGCUUAGAAUUCGUACUUAGCCUUCUUGCUGAGUAUUCAUCGUUUCUCCGCACUACGGGGCUAACGCUUCCGUCCAAGUCCCUUAAGAAGUAAGUUUUUCAACAUAUGCAAAGGCGGCCGCUUUGUAUGUUUUGAGAAGGUUGCACAGUCGGUUCGUUAGCUUACUGCGUCAGAGGUUGGCGAGCCCAAGAGACAAAAUGGCGUGGGAUUCGCCAUUGAGAAGCGUUGAUCUAGCAUAAGGCGAUCUCACAGAAGCGAUUGUUAGCUAGAGUCAGGUUCCAUCAAAUCGUAAGUCUAAAUCAUUGGAGCUGGUGGUCGUAGGCGUCCUCUUCCACUAUAACUGGCUUAUUUGGUUUGGGAAGGAUCAUCUAAAAGCCGAGGAUUGAACCCAAGGCGGAACGAGACAACUGGAGGCUGGAAUCUCCCAUAAGAAUUUUCUUUCUCUUAACUUUAUUUUAAUUUCUCGAAUUUUCAAUUCAAUAUUCUUAAUUCUGUUUUUAUUUUAUUUUUCGUUUCUAGAUCCAACAAUUUAAUUCUGCUAUUGUUUUUAUUUUUUUUCAGGAACGCAGGUUGUCUUGGGCAAGACUCUGCUUGGGAUAUCACGGAACAAGAUAUUUUGCAAGUCCAGUCCCUGAGGAUUUGACCCUACUUCCCUUUUACUAUUCUUUUCAUUAUUUAUUAGGGAUAGGAUAUUUUUGGUGCUUUCAACGACCGCAUCAAAUUUUGGUGCCGUUGCCGGGGACUGGCAACGUACUAAUCUUGUUUUUUGUUUCUUAUGACCAGAUCUGCUCCAGGUACUCUUGCGUUCGAUUUAGAAAUUCAGAAGACUGCUAGAGCCAAUCGCAAGGAGACAAAGUUACGAAAAAAGCAGUCAGCGGUGGUUGGAACUCAAAGUAAUCCACUGCCAGAAAUUGAAGUCGACGACGAAGCUGAGUCUAGGGUUAACGAAAAUCCUACUCGAACACUUGAAAGCGAAAAAGUAGAAGUCGACUCACCAGAAGAAGUGCUUAAUGCUAGGGUUAACGAAAACCCAAAUUUAGCACACGAACCAAUGGCUCAAACAAUUCGGCAACUGGCUGAAGCUCCAACAGAACAACCGCCAUUAUGCAUCGCGUAUCCUACUAUGGAUACUGAUUUUGAAUUGAAGUCAGGUUUAAUCCAGUUAUUGCCAACUUUUCGUGGGUUACAAAAUGAAAAUCCCCACAAGCAUCUGAAAGAAUUUCAUAUGGUUUGUCUUAGCAUGAAACCUCAGGGGGUAACUGAGGAUCAGAUUAAAUUGCGUGCUUUCCCUUUCUCCCUAGCAGAUUCCGCUAAGGAAUAGUUAUUUUAUUUACCCCCUGGAUCUAUUACAACUUGGGCUGAUCUAUCUCGUUUGUUUCUGAACAGGUUUUUUCCAGCGUCUCGAGCAGCUGAGCUAAGAAGAGAGAUCAUUGGAAUAAGGCAAAAAGAAGCUGAGUCCCUUUACGAUUAUUGGGAGCGAUUUAAGAAGUUGUGUGCAAGCUGCCCACAACAUGGUAUAACAGAGCAAUCUCUCCUCCAAUACUUUUACGAUGGUUUGAAGCCCAUGGAGAUGAAUAUGGUAGACGCUGCUAGUGGAGGAGCAUUGGUCAACAUGACUCCCCAACAAGCGAGAGACUUGAUCUCCACGAUGGCUGCAAAUUCUCAGCAGUUCCGAGCCAAUACUGAACCCCCUAGAAGGGUUCAUCAGCUAAGUAAUUCAACCUUAGAGGAUAAAGUUGAUAGACUUACUAAUAUGAUGAAUUCUCUUAUUGUAGAAAAAGCGAAGACAGCUCGAUUAUGCGGAAUAUGUGCUACACCUGAUCACACAACUGAUGCAUGUCCCAGUUUGUAUGAUGAUGCCACGGCCCAUCUGGAUGCUGUUGGAAAUUUCCCUGGGCCACCACAAAGGCAGUACGACCCCUACGCUAAUACCUACAACCCAGGAUGGAGGGACCACCCUAACUUAAGUUAUGGGGCAAAUCCACGAAAUAACCAGCCAUACCAAAAUCGAUUUUCACAACAGCUGCAAGGUUCAGGUAAUUUUCUAGAAACCAUGGUCAAUAAGUUAGCAGCUAAUGUUCUUGAUUUUCAGCAGCAAAAUCUUAAUUUCCAAAAAGAGAUGAAGGAUUUCCAACAGAAAACUGAGGCGUCCAUCAGAGAGUUGACCACAUCGAUCGAGAAAUUAACCUCUCAAGGGAAGCUGUCGUCAUAAAUAGAACCAAACCCUAGACAAAAUGCAAAUGCAGUGACGUUGAGAAGUGGAAAGGUACUGGAAUCGAUUCCUGACAGGAAUCUUGCCCAAGAAAUUACCUAGGAAAAAACUAAAAAAGACGAACAGGUCCGACCGAAGCCUCUAUUGCCUAAAAUUCAACCUCCAUUUCCAGAACGAUUCAACCAGUGUCGAAGAGGUAAAGAGGACAAAGAAAUCCUCGAAACAUUUAGGAAUGCCGAGAUCAAUAUUCCGCUGUUAGAUGCCAUCAAACAAAUACCACGGUAUGCUAAAUUUCUUAAAGAGCUUUGCACCAACAAGCGAAAAUUGACAGGUAAUGAAAUGGUGAAUGUUGGUGAGAAUGUAUCUGCAGUGUUACAGCGAAAAAUGUCGGGAAAAUGCAAGGAUAGGGGCAUGUUUACAAUACCAUGCAAAAUAGGCCAUCUGGGAAUUAAAAAGGCUAUGUGUGAUCUAGGGGCUUCUAUAAAUGUAAUGCCAUAUUCUGUUUAUGAAUCACUUAACGCAGGUUUUUUGACAAAAACAGGUGUUAUCAUUCAAUUGGCGGACAGGUCUGUUGUGCAUCCAGAAGGAGUCCUUGAGGAUGUUCUGGUAAAAGUUAACGAGUUUAUUUUCCCUGUAGAUUUUUAUGUGAUCAAAAUGGAUGAGGAUAGCACUCUUGGAUCUUCAGAUCUCCUGCUGGGUCGACCGUUCCUUAGUACAGCAAAUACUAAAAUUGAUGUUCGAAGUGGAACUCUCACGAUGGAGUUUGAUGGGGAGAUCGUAAAGUUUAAUGUCUACAACGCCAUUAGCCAUCCAAGCGAAAUAUUGAGCGUAAAUCGUAUCGACAUAAUUGACUCUUUGGUGGAAGAAAAUUUUGAGCCAAUUUAUGGAGAUAAUUCUGAACUUAAUGAAAUUAAAUUUGUUAAUGAGUUAUUAUCUCCAAAUACUAAAUUGUUACCUUUUGUUAUACAGGCACCAGAGUUGGAGUUAGAACCCAUAGAACAGGCAAGGAAAUUAGACAUCCAAGAGUUAGAAGAAAUUCGCAAUGAUGCCUACGAGAAUGAUCACAUUUAUAAAGACAAAACAGAGUUGUUUCACGAUAAUAGAAUAGCUCAGAAGCGUUUUUCGGUAGGAAAAAAAGUUUUACUUCAUAACUCUGUGCUAAAGUUAUUCCCAGGUAAGCUUCGAUCACGAUGGCAGAGACCUUUUAUUGUUACUGAAGUGUUCACACAUGGAGCAGUUGAAAUAGAGAGUGAAGAAUCUGGAAAGCGGUUCGUAGUCAAUGGCCAGCGGUUGAAGCCAUUUUAUGAGAAUUUUCAAGCCCACACGGUUAAGAAAAUCCAUUUGGAACCACCAUAGAACCAAUAACGGCGUCGAGCUAACGACGUUAAACAAGCGCUUGUUGGGAGGCAACCCAAUUUUUAUUUUUUUUAUUAUAUUUUUUCUUUAUUUUCUUUAUUACUUUAUUUUAUUUUACUUAUUUGGAUAUUAAUAAAUUUUUUCUUCUUUUGCUUAGAUAAAACAAAGCAAAAAAAAGAAGCAAACCGUUAAGCAACACUUAAAGCGCAUUGAGGCCUGACUUGAAACCUUUGGCCAGCAACUGACCAAGCUCAUUGCCAUCAUUUGUGAUCAUACGGGGAGUUUUUCUAAACUUUUCUACCUAUUUAUUUCUUUUCGUCCACAUUGAGGACAAUGUGCUUUCAGUAGGGGGAGGUACUCUUCGUUAUUACUAUCAUUUUCUGCUGUGAUUUUGGUUACUGUUGCUGUUGCUGUGAUUAUUUUUGGCUGGUGUUGCUGCUUGAGGCUUGAUUUUGUCCAUCUCCUGCCUCUUUUCAUGCCCAAGAUUUUUACCAAGAAUUGCCUACUGUUUGACCUACAAGCAUGAUUCUUGUUUUCUGAGAAAAUUACGAAUUUUUCAUAAUUGAUGCCAUCUCCACUGUUUUAUUUUUAUUAGAGUAAAAAUAAUUGUGAUUCAUAAAUUUAACUUUAUCUUGCUUUUCGUAAAAAAAUUUAUUAUUAAUGUCAUUUAAUGUUCCGUGGUUAUGAGUGCAACUUAAAAACGUGACUGACUGAGUAACCGGGGUAGGGUGCUUGGGUUGUCAUUCUAUUUCGCGUCAAAAGGUUGUGUGACGUGUUAGGUAAAACUCCGCUAACCGGAAUUAAUUUUUAAGAACAUGUUGGGCUGAGUAACCGGGGUGGGGUGCUUGGCUGUCAUCUCUCUUCGCGUCAAAAGGUUUGAUGUGUUCUUAAGAAAAUUAUAAUAAAUUAGGAGUUUGCUGGGCUGAGUAACCGGGGUGGGGUGCUUGGCUGUCAUCUCUCUUCGCGUCAAAAGGUUCAGUAUAUUCCUAAAGCAUAAAAAAAACAAAAACAAAAAAACAAAAAAAAAAAGAAAAAAAUAAUUUGGGGACUAAAAGAGGAAACAAAUAGGGUGUCUUGGUAGGUUUGGUAAAUUACCUAAUUUUCAUUAAAUAAUUCAAGUUGAUUCUAAUUUUUGUGUGUAUUAAUUGAAAAACUUUUUUUGUUUUACUUAAAGCAAGCUUAGGGUUCUCUUUAUUUUUCAUAUGCAUUUUUGACUGAUUUUUAUAAAACUUUGGAGUUGUAUUUCUUUUAUGGCAGAAUCUAACUUUCACAGUAGAUAGGAACCAUACUUGAGGGCAAUCAUGGGCUAAGUAGGGGGGAUUUGAUAACACUCUAGAAUAACGUAUUUUUAUGUAUUAAUUAUGUAUUUAUUCUGAGUAUGAUCCUGCUAAUUUGAGCUAUUUAUGAUCUUUUAUCUCAUAGGGACUAAAUUUGAGGCAAAAGUGAAAUUAAGGGCCAAAAGCGUGAAUUUAGAGAUAAAAUGGGCCAAUGUGCGACACAAGGAAAAAUUUGUGCCAAAAGUGCAAGCAUGGAGGACACAAGGGUUGAAAUGCAAAAAGAAGAGAUUUUAUUUUAUUAAACUCUAUUUUAAUUAUAUUAGGAUAAUUAAUAUUGAGAUAAUUAUUAAGGAUUAACUUUAGGAUUUUAUUUUAUCUUUAUUUAUCUUCAAUUAAAUGUAUUUAUCUUUUAGGAAUUUAAGUAGAAUUAGAAUAUCUCCCCUAGCACUAUAAAUAGGGGGUGAAGUGACUCAAAAGGGAUCAUCUUUUUCUUUUUCUGUAAACACUCUCUCCCCAAAAGUCUAGGCUUUUGUUCUUUUCAUAUUUCUUUUCAAUAAAAUCUUUAUUUUUAUUUUAUUUAUUUUCUUUUCUACCAUAACCAUGAGCCACUAAACCCAUCUAGCCGAAGGUUGUCAAAAAUCCCCAAAAAGGUUCUUGAGGCUUAGAAUUCGUACUUAGCCUUCUUGCUGAGUAUUCAUCAUUUCUCCGCACUACGGGGCUGACGCUUCCGUCCAAGUCCCUUAAGAAGUAAGUUUUUCAACAUAUGCAAAGGCGGCCGCUUUGUAUGUUUUGAGAAGGUUGCACAGUCGGUUCGUUAGCUUACUGCGUCAGAGGUUGGCGAGCCCAAGAGACAAAAUGGCGUGGGAUUCGCCAUUGAGAAGCGUUGAUCUAGCAUAAGGCGAUCUCACAGAAGCGAUUGUUAGCUAGAGUCAGGUUCCAUCAAAUCGUAAGUCUAAAUCAUUGGAGCUGGUGGUCGUAGGCGUCCUCUUCCACUAUAACUGGCUUAUUUGGUUUGGGAAGGAUCAUCUAAAAGCCGAGGAUUGAACCCAAGGCGGAACGAGACAACUGGAGGCUGGAAUCUCCCAUAAGAAUUUUCUUUCUCUUAACUUUAUUUUAAUUUCUCGAAUUUUCAAUUCAAUAUUCUUAAUUCUGUUUUUAUUUUAUUUUUUGUUUCUAUAUCCAACAAUUUAAUUCUGCUAUUGUUUUUAUUUUUUUCAGGAACGCAGGUUGUCUUGGGCAAGACUCUGCCUGGGAUAUCACGGAACAAGAUAUUUUGCAAGUCCAGUCCCUGAGGAUUUGACCCUACUUCCCUUUUACUAUUCUUUUCAUUAUUUAUUAGGGAUAGGAUAUUUUUGGUGCUUUCAACGACCGCAUCAUCUAUUACAACUUGGGUUGAUCUAUCUUAUUUGUUUCUAAAUAGAUUUUUUUAAAUGUCUCAAGCAGCUGAGCUAAGAAGAGAGAUCGUUGGAAUAAGGCAAAAAGAAGCUGAGUCCCUUUACGAUUAUCGAGAGCAGUUUAAGAAGUUGUGUGCAAGUUGCCCACAACAUGGUAUAACAAAACAAUCUCUCCUCCAAUACUUUUACGAAGGUUUGAAGCCCAUCAAGAUGAAUAUGGUAGACGCCGCUAGUGGAGGAGCAUUGGUCAACAUGACUCCCCAACAAGCGAGAGACUUGAUCUUCACGAUGGCUGCAAAUUCUCAACAGAUUCGAGCCAAUACUAAACCUUCUAGAAGGGUUCACCAGCUAAGUAUUCAACCUUAGAGGAUAAAGUUGAUAGACUUACUAAUAUGAUGAACUCUCUUAUUGCAGAAAAAGCAAAGAUAACCCAGUUAUACGGAAUAUGUGUUACACCUGAUCAUGCAACUAAUAGAAGUCCCAGUUUGUAUAAUAAUACCAUGGCCCAUCUGGAUGCUAUGGGAAAUUUCCCUGGGCCGCCACAAAGGCGAUACGACCCCUACGCUAAUACCUACAACCCAGGGUGGAGGGACCAUCUUAACUUAAGUUAUGGGGAAAAUCCAUAAAAUAACCAACCAUACCAAAAUCAGUUUCCGCAACAGUCGCAAGGUUUAGGUAAUUUUCUAGAAACCAUGGUCAAUAAGUUAGAAGCUAAUGUUCUUAAUUUUCAACAGCAAACUCUUAAUUUCCAAAAAGAGACGAAGGAUUGCCAAUAAAAAACUGAGGCGUCCAUUAGAGAGUUGAUCACAUCAAUCGAGAAAUUGACCUCUCAAGGGAAGCUGCCAUCACAAACAGAACCAAACCCUAGACAAAAUGCAAAUGUAGUGACGUUGAGAAGUGGAAAGGUAUUGGAACUGAUUCCUAAUAGGAAUCUUGGCCAAGAAACUGCCCAGGAAAAAUCUGAGAAAGACAAACAGGUCCGACCGAAGCCUCCAUUGCAUAAAAUUCAACCUCUAUUUUCAGAACGAUUCAACCAGUGUCGAAGAGGUAAAGAGGACAAGGAAAUCCUCAAAACAUUUAGGAAUUCUAGAUCAACAUUCCGCUGUUAGACGCUAUCAAAUAAAUAUCGCAGUAUGCUAAAUUUCUUAAAGAGCUUUGCACCAACAAACUAAAAUUAACAGGUAAUGAAAGGGUGAAUGAUGGUGAGAAUGUAUCCUCAGUGUUACAGCGAAAAAUGUCGGCAAAAUGUAAGGAUAGGGGCAUGUUUGCAAUACCAUGCAAAAUAGGCCAUCUGGGAAUUAAGAAGGCUAUGUGUGAUCUAGGAUGUAAUGUCGUAUUUAAUGUAAUUUGGUCUUUAUAUUUUAGUUUUUAACGUAAUUUAGUCUUUAUAUUUUUAUAAUGUUAUCAAUUAGUUUAAAUAGUUAAUAUGGUUAACUUUUCUAUUAAAAUAUUACGUGGUUAUAUAUAAUUUGAAAGCAAUUUUUAAAUCCAAAAAGUAGGGGAUUAAAUUCUUAAAAAAUAAAAGUAGGAGGACUAAAUUUGAAAUGUAUGAAGUGUAUAUAGACAUAAAGCCAUGGUUGUUUGAACCAAGAAUUGACCGAGGUACUAGUCCAAAGAGAGGCAUUAGACCACUUGACUUGUGAAUCGAUACAAACAAAUUGAACCAGGUUAAAAAACUGAUUAUUAUUAUUAUUUUUAAUUUUUAUGAUUUUUAAUGAUUUAUUUAAUCAAACAAUACAAACUAAUAUCUGGUCAAUUCGAACCAAUUUUGAAAAUCUUACUUAGAAUAACUUUUACUCUUUAAAUUUUUAUUUUAUAAUUUAACACAAAUAAAAAUAACUAAAAGUGAACCAUGAGUAGAUGUAAGCAUGGGUCGUGCCGGGUUUAACUAAAAUUUUAGGCCCGUUUGCUAGGCCCAAAAAAUGGGCCUAAAAUUUUGCCCAAGCCUUACCCGGAUAAAAAUAUUAAACUUGGGCCCGACUCGGCCCGUCUCGCCCUAUUAAUUUUUAUAUUAAUUUUAUAUAAUUUUAAAAAGAUAUAAUACAUCAAAAAUGCUUAAAACAUCAAAAUAAAUAUUUUCCAACAAAUUGAAAACAAGUUUUAAAAAAUAUAUAUACUUAAAUAACACUAAUAUAAAUGCAACUUAACAAGCAAAUGUUUCUAAAAUAAUAACAAAAUUAACAAAUGUCUUUAAAAUAAUAACAAAAUUAACAAUAAAAUAAGUUUUAUACAAUAUCUAAACAAUAACAACAAAAUAGUAGCAACAUAAUAGUAAAAUGAUAGUAAAAUAGGGAGAAAAAAACAAGAAAAUAAUAUUAAAAAAAAGUAGAUUUUUUUUGUCCUUUAGUGGAUUCGGGUCGGGCUCGAAGCCAAAAAUACCUUACUCGAGGCCCGGCUUAUUUUUUUAAUGGGCCUUAUUUUUUAUCCAAACUCAUUUUUUGAGCCUAUAUUUUUAUCCAAACCCCCAUACAUUUCAACCGACCCGGCCCAUGAUCAGGUCUAACCAUGAGUGAACCAUACUAGCGUUAAAGAAAUAGGAGAUCCACAGUGGUACACGAGUUGCACAAAGGAAGGAACUACCAACUAGGGGUGGGCAUUCGAUUGAAUCAAAUCGAAUCGAAUCGAAAAUUUUCGAGUUAAUUGAGUUUUCGAAUCUCAUUUUAUCAUCCUAACUUUAUUUGAAGUUUUAUCGAAUCGAAUUGAGUGAGAUGAAAUUCGAAUCGAAUUGAAUCGAAUAUAUUUGUUCGAGUUAAAUUUUAAAAAAUAAAUUUAGUGUUGUUUAUUUUUAUGUAAUUUUUCAAAAAAUAAUUUUCUUUAAAGUUUUUAAACAUGAUCAUACAACAAAAAAUUGAAGUAAAUAAGUGAAUAAAUAAAAGCAACACAACAUCAACCCAAAUAAACAACAUGAUUCCAAAUAAACAACAAAAAUAAUACAACAAGAUUAUAAUAAAAAAACAUAAGUAAAAGUCCAAGUAAAUAGCAUGAGUCGAAAUAAACAAUUUAGGGUUUUUUGAGAAAAAUAAAUUUUAGGGUUUGAACUUUGAAUGGAAUGGAAACAGAGAGAAGAAGAAAAUAAAUGGGGGUUUUCAUGAUGGAAUUUGCUGGGGGUGAUCUGGGGGGAGAAAUUGGGAUUUGGGAAAUUAAAUCUUUAGGGCAUGGGCAAACGGGCUUGGGGAAGUAGGAAAAAAUAAAAUGUUUGGGGUUGGGAGAAAUUGGCAAUUAGGUUAAAUACUUGAAAGUAAUUAAGUAAAAGCCUAUUAAAACAUGGCUGUGUGUAAGCCUGUGUAGCUCCUAUGCCUUGCUUCAGUUUUCUGGUUUUCACUUUUUUUUCACUCCUUUUGCUCCUAAAUGCUCUUCUAAGUAUAAAAACUUGAAUUUAAAGGAUUAGGAGUAUAAAAUUCACUAUUAACAUCGAAUAAUCACCUAAAAAUGCAUUAAGAAUGAGAUUAAAACAUGUUACUUUUAGCAUUUAUUAGAAUUAUAAUGAUAUUUAUGAAAUUUUUAGUGUAGUAUUAGUUAUACUUUUUUUCAUAUUGGAAAGAAAUAUUUAAUUUUAUAUAGUGUGAUUUUUUUCUUUUAAUUUUUUUAUAGUUAAAUUGUUCAUUUUUAAAAAAAAUUAAAUUGAUUUGUUUGAUAAGAAAAAAAAUAUCCAAGAAGAAUUAACACUUUUUUACGUUAAAAGAAAGGCUGUUCGGAUUUAGAAAUUUCAUGCCCUUAGAGUAAAAUCCUAGAUCCGUCUCUGCUUCGAUAAAUCAUUCUAUCAUUGGAAUAUGGGAAUAAUUGUAUCUACAAAAUGAACAAAUUACAUGGACAAAGAUAAUAAAUUUUAGAAUACAUGUUCUUUGUAUUGUUUUGUUUGCAUAUGAAUUUAGAACAAUAAUCCAUGUAAAGCUUCAAACUUGAGUUUGUUAUUGAAUCAUUUGUUGUUUCGACCUUAUUCAUUUUCUUUUCAUUAUAUCUCUUGGGAUUGGUCUUCUUUUUGACUCUUGUUCAAAGUUCCAACAUAUCUCAUAAAGGAACGUGAGAUUGAGCUAUACUUGAUACAGGGGAAUUGUAGAGUAGCUAUACUUGAUACAGGGGAAUUGUAGAGUCGUUGCUUGCCAAUUUUAGAUUCCACAUUAAAAAUUCUUUUGGUCUUUGUUGAUAAGAAUUACCUACCCCUAUUGAAUUGGAAUUUUAAUGUGAACCAUUGUUUUAAUUUUUUCUUCCUCAUAUGACAUUCAAGUCUAUUUUGAAGUUCAUUGUUUUGCCUCUUAAUCCUUGUGUUCAAGUAAAUUUGUGUUAUUUACAAAUUUGUAGACAAAUUCAUGGUCGUUGCAUACAAUGACUUGUGUUAUUUAUGUUAUAUAUGCUUAUAGAUUUGUGUUAUUUGCAGAUUUGUAUGUGUUCAACAAAUUACCUUGACAUGUGUGCAUCAAGAGUGGUUGAUUUUGUUAGCUCGUUCAAACAAUCGAAAUAUUCAAGAGGAGGUGAAUUGGGCUUUAAAAACUCAUGAAAGCAAAAGAAUAAAGUAUGAAACAUUGAACACAAUAAUUUAGAGUAGUUCAACCCAAUUACCUACUCCACUACCUUGGCUUUCCACAAUUAAGGAUUUUCCAAAAUUUAUUAAUUUGAUGAACCUUUGAGGACAAGGUCUAUCUUUACAACUCACUUAAUAUUUCUACCCAAAUCUUUGUUAGUACAAAUCUCCUAUGAGGAAAAUCUCGAACACACGAACGGAACUCGAACAGAAAAAGAAGAAAUAGGAAAAAGCUCCAAGGCGUGUAUCAAGUCACUAUCUUUAAGGUUGUAUUCGCCCCCACGUAUCUUCGGUGUGCAAACAAGUUCCAAGUAAAUUAACCUCUGGGAUACAAUGAAGCCAAUGACUAUUUGCAUUUUGCAUUGACAAAGAAUAGCCCACUACACACUGAGCAAUGUAUGACAAGAAACUCAAUUUCUAUAAAGGAUUUCUGCAGUAAUACUUUAUAGAAUAAUCUAAUAAUAUUAGAAAAUGAAGGAAGGAAAAAAAAGAAUAUUACAAUUUAUUGGUAUAAUUUCCAAAUGAAAUCACAUUCCUAUUUAUAGGAAUUUUCAUGUCUCUUCAUAGAGACAUAUUUCAUCAAUAAGUGUCUUUCUGAAUAAUAAUAUCUUUAAAAACACAUAAUUAUUCAUUUAAUAUUAUAACUAUUCAAAUAAUAUUAUUUAAAUAGUUAUAAUUCUUUUUCAAAAAUCAAAUAAUAUAAUCUUUUGAUUAGUUACACCCAUUCAUUUAUAGUUAUUGGAACACUAUAAAUAUUUGAAAAUGUUCCAAUAAUCUCUCCCCAUUUUCAAAUUAUUUAGAUUUUGAUAUUCUUGGAAAUCAAUUUACAUAAAUGAAGGUAUCUUAUGAUUGAACCUUCUCUUAGUGAAAACACGUUAACGUUAAUCAAAAUUUCUUGUUAGACUAAGCUUUGAACCAACUAUUGCAUUUGAUUAAUCAAACACAUCCCAUACAAUGAUUUCAACAUCAGUCAAUGCAUAGUAUCUAAAGACACUAUUAUGGCCAUGUGUCUAUGUCCUCUUUUCAUAAGUGCUGUCAGAGCCAAGCGAUUGAGCUCCUAGAAGCGACCACACUUCCACUCAAAUAGGUAGAUCCCGUCAAGAAUGUUUAUGUAAUUAGAACACUCUAACAUAUUUAUGUUAUGGGUCCAUUAAGAGUACAUUAGUCAUACUUCCCUUAUCAUUACAGGUAUUUAGCACUUUAAUCUAAGGAUGGAUUUAUUUAUAGUGCUAACUGUCACAUACUAAUGAUGUUCUUUGUCUCAUUGAACUCAAGACUUGACAUUAUACCAAGUAUUGAGUCGAGUUUCCAUCAUGGAUGUCUCUAAUUAAUGGGCUUGAGUCCCAUCCCUUUUAAGGUCCUUUUUACUACAUCUCUAGUAAAACUUUUUGUCAAAGGAUCCGCUAAAUUUUCACUUGACCUUACAUAAUUAAUAGUGACCACUCCAUCAGAGAUUAAUUGUCAGACAUAACUAUGUCUUAAUCCAAUGUGUCUAGACUUUCCAUUAUAUACUUGACUAUAUGCCUUUGCUAAAGUAGCCUCACUAUCACAACGGAUAGAAAUAGGUGAAAUUGGCUUAGGCCAUAAAGGUACAUCAUAAAGCAAAUUUCUUAAUCAUUCUGCUUCUUUAGAUGCAGUAGCUAAUGCAAUAAAUUCUGCUGCCAUGGUGGAAUCAGUAAUACAUGUUUGUUUCUUGGAACCCCAAGAAAUGGCUCUUCCACCAAAAAUGAAGAUCCAUCCACUAGUAGAUAUAUGAUCAGUAAGAAAGUAGGUAUCCUUGAUAUAGUAAAAUGAGGAAAUAAAGUGACAAAAAGGGAAAUUUUGAAUUAUGGUAACAUUGGGAAGUAUAUUAUGACAUAUUAGUUCAAGAAAGGAUUAAAUCGUAAAAGUGAGAAAAGUUUUGUUGUUCAAGGGUAAAUAAUCAAAAAUUGAAGGGUUAAAGUGUAAAUAUGAAAAGUUGAAGGACCAAUGGUAUAAAUAUUUUAAGGGUGGAAUGAUCUAGAAACUAAGGAAAAUGGAUGGAUUAGGACUAAAUUGAAAAAGGUGAAGAAUUUUGAGGGACUAAAUCGUAAUUUUACCAAAUUAAGUGAUGACUCAAGGAUGGAAUUUUAAAAGAUCAUAAAGGGCAAAAUGGUCAAUUAGAAUAUAGAGAAAUCUAGAAGAUAAUGAUGAUGUUGGAGAUAUUUUAGAUUAAAUAAAUAAAUAAAUAUUAGUUUAUUAGUAUUUUAAUUCAAUUUUUAAAUGAUAUUUUAUUAUUUUAUUAUUAUUUUAUUUAGUAUAUAUACAUAUGUGUGGAAAGAAAGAAAAAAAAAAGCCACUAUCCCAUCAUUUUUCCAUGCAUCAACAUGAGAAGAAGAGAGAAAGAAAGGAAGUCUUACUUUCUUUACAAUUUGGUCCUUCCACAAAAAAUUCACCAUUUUCAUCUAGAAAUCAAAAGAAUUUCCAUAUAUCCAUCAAGAGAGAAAGAUAACAAUGAGACUAUGGGGAACUAGAAUAUCAAGUUGGAUUCAAGAAAUAGAAGCUGGAGGAGAGAGAAAAUCAAGUUAAAGAUUGAAAUCAAUAUGACAAGGUAAGAACAUCAAGAUUUUAAUAUAUUUUUAAGUUUGAUAUUAUUGAAAAAAUAUGGAAAUGAUGUUAAUGUAAAGUUUUCGUAUAUAUGGUCCUAUGUUCUUGAUAUGUUAGUGAAGAAAAAUAAGAGAAAGUGAUGAGAAAUAGUGUAGAGAAAGAAAAUAAGGGUGUUAUAAACAUGGUAAUAAACAUUUUGCACUAAAAUAGUUUUGGACAGGAACAGUAGACUCAAUUUGAAAUAUCACUAUAAAUUAUGAAAAUCGAACUAGAGUAUGAAUAAAAUAUGAAAUUAAAUCUUAUUGAGUCUAGUUUCUCAUAAAAGAAAUGGUGUAAGUAAUGGAAUUGUAAAUUAUGAGAUAUAAUAAAUUUUGUCAGACAAGGUCAGAAUGAAUUCGGGUUCCCCUGUUUUGAAUUUCAAAAAUCAUUAAAAAUUGUAAAAAAGUAAUUAUUGGUUAUAAUUUAUAUUUUUAAAAUCCUAAAUGAGUCUAUUUUCAAUAUAAACAAACAGGGACAUCAUCCGAAUUCUGUACAAAGAGAUAAUUAAUUUUUAGUGAAGAAGGGUUGGAACUAUCAGAGAGCAGAAUAGAGGUGAAUUUAAAGAAUAAACUGUACUUAUUGGCUUAACCAAAAAUUCUAAAAAUUUUAUAGUAAGAAGAUAUGUGAGUCUAGUUUCAGGAAAAAUUUUCAUAUCUUAAUUCGGUGUCCCAUAGCUCAAGAUAAAAAUAAUUUAGUGACAUGACUCGAGUGGACAGCUUUGAAUGAAUAUAUAAUUAAAUGGUGGAAUUAUAGAUAAUGUUACAUAUAGGCAUAUUAUACAUUAAGGAUGUGGAAUGGAGAGGAGGAGGAGGAGGAAAAAUAUAUGAUUAUUCAACCAGCAUGAGUUUUCAUUAAAAAUGGCUAAUUUGCAUGUUUUAGGUUCAGGGACUAAAUUGAAUAAAAGUAAUAUUUUAAGGGUAAAUUUGUAAAAAUGUCAAAAAGUGACCAAAUUGCAUGAAAUGAAUUGUUUUAUUAUUUAAAUUAAUAAAUUGAAUGAAAUAGUAAUCUAUAUCAAGAUUGGAUGGAAAUUCAAGGGAAAUAGAAAAUUACCAAAAUGUCCCUAAAUUUUGGUAUUUCUACAAUUUAGCUUGGUAAGUUUGUGUAACUUGAAUUAUAUUCUUAGAUGAUUGAAAUAUAUAUAUUGGAUUGAGAAACUGAAUUGAAUUGUGAACAUGAGAAAUUAUGAAUUUAAUGAAAUAGAAAUGAAGCUUUGAAUUACAUGAGUAAAUAUAGGGUCUUGUAGGCCCUAUUUGUUACGAAUAUAAUAUUUUGAGGAUAUGUUGUAAAGAAUUAUAAAAGCACGUUAAUAAUUUAAAAGUAUUAAUUCGGAUGAAAUUUUGUAACUCGGUUUAAUACGUAUGCAAAUGUAUGUCUUCUAGUAAUGCCUCGUACCCUAUUUUGGCGUCGAAUACGGGUAAGGGGUGUUACAAUGUGACAUCGCCAGAUUCGGUCAUAACGUUUAGACCGGGUUUGGGGUGUUACAUGAUCUUCCAAACUUGUAAUCCAACUAGCAUCCGAAUACCCUUCUAAAACUGGAGGAUAUCCACUAUAACACAAUCCAUAGUUAAUAGUUCUAUUUAAGCACCUAAGUACUCUAUUCAAUUGCCAAUGCAAACUACUUGGAUUACUUGUGUACCUACUCAAUUUCCCAACAGCAUAUGCAAUUUCUAGUCUUGUACAAGUCAUUAUGUACAUAAGACAACCAAUUAGACUUGCAUAUUUUAAUUGAUCAAUUUUCCUACCAGUAUUAGAUACUAAUUUUAUUUGAGGAUCCAUGGGUGUAGAUGCUGGUAUACAGUUGAAAAUAUCAAACUUUUUAAGCACAUUUUCAAUGUAACGUGAUUGUGAUAAAGCUAUAGUGCUUUCAUCUCAGGUUAUAUUAAUCUCAAGAAUAACAUCUACUACACCCAUACCUUCAUAGCAAAGUUGUUCGACAAGAAUUUCUUUGUGUUUUCUAUUUGUUCCAAAUCCGUGCCAAAAAUGAGCAUGUCAUCUACAUAUAAGCAAAUUAUGACACAUUUUCCAUUUUCAAAAUUGCUAUAUAUGCACUCAUCGGAUUCAUUUAUUUUAUAGCCAUUAGCUAAAACAACAUUGUCAAACUUUUGGUGCCAUUAUUUUGGUGCUUGUUUAAGUCCAAAUAAAGAUUUAACAAGCUUACAUAGCUUAUGCUCUUGUCUUGGAAUAACAAAUCCUUCCGGUUGUUCCAUGCAUACUUCAUCUUCCAAAUCACCAUUUAAAAAUACAGUUUUAACAUCCAUUUGAUGAACAACCAAAUUAUAUAUAAAGGUAAGUGAUAUUAAGAGUCUAAUUGUAGCAAUCCUUGCUACUGGAGCAAAGGUAUCAAAGUAAUUAAUACCUUGUUUUUGUGUAAAACCUUUGGCUACCAACCUUGCUUUAAAUUCAUCAAUGAUUCCAUCAACCUUCAUUUUCUUUUUGAAGAUCCAUUUACAACCUAUUGGUUUGGAACUCGGUGGAAGAUCAACUAAGAUCCAAGUUUAAUUUCCUAUUAUUGAAUCCAUCUCAUCAUUUAUUGCUUCUUUCCAAAAGGCAGAGUCUUGAGAUUUCAUUGCCUCUUCAAAUGUAAUAGGACCACAUUCCGUAUUAUAACAAUAAGGUUUCUUAUUGCAUAUACUUUCGCCCUUUCCUUAUACAAGAAACAUAAUGAAAUCUGGUCCAAAAUCUUUGACCUUUUUAAUCCCCUUACUUCUUCUUAAUUCUUGACAAGAUUCAUCAUUAUUAUCAAUUUGUUCCAAUGGAAUCUCAUUCUCAUUUGAAGAAUGAAUCACAUUGUUGUGGCUAUAAUUAUCUUGGUAUAAAAUUAAAUCUAUUUUCAUCAAAAAUAGCACCUCUUGAUUCAAUAACAGUAUUAAUUGAAAUUGAAUCAUUUGGUUCAAUUACCAUGAACCUAUAUGCCUUGUUAUUAUGUGUAUAUCCUAUAAAUAUGCAUUCAAUUCCACUUUCAGCUAACUUUUUUACGUUCGGGUGUUAGAAUUUUGAUAAUAGUUCUACAACCCCAAACCUUCAAAUAAUUAAAGUUUGGUUUCCUUUUCUUCCAUUGUUCAUAAGGGGUUAUUUAAGUUUCCUUAUUAGGAACUCUAUUCAAUAUAUGACAAGCUGUUAGAACAACUUCUCCCCAAAAACCUUGUCCAAGACCUUAAUAUGAUAACGAUGAAUUUACCAUUUCAGUCAACACUCUAUUUUUCCUUUCAGCUACACCAUUUUGUUGUGGUGUGUAAGGGGCUGAAACUUGAUGGACAAUUCCAAUGGAUUCAAAAUAACUUGGAUUAUAGUAUUCUCCACCUCUAUCCGAUCUUAAGCACUUGAUAAAUGAUUCACACUGAAGUUCAACUUCAAAUUUAUAAACUUUAAAUUUAUCAAGCACUUCAUCUUUUAAAUGCAAUAAAUAUACAUAACAAUAUCUAGAACAAUCAUUAAUAAAAGUAACAAAAUAUUUCUUUCCACCUAAUAUAGGAGUAUUAUGCAUGUCACAUAAAUCACUAUGUAUCAAACCAAGCAAUUUUGUUUUCCUUUUAACCUUAGGGAAAGGUUUCUUGUAAUUUUAGUCAACAUACAUGUAUUGCAUUGUUCAAUAUUAUUAUUAAAAACAAGAAUUGAAUCUAACUUAUACAUGUCAUUCAUUUUUCUAUAAUUCAAAUGACCUAAUCUAUAAUGCCACAAACAAAAAGAUCCAACCAUAUAAGCAGAAAUAGUAUUUUUAUUUUUAUUAAUAAUAUUGAGUUUGAACAUACUCUCAUACAUAUACCCUUUCCUUACAAAAACUCCUCCCUUAGACAAAAUAAACUUAUCUACCUCAAAAACAAGUUUGAAGCCAAACUUAUUCAACAAACUUCUAGACACUAAAUUCUUCCUAACUUCUGGUACAUAAUAUAAAUCAUUUAAGGUUAAAAACUUUCCAGAAGUGAAUUGUAGUUUAACAGACCCUUUGCCUUUGAUUGCUGCGGUGGAAGAAUUUUCCAUGUACAAGAUGUCAUUUUCACAUUGUGUGAACUUUGUGAACAUGCUUUUGUCUUUGCACACAUGUUUGGCUGCUCCGAUAUCAAUCCACCAUGUAUUAUCAUCUUGUGCCAUAUUAAUUUCAGAUAUCAUUGCAAUGAACUUUUCGUUAUUAUCAGCCUUAGAAGAUGAUUUCUUCUUUAAAAAUUGACAUUCAUUCUUGAAAUGUCCCGACUUACCAUAAUGAUAGCAUGAGCCCUUUUGUUUCUUUUUGAACUUAGGUUCUCUAUCAGUUUGUUUGAACUUAUUCUUGAAUGGUUUAGUAGUUUGUACUUCCUCUGUAACAUGCACUUUGGCAUUUUCAGAAUUUAGGUUCUAGUAUUGCUUUCGAUUUUCUUCUUCAAUACGAAGAUGAUUUGCCAAAGACUCAAGAGAUAUUUCCUCUUUCUUAUGUUUUAGACUUCUUUUAAAGUCUUUCCAAGAUUGAGGAAGUUUGUCUAUUAUGGAGGAUACAACAGUCAUUUCAUCCAUUUUCAUAUCAUAUUGCUUGAAUUGAUUCAGCAUUUUUUCAAUAUCACGGAUUUGUUCCAUAACAAAAUGACCAUCAACCAUUUGAUAAUUAUUGAAACGACUGGCAAGAAAUUUCUUACUUGUAACAUCUUCGAUCAUGUAUCUUGUCUCCAAUUUGUCCCAUAAUUCUUUAGCCGUGACCUCGUUUUGGUAAGUGUCGAACAAACCAUCAGAUGAACCAUUCAAUAUGUGGCCCAUGCACAUGUAAUCAGCAUUGUCCCAUUUUUGACUUUCUCGGGUUGCUGCAACAGAUUCGUUAUCAUUCUCUUCAGGUCUUGGAGUAUCCAAAACACAAACAAUCUUCAAAGUUGAUAAUAAGAAGUGCAUCUUUUCUGCCAUCGUCGAAAAUUACCACCAUCAAACCUAUCAAGUUUGACAAAGCUGGAAGCCAACUCCCUUAGUGUUCCACUUUCAUAUGUUGUGGUAGUCAUCAUGAAAUAUAACCUAAAAUUGUUAGUACAAAUCUCUGGUGAGGAAAAUCUCGAACACACGAACGGAACUUGAGCAGAAAAAGAAGAAAUAGGACAAAGCUUCAAUGCGUGUAUCAAGUCACAAUCUUUAAGGUUAUAUUCUCCCCCACCUAUCUUCGAUGUGCAAAUGAGUUCCAAGCAAAUUAACCUUGAGGAUCAAAUGAAGCCAAUGACUAUUUGCAUUUUGCACUGACGAAAGUGGCCCACUACACACUGGGCAAUGUAUGACAAGAAACUCAAUUUCUAUAAAGGAUUUCUGCAGUAAUACCUUAUAAAAUUAUCUAAUAAUAUUAAAAAAUGAAGGAAGGAAAGAAAAAAUAUUAGAAUUUGUUGGUAUGAUUUCCAAAUGAAAUAUUAUUCCUAUUUAUAGGAAUUUUCAUGUCUCUUCAUAGAGACAUCUUUCGUCAAUAGGUGUCUUUAUGAAUAAUAAUGUCUUUAAAAUAAACACAUAAUUAUUCAUUUAAUAUUAUAACUAUUUAAAUAAUAUUAUUUAAAUAGUUAUAAUUCUUUUUCAAAAAUCAAAUAAUAUAAUCUUUUGAUUAAUUACACCCAUUCAUUUAUAGUUAUUGGAACAUUAUAAAUAUUUGAAAAUGUUCCAACAAUCUUAAGAUACAAACCCUCUCAAAAGAGCAAAAAAAAAAAAAAGAGCAAACUAAGAAAUAUUCCUUACAAGAUUAGAAUGUGUGCCAAUUAAGCACUAAUACAAAGAAAAACAUUUGAGUUGAUGGAAAACAAUAAAUACUCACAAGUGUAUUCAAGAAAUAAUGAAGAAUUUUAAGUACAAAGGUUGAUACUUAAUGAUAAAUAUUGAUUUUUUUACUUUGAUAAAAAAAUUCCAUAAUGACAUCUUUGUAUCGAUACCAAGAAUAGGUAUCGAUAAAAAUGUCUAGAUAUCGAUAUUUAUUGAAAAUAUCGAUACUUGUUAUUUUUGCUCAAUGUUUCUGGACUUUGAAACUUAAAAACAAUUUUAUAAGUAAUAGAGAGCAGUUUUUUACUUGUUUAAAAUUUGUUCAAAGUAUUUUCUGAGUGUUCAAAGUGAUUCUCAAAGUGUUUCAAAAUUUUGACUUUAAACUUCAUUAAUUUUUAUUAAAAAAUAAUUUUUAUUCAAAAAUAUUAUAUUUAUUAUAUCAAAAUAUUUUAUGAAAGCUUGGUUUAUCAAGUUUACAUCAUGCCAAGAAAUUUGAAUCAUUUAGCUUUUGUUGUAUAAAUGACUUGGUUUUGGGAAUUUGAAACAAAAAUGUUGUUUUGGAAAAACAAAAUUAUAUUAACUCUAUGUUCAAAUUUGUAUAUAAAAAAAUAUGCUUAUAUAUAUACAUGUUAGAUUGUUUUGACAUGUGGCUGACUUGAUUAAAAAUAUAUAUACAACUUGUAAACAUAUAUUCCAAACAUACAUACAUACAUAUAGAUAGAUAUUUCAUUUGUAUAUCACAAUAAUCAUAACAAGUAAUUCUAUAGAUUGUUUGUGUUUGAUUGAAGAUGAAUAUUUCAUUGUAUAAUAGUUUUUGAAAUUAAUUAAUGAAAAGGAUUGUUCUUUUAGUUAUGAAAAUAUCUAUGUUUGGUUUAUUUCACCUAGAAUAAUUUUCAUAAAAUGUUUACAUAAAAUCAACUAAUUAUACUAAAAAAAUCACAUUUUUUAAAAAAUUAUACUAUUUUUCAACCAAUGCAACAUAUAAAUAUAAAUUAUGUUCCAUCGUCUAUUGAAAUAAUAUUACCAAAGUUCAAUCAAUGCAUCUAUGCUUUAGAUGCUAAAGUGUGGAAUCAAAAUAAAGAGUUAAAAGACUGGAAUAAAAUCUUGCAAAAAAAAAAAAACCAUUCUGGAACUGUUGCUAACCGCUGAAGGCUGAAGACCCUGGAAUUUGUAUCCACUAGCGUUGAGACUUUUCUUCUCCAGUUGCAGAUGCCAUGGACCUGGUCACUUCGAGAUUUCAUUUUCGCCUGAUUUCUUGUUUCCUGUGAUAAAAGGAAAAGAUAAAAAAUGAAUCUUGCAUACACUUACUCUUCAUUAAUUUGAUCCUGCGGUUAAUAUAUCAAAAUAUUUCCAAAUGAAAUGAAAGUAUAGCAUUUGGACAAGUGAGAACUCACUCUUGAAGGAGACAGCUUCAGGUGUUUCUGUAUCGAUUUUUACGUCGCUGCCCAUUUUAUCCUUAACGUAAUCUACAGACCAUUCCAUACCUGUCAAGGUUAAUUUUGUUAAGCUGGUUAAUUUCUCCAGACCAUCAACCUCUUUUAGUUGAUUGCAGUAUCUGAUCUCAAGAUUCUCCAGGACUGGCAUGGUGCCAUCCUCCACAAUCCAAUGCUGCAGUUCCACCAGCUUCCACAAUUUCAAGGCUUGAAGCUUAGGAAACGUGUUCCUACAAACCAUAGUUUUCCCCAAGAAGGAAUGACCAUAGAGCCUAAGGACCUUCAGUUCUUUCAGCUCCGCAAGCAUUUCCAUUGGAUCAUCUGGUAAAUAUGACCCUGACAAAGUAAGGACUGAGAGACUUCUUGGAAGUUCACCAAGUAUCUUUCUCGGCCCUGUUAGUUCUCCAAGCAGAUAUAAUUUACGCAAGCUCUUGAGCUUGUUCAUGCUCUCCAAUUCAAGUUUUGAAGACUCGUGUCUUUCACUUACUGAUCUCAACUUCAAGGACUGAAGAUUUGUUAGUUCUGAAAGCCAGGCAUCUAUAACUUCCAUAGAUGAUUCAUAGCACGUUAAUUUCAAUUUCCUUACACCAACCAACCUGUUCAACUGGUUGUGCAUCGGGAUCUGUCCUCGAAUUUUCAAUCCCCAUAAAGUAUGAAGGUUAGUUGAAGAUCCCUCAUGAUCACAUCCCUUCUGAAUGGACAAGUCAACAUAAACUUCACUCAUAUAGAGAUGCCGAAGCUUCUUUUCCUCCCAAAUGGUGCUUGGUAGAGUGGUUAUAUUAGUAUGUUUUACAUCUAAAGACUGUAAACGAGGGAGCUCGGCAACUGACUUUGGGACUGAAUCCAAAUGAGUCCGUCUUAAACCCAAAUACUUUAGGCAAGGCAGUCUUCCAAUAUCCUCAGAAAGCGCUGGUUUAUAAACACCUUCUAGAUCAAGCACUACAAGCUUUCCAAAACGGUCCUUGACAAUCUUUUUGAGAAGGUCUCCUAUCCCAUCUGCAGGUCUAUCUCCUUUUCUGUCGUAGAAUGAAAUGUAAGAACGUAGAUUUGUCAUGCUGUGUUUUUCAUGCUCGGUAUGGAUGAACAUUUGUAACCCAUCUGCAAGCCUCCGGAUAGGGAUAUUAUACGGUGUUGUAUCGGAAUUGGAUGCGGUUGAACUGCUGCGAAUGCGAUGUAUGUGGAAAAAUCCAAAGUUCUCGGCAUUUGGAGACAAAGCAUCGUGUAAUGCAUUCGGUAGGAGACAUGUUUUGGGGCUUCCAUCUAAGCUCCAUUUAACGAUCUGAACCAAAUUUCUGCUUUCUAGUUGUACAAACUGUUGCAUGGCCAGCUCUUCCAGAGUUUUUGUGUUCCCUUCUGGUGGUAUGAUCAGUCCUUCAGCAAGCCAUAUGAGAAGCAACCUUCUUAUUGGGAUCUCAAAUGAUCUGGGAAAGAGACCCAAAUGAAGAAGACAGUGAUUUAAAGGGAAGCCUAGGCGCUUAUAGGACUCAUCCAAUGUCUUGAGAGGAUUUUCUUCAGUAUCACUGGAUUUUAGCCUCGCAUCAUUUCCUUCUAUCUUCUCUGUCCCCAAAGAAGCCUGUUGAUUGAACUGACCUGCCAAUAGACCUAUCGAAAGAGGUAGACCACGGCCUCUUUGCAUCAAAUCUGACGGCACGUGCACACUUUUUUGUACCUUCUUUGUGAACAAUUUACGACUCUCAUCCUCAUUUAACGGGCGUAGUGGGAGAACUACAGCUGGUGGAUUCAUAUUGUACGCUAGAUACGCCUUGCGAAGGGUGAGGAUCACCCUGCUACCGUUGGAUGAAUUCGGGAGGACUUUAAUGAGUGUAUUCUUCCAUAUCUGAGGCGUCUGUAAAUCAUCUAAAACUAUCAAAUAUCUCUUCCAAUUCAAGAAAAGGUGAAACCUUCUUUGUAGUUGCUCAAUAGAUAAGCUCUGUUUCUGCUUUUUCUUCAUAAGUUGUCCCAAUAAAUCAAGCAGGAGAUUUCUUUCAUCAUAUUCUUGCGGAACAGUGAUCCAAGCCCGACAAUCAAAGUGCUGCUUCGUUGCAAUGCUGUCGUAAAAUGCCCUCACAAGAGUUGUCUUGCCAGAACCUCCCUCACCUAGCACCGAAAUCAGAUAAUGCAAUCGGUAGCUACUUAGUGCGAGUUUCGCUAAUUCCUCUAUCGUAUCCCUCAUCCCUAUGAUUUCAGACUCGUUUUCCAUGAUAUCAGAAACUGAAUUCCACAGUUGUGCAACCUUUCGAUCUACAGUAUCUUCAUGCAGCUGUUCUAAAUCUAAAUCAGGUAACAACUCUAUCCCGGGAGUCAUUUGAAAGACCCAAGAAUUGGUUUUCCGUGCUAUAUCUGCAUGAGGUACAGUAAGAAUCACCCUGCUACCAGUCAAGGAGUUCGGAAGGGAAAUUUUGAGACUUUCCCAGACACUGGAUGUCCAGACAUCACAUAGAACUAUUAGGUACCUCUUCUGAGCUAAGAAAUUGCAAACCAUUUGUCGCAUUGGCUCAAGGGAUAGUUUAAUUUCCCUGACGCCUAUUUGCUUCCAAAUUUCAACUAAAACAUCUAUUUCUUCGAACUCUUCUUGAACAUGGACCCAAGCAGAGCAUUCAAAAUGCUGCUUGACUUCUUUUUCAUCACAUAUUUCCCGCAAUAGAGUACUCUUGCCAACACCCACAAUUGAAAUGAGAAACAGCAACCUGUCAGAAUUGAGGACCGAUUGCUUUAGCUUACUCAUUGCAGCCUUUAUGGCAAUAGUGCUAGAAUCAUUAUCCAAAUAAGUAAACGAUUGAGGCCAUUCUUCUGAAGCAUGUAUUAAUGCUGCAUCACCAACAACACCAUUUUCUCCAAUGAUCCGUGAACUAUUCUGAAUUGCAAGAAUCACCCGACUACCAUUAAAAGAGAAAGGAAAGGCAGGUUUGAGAUCGUUCCAAAUACUUGCCGUCAAAGCUCCAGAUAAAACUAUCAGAUACCUCUUCCCAACUAAGAAAUCAUGAAGCACCUUGUCUACAUGAAGCACCUUGUCUACAUGAAGCACCUUGUCUACCUGUUCCUCUAAGAAAACAUGAAGCACCUUGUAUACCUGUUCCUCUUUCGUUUUGUUAUGCUUAACUUGUUCUAAAAUGGCUUGUAAGAUAUCCUUUGCUUCAUACUCUUUACGAACAUGGACCCAAGCAAUGCAUUGGAAAUAUUGUUUGAUAUCUUCUGAAUUGUAGACUGCCCACAAAAAAAUUGCCUUACUUGAGAAUGCAACUAAAGCCUUGAAGAUGAGAUAUUGAAGCAUGCAUCGACUAUGGACCGGCUGAGCUAAUUUCUUUACUAAAUCAUCCAAAACGAUCGUAACCGGUUUCUUCUCAAACCAUUUUUGGCCAUGAAUUUCAACUUCUGGUCUAACUCCCACAACUUUUGGGCUAGUUGGCUGACCUUGCUUUAUUACAGCUUCAGUGUUAGUCAAUGACUCAUUUGGUUUAACUUUCAUUUGCUCUCUUACUUUGUCCUUCAAUUUCCCAAUCUUUUUUCUUAAUCGCCUUUCGCUCAACCAGCACUUGAUUCUCUCGGAGUUAUACUUCAUAUUGAAACCUCUGUGGAAUUGCAGUAUCAUAGUGUCCGAGAAGGAGUCAAUCAUGUCCUCCACAAGAUAGAUAUCCUUGACAAGCUUCAACCAGUCAUCGAUAGUUUUUUUGUCAAGUACUUGGACGCUCACAGCACUUUCCAAGGAUUUCUGCAUUUCUUGUAGCUCAUUUAUGGAUUUUUCAACUUCACUUUUCAAAUUUGGAUUGCUAGAGAGCAGACGUAAUUUUCGGCUCAAAUGUUCAGUUAUUUCAACAGCCAUGGAGUCUCAGUUAUCAAUCUUUAAUUCUUCUUUUCCUUUAUAAUAUGUGGCUUAACUUUGUCAGUGAUGUCCUGCAUCCUGCUAAAAUACAAUUCUUUAAUUAGUGAAUGAGGUUUGAAGAAGUUGCCUGCCUAAAAUACAUAAAUUUUUAUGCCAAUUAGGCCUUAAUCAGUCUUUCCUAAUUUCAUGAUGAGAGAUCUCCUAACUUCAGCUACUAAAGUUUAUGAUAAUUUAUCAUAUAACAAGAGAGCUAUAUAAAAGGAAAACAGACAAAUUUGGUAAGUUGUGUUAUCCGUGUGUUUGUGUUCUUCAUGCUAAGCAAUUGCGUAAACAAAAACAUUGUAGUUAUUAACAUACAUGAAUUUUUUUCUAAUAUGCAAUAUUAUACAUAAAAUUUUAUUUUAUACAAUUUUAUAAAUAAAAUUUUGAUUUAAUUUAAUUUUUACAAAUCACUAACAAUAUAUCGAAUUAGCACCAUCUUAAGUUGGGUAUUACAUACACCAACAGUUAUAUUAAUCCAAUAUGAAAAUAAAUAUAUGUAUUCAUUUUUUUAGAUGUAUAUAAUUGAAUUAAAAUUAAGGCUUUACGUAUACAUAUGAACCACAAUUCAAGUUUCAUAUGUAUAAUUAUACUAAAUAAAAGUACAUAUGUAUCAAAUUACACAUUAAAGCAAAAUUCAUCUAUAAAUAUGAUAUUUAUCCCCAAAAUCAUAAAAAAAAUUUAAAUGUGUUAAUAGUGUUUAAAUGGUUAUUUUUACCUUCAUUGAACAUAUAGUAUUCUCAUAACUUUUGUUAAGGCUUAGCUCACAAAUUGAUACUUAAUUUUUUUUUUUUAGCUAACUUUUUUUGUCACAAGUGAUAACUAAAAUUUUUCCCCAAAAUUAAUGCCUCCUUAAAUCAAGCAAUUAAAUUUAAUUUUUUAAGAUAAACUAACCUAUAAAUUAAUACUUAAACUGCGCAUUUUUUUUUCUUAUUUUGGUAUUUAAAUAGCCUCAUUGUACCUAAUUACUUUUUCCCCAUGUAAGUACUUAGAUUAAUUUAUUAGUUAGUUAAAAAUAUUCCGUCUAUUUUAAAAAAAAAAACAUUUCAAGAUCAACAUGUAGCAAAAAAAAAAAAACAAAAUGUUAUAUUUUCUCUUAUAUAUAUAUAUAAUAUUUUCUUUUUUCUUUUUUCUUUCUUUAGAAUUGGGCCAAUAGUAGAAUCGAUCAAAUACUAGUUCUCAGUUUGAUCAAUUUGUUCAAUUCAAUUAAAUAAAUUUAUAAAAAUUUAUAAAAAUAUUUUUAAAAUAGAGAAAACUGAUUCAACCGGUCUAUAUCGGUUGACGAAUCAAUCAUUUCAACCCCUAUCUUCAAAUCAAUAUCCCAGCCAAUUAUUGAUUCAACCAACCAAUCCAGUUCUAAAAAUAAUAGUUUUGAUCAAUGAAAUAACUUUUCCAAUCCUGUCAAGUCGAGCCGAGCAAACAGAAGGUAAAGUUUAAAAACAUAAUUAAUUGUGAGCUUUUCAACCUCAGAAGGGUGAAUUUCAAACAAUAUUAUAAAGGAAGAAGAAAAAAAUAUAAAGAUAGAGAAAUAAUGUAAAGGAAAAUUAAAGAAUUAAAGAAUAUUUUUCUAAGUUUAUAUGAAAUGGCAAUUUGUAAUAUUUUUUAAUGGAUAUAUCAUUUUAGUAUAAAAUGGAUAAUUAAAUAAUAAUUUAGGCACUGAUUGUGAUCCAAAAAAUAUUUAGAUACUAAAAGAAAAACAGUAUAAAUUAGAUACUAAUUUGUAGGUUGAUUUUUUUAAAUAAAUUUAAGGGUUUGACUAACAUUGGACUAAUAAAUUAUGUACCAACUUGAAAAAAAAUUGUUAGUUAAACUUUUAUAUAUAUAUAAAAUCAAAACUAACAUUCUGGAAUUUUGAUUUCAAAAAAUGAACUUAGAUUUGUAUAAAGCAACAUCUAAUCCUUAAAUGAUAGAUAUAUAUAUAUUUUUUUUGAAUUUGAUCUUUAAAUUUUUUUUGUUUAUAAUAAUUUCAUAAUUUAAUAAUUCUUUCUAUUUUGAUCCUUAAACUUUGAUUCCGUUAAUAUUUAAUGUUAUCUCCUAAAUAUUAAUAUACUAGUUUUUUUUUUACUCAAAUAUAUGCGAGCUUGAUUGUACAAAAUAGUUAAAAUUAUUUUAUAAUUUUGUAUAAAUUUAAUUUAUGAUUGGUAAAAUAAAUAAAAUAAAAUCAUUUUAUAAUUUUUUAUAAUUUUGUAAUCCAAUAUUUCUAAAUUUGAUAGUGUAUUUUUAAAUAAGUAAAAAGAUAGUUUUGAAAUUUGAAAUAAAUUGCUUAGGCAUAUUUUAAGUUUUAAGAUAAUUUUAUUUUAAAUUCGAAAUAUAAUUUUUUAAAUUAAAAUUAAAAUCACUCCACUUAUAAGUCAACCAAAAACAAAAUAAGGAGAUGAGAAUUUAAAACGUAAAAUUUGCUUUUUAAUUUCAUUUUUUUAAAUCUUUACUUCCUUCUUUUUCUUUAAGAAAAAUAUUUUUAAAUUAAAAAAUCUUAUCCUACAUAUCAUUUAAAUAUUAAUAAUAAUUUUAAUAAAUAAUUAUAAAUAAGAACUUGGAAUUUCCAAAAAUAAAAUUUUAAGUUAUAAUCUAAAUAACACUUUAUGGAUAAUGAAAAAUUAUAAAAAUUAUCUUUUAUAAAAUGAUAUAAAAUAAAUAAAUAAAUAAAAUCAUUACUUGGCAUCAUUUUAUAAUUUUGUACCUUGUUAUAUUAUAUGAUAUAUAUGGUACAUAUAUAACCUAAAAAUACAAAAAGCAAUAUUAAAAUAUUAUUAAAAAUAAUAUUUUAAAAAAAAAGAAUUAUUCGAUGAUGUAAUACAAUAUAAAAGUGCUCAUACAUUAAAACUUAAUUAAUAAGAAUAGCAAAAACAAAUGAAGUAAAAUACCAUAAAAAGAUACAACAAAAUCAUAUAUUUCCUAAAUUCUUAUAACAAGUGAACAAGAAAGAAGUAAGAAGAGUGAGAUUACGUACCGCUAAGUACGAGUGUUGAGGGUGCACCAUUGCAGAUUGUCGUCUGCAAUUCGAACUUCAGGCCAUAGUUUUUAGCUGAUCUGGCCACAAUAGCUUCCCGGAGACCGCCGGUUAAGCUAGGAAAGUGAGAGAAAUAAAGUAAGAGAGAUUAAGUGUUAGGCACAUGUAAAGAAGAGCUGUAAAAUAAGUCCAGUCAAGGAACGUGUUCUUUUACUAAAGAAAAGGAAUGUUUGAAAUGGGAUUAAAUUGUUUCAGUGAAGCAACAGAUUGCUUUUUAUUGGAAGUGAUGUAAAAAGAAGAAAAAACAAUCAUAAUUCAGUAUUUUUAGAACAUCAUAAUGGCUGAAAUGCUCACUUUUGUUUCAAAAGACCAUGAUGCAAGGCACUGGCGAAUCUCGAGAGGGCUUCCAUGGUCCUGGCGCCCCUAAAAUGUAAAAUUAUUAUUUAAUCCUUUAUAUUAUUCUAAAAUUUUUAAAUUAAUAGAUGAAGGUAAAAUUAUAUUUUAAUUCUCUUAAAAUUAUAAAAAUUCGAUUAAUUCUUUAAAAAUAAUAAAGAUAUAGACUAAAUAAUUAAAUUUUCAUAACAUUGUUCUGGCUUCGCCUUUUUUGAUGAGAAUAUUUUGACUAAAAUAUGCAACAAGUUGUUGUAUUCCAUCGGUCCUUAGGAUUGAGGGGCUUUAACCCUAAAGUUUUUAAAUUUUCAUUAUACCCUUAAAAUUUUUUUAAAAUUUUAAUUUUCUCAAAAAUUUUUGAAAAUUCUUUGUAUACCUUUCAUAUUUUUUAGUUACAUCUCUACCAAUGUGAGUAGUUUUUUUAAAUUUCACAAUGUCAUACCAUCCAAUUUGAUAAAAAAAAAAGUGACUAUGUUAACAGUUAGACCUUAAUUUUAAAACUUGAAGAGUCUGGGUAUAAAUUCUAAAAAAUUAAAAGUAUAGAAAUUAAAAUAUAAAUUUAUAAAGAGUAAAGCAACCUAUAACAUAUUUUAACCAUAUAUUUUUAUAUAAAACUUCUUCAAUUGAGUGUCCCGGUUAAAAAGGUUCCAAUUGCUUCUUCUUUUUCCAAAUAAUUGUUUGGCAAGUUAAUUUAUAGGGAAAAGCAAUUUCUAAUUUGCAAAAUCGGGGGUGGAUAGGAAAGUGAAGGUACAUUAGAGUUCACACCAUUACGUUGCCUUUGUCGACUGAAAAUUUUCAGCUUCACACAACCUAAAAAAAUUCAAGAAAGACCCGGUUUUCCGGCCAAAGAAAAACCUAAUUUCCCGAUGGUCAUAGCAGUGAUAGGCCCCUCAAGCAGGGGCGCAGUGGCCAGCGAGCUUGCCAAACACCUCCAUUUCCACCUCAUUGACGAAGAUGAUAUCAUCCCUACUUCUCAACACUCUUUGCCUUCCUCCUCCGCCGCCGCCGUUGCUGAAUCCAAAACUCUCAACUCGUUCUUCGAACUUGUCAUUCAAAUUGCGAAAACGAUCAGGUUGAAUCAGGGGCUUAUCAUCAGCACAAAGCUCUCUCAUAGCUCCCUCAUCGAUGACCUAAAGCAGCUGGCAGGCACUGCUGAUGAACGUCUGGUAAUUGUUCAAUGCAUCGAAGCCCAAGAUGCGAGCUACAGAUACCAAUUUGAAGGAGUUCAGGUGUUCACUGUUGACCCCAAACGCUUCGAUGCCAACAACCUUUUAGCCGAAAUGUCGAGUAAGGUUGCAAAAAGGAAUUCCACUCAUCUGCAUGCUCUGUCUUUGUAUAACAAUUAUCAGCCAUUCACUGAAUCUGGGAAAGGCCUCAAAUGCAAAAGGUGCCUGGAACUCAUUUCAGGCCCUAUGUAUCAAUGCAUGGAGUGCAAUGAAUACAUUUUCCACAAAUCUUGCGCUGAAGAUCCCUGUGAUUUAAAGCUUGUUCGGCAAAGUUGCCCUAAAAAUCUCCGAGCAUCAAAGGAGCCGCCAGGGUAUGAAUUACCUCCGGAGAAACAGAAAAAGUGUGAGACAUGUGAAUUGAACAAGAAGGAUUUCUCCGUUAGUUGUCGUGAUUGUAUCUUCAAAACCAACAUGGAAGGUAAAUUCCUCCCCCUCAUCAUCAAUCACGGAUCUCACUCACAUCCCCUCAAUCUUUUAAUGAUGCCUCCCUCGUAUGAUUACAAGUUCGAAUGUUGCGGGUGCGGUGAGCUGGGCAAAUCCAUUAGCUACAGAUGUUAUGACUGCAACUUCAAUCUGCACGUAGGUUGCGUUUUGUUAGAGCACACUGCUAAAAGCAUCCGCCAUGACCACAAACUUACACUUGUCUAUGAUUCUCUGGAAGUUACCUAUUGGGAUAAAAACAGUUGUGAAUUUUGUAAUAACGAAAGAAAACCAGAACAAUGGUUUUACUACUGUUCAACUUGCGAAAUCGCGGCUCACAUUGGUUGCUGUGCGGUAGAUCAGUCGCAGUGAUCUUAGGGUUUCCAUCGCCAUGACUGCAUAUGGUCAAACUUCAGCAACGCAGAUCGUUCCUUUUCUUUGGUUUUGCCUAAUAAUAUUGCAUGAUUGUUUUUGUUUUAUUUUCGCAUGAUGCCAUGUGUUCACACAUACAUAUUGUGGGCGACCUCUAGAUAGAGACAUGUAAUAUGGUUCGCCUGCACAUGGCACGAAAAUUGUGUACACGAAUCCACUUCGAGUAUACAUGUGUUAAUCCUAAGAUAAGAUACGUGUCAUCAUGCAUUAAGACUGUAACACCCCUUUACCAAUCCUGAUUACAGGAUCAAGUGCUACAUUAGUUUUCAUAAACUCUAAUAGUAAUAUCUAAAUAAAAAUAAUAUUAUAAUUUGCACAUAUUAGUUUCGUUGUUCCAGUAUAUUAAUUAUUGAUACUCGAGAUAAGCUGAAAUAAAAAUUUUCAACCAUUCUUACAUUUAGAACAAUAUACUAAAGCGAAAGAAUGGACAUUGUGAAAAAUAUGGAACGUGGUUGUGUGGAUUUCAGGAACCAUGUUUAAAUUUGAAAUUCAAGGGAUAAUUUGUUAAAUUAGUUCCUAAAGUUUACCUAGUUUAACCCUUGCUCACAUCUCAAAAUUUAAGCCAAUUUAAUUCAAAAAUAAAUCAUAAUUAAGCAUUUUAAAAAUCCGAAUUUCUUAUAUUACUUAAUUAACAUUUGAAUUAUUUCAUAUGAAUUAAGCAGACAUCAAGUUUUACAGUUAAGUCCCAUCACAUUCAACCUUAAUACACACACCUAGGUACAUGCCAUUUACUGAAACAACAGAAAUUAAUACUUUACCCCUUUCUCGGAUUCACUUAUAUGAUUAGACGAGAUGCCUUCGAUCUUCAAAAAUCCCUUUUCUUCUACUCUUAACCUACGCGUAUAAAACACGCGUUAAACUAUUACUAGCUUAGGAAGUAAAACUAAUAUUUAGAUCAUAAUCUAUAUUAUAAAUUAUAACUUAUUUAUUAUUACUACACAAAAUCAUUUAAAUGACCUGUUUGUAUUCAUCAUACAUAAUUUUUCCAAUCGAUUCACUUAUUCUUACAAUUAGGGCCACAUUUAUUAUUUACUUAUUAAACACCAACUAAACAUACUGAUUUAAUUAUCAUCUAUAUAAUACUAGAAUCACAUGAUCCAUUUUAAAUUCUCAUUUAUUCCAUUUAGCUAAAAUUUCGGAUAAUUUACUUUACUUAUUUCAACCAUAUAUUUUCUUAUUUUUCUCAAUUUCAAAUAUUUUCAACACAUAUAAUCUAUAUAAUUCAAUAAUCACUAAAAUAAUUUAUACAUUUUUCAGAGACCCAGUAGACUAAACAAAACACUUAGGAUAUACGGAAUUGAUACAGAGAUGCACUAAAGUGUGCUAAUAGAACAAUAGGCACCAAAGUGCAAACCACUAAGCACCAAAGUGCAAAAUAGUAAGCGCCAAAGCGGGAAACGAUAACCGCGCUAAAAUUUCCUUAAUGGCAUGCCAUCUAUAUCCCAAUAGUUCUAAUCUCGUCUACUUGGGUAAAUUAUAUCAUGCACACAUAUCACUUUUACAUUUUUGCAUAAUGCUUUUACAUUUUCUACCAUUUAAUCCUAAUAACAAUAUUUCGUAUAAUUAUAUCUUCCUCUUUCAUUAACACAUAUAACUUGUCACAAUAUUUAAUAAUCCUCCAUAAUUUCACUAAUAAUUUUUAUUAGACAUUUGACCUAUCACUUUUACUUUAUUUACAAUUUAGACCACAUCAUGACAUUUCAUGUAACAAUGUCUUUCAUUUUUAAUAACAUAUAUAAAAUGUUUCAUUUCUUAGUUUAAUUUCUAUAUUUCACCACGAAUUCUUAUUAUCAUAUUUAUAUAUUAUUCUUAGUCCUUAAGUCAUCAAUUCACUAAAUAGAACUUUCGUAUCUUUUUAAUACAUGUAACAUGUUUCGCUAUUUAAUAUAAUUUCCAUAAUUCAUCAUUUAUUUAUAACUUAUUUACUUUAUACUACUUUUACAUUUUUAAAAAAUAUUAGUCAUUGUAAAGAUAGUUUAUUUAACAUUAUUUUCUACUAACAAUAAUUCAUGUAUCAUAUCUCAUAUUUAUAAAUUUUCCAUAAUUUACUAUUAAUUCUUAUUAUAUAUUUUUUAAAUAUAUUAUUUUUACAUAUUUUACAAUGCAGUCCCUUUCUUUCUCAUAUUUUGUCAAAUAAUCCCACAACAUUACGACAUCAAUCUACUCAUCAAUUAUAUACAUAUAUCAUUUCUACACUCAUUUUAUUAUUUAAAAAUUAUAGUUCUAUUAACUAUUGUACCUCUUAUGAAUUAGUCCUUUAUAUCUUUUCCUUACUUUUCUUUUAAUUUUCUCUAUUACAUUUUACUUAGUCAAUUCAUCAUACCAAUAUACUCAACCUUAGUCAAUUCAUCAUACCAAUAUACUCAACCAUUAUCACAUUUUAUUCUUUAAUUAAUUAUAUAAUAUGUAAAUUUCUAAUUAAACACUAUAUCUAGAUUUAUUCUCAACAAAUUUUACUUAAUAAUUCAUCACAUAUUUAAAAUAAACAAAACUUUAGUUGUACUUACAACUCAAAGUAUGGAAUCAAGCUUUCUUCCUUUUCUUCCUCCUUUAGCUCCUCCUUUGCUUUAAUUCUCUAUUUGUUUCUCUCUUUUCUUCACUUUUUCUUCAUUUCUCCAUAUCAAAAUACACAAUAUUUACACAUUAAAAUCAUAUUCACAUAUCAUAUUUCAUGUUUUUCAAAUAAAACCAACAUGUAUUUCAAGAAAAGUAUAGCUUUCUUACCUUAAUCACUUGUAUUAAAUACUAAUUCUUAUUUUCUCUCCUCCUACACAAGUAUGGAUGCAUUUCUUUUAACAGUUGGGUAGUUACUACACUUCUCUACUAAUUUUACUCUCUAAUUGUGAAGAAAUUUGGAAAAAAAAAAAAGAAAUCUAGCUUAAUUGUUUUCUAUUUGAUGAAAAGGACUAAAUUGAAAGAAAAAUAAAAGUUAAAAUGGUGUAAAAAUGGUGGCUGACGUGAGCCAUUCCAUCCUUUCUUUUCUCCAUUUCUCUUAAAAGUAUCUCCUUUUAUUUUAUUUACCAUUUUGUCCUAACUAUUCACACUUUUUACUAUUUAUCCUUAAUCAUUACCUUCCAUAAUUAUCUUUUCAAUUCAUUUACCAUUUUACCCUUCCUCUUUUCCUAUAAUAACACCCAUGUGUCCUAUCUCCUUUGGUAUAUUUUUACCUUUAUGUCCUCCUCAUUUUUCAUCAAUUUAAUUUAAUCCUUCAACACCCAACUUUCUCACAUUGUCCAAAUACUUUCCACUAAUUUAAUUGAUUCCCAAAAAAAAUCAUAUUAAUAUUUAUACUUUUUCAAAUAUCUUAUGCACCUAUUUUUUUAUAUCUCAUAACUCUUUAAAUUUCCAGUUUCCUACUUUCUCAAAAUUUCGAAUAAUUUAUUGUAUAUAUAUCACAGUUCAAGACUCUGAAAAUUUCUGGGAUGUUACAGACACCUACCUAGCAUACAUGUAUGAACAGCGACCGUAUCAUAUAAAAACAUAACAUUAACCCAUCUGAGAUGACACACACAGAAAAACACUCAACAAGUCACAAUUGUUUUCAUAUUGAUGUAUAUAUAUAUAAUUUUUUUUAGAAUUAGUCCAUAAAUUUAGCAAUUGAUGUUACCUUGGAACAUAAAUUUUUUUGUCCAAAUUAAUCAAUGAGAUUUCUUUUAAAAAAUUGGACAAAAAAUUUCUAACCCAAUGUGAGAAUAAUUAUCUAGUUCAUAUUCCUAAUUCUCAAAUUUAAGGACUAAUUUAGAAAAAAAUAAAAACAUUUACUAAAUUCAAACUUCAUCUACUACAUUAACUUUUCCUAUUCAACCAAGUUGAUGAAAGGAAGAAAAAAUAUACUGCACUACAGAGAUAAGGUCGAAAUUUUAGUUCUAAAUUUUCGAAGAAAAUUUUUUUUUUUUGGUACAUUCAAUUAUAUUAAUUCAAAUUUCUUAGAAUUCUUAAACUUGGAUAGUUUCUCAUCAAAGAAAUUUAACUUAAGAUGCUUGUAUCUUAAGAUAAUCAUAAAGAAAAUAAUUUGAAAGGCGGGUUUGAGAUUUGAAUUGGUUAUUGUUUUUAUAUUAAGGUUUGAAAUUUUUUUUUCUAGUUAGCCCUUGAACUUAACAAUCUUUUCUAUAUUGAAUUUGAACUUAUUUUUAUCCAAUUUAAUCACUGAUAUUUACUUAAAAGAAGUUUAGGCUCGAUGUGGAAACUAUUUCUUAAUUUAGACCCCACUAUAAGAAUAAUUACCGAAGAGACUAACUAAAAAAAAAAAAGUUUAGAACCAAAUGUGAGAUAAUAAUUUUUAAGAGAGAAUCUGGAGAUGUAGUUUAAGUUUAAAGUGCAUUAAGUGUCAAAUUUUUAUUCUUUUUGUGCUUGUUAAUAGGUGUCCUACUUUAGUAUAUUAAUUUGAUAACUUUUUCCAGCUAUGAAAUUAAGAAAAAAUCGCUUUUUUAAUUAUUUUUAAUGAUUUUUUAAGUUUUGUUAUAUAUAUUUAAAAAUUUUAAGUGAAUUUAUUACUUUUUCUUUACACGUGGUAGUAUGUCAUUGGUGGAUUUAAAAAAAUUUAACCGAAGUACAGAAUUAAAAUACAAGGGCCAAAUUAAAAACAAAAAUAAAAUGCAAAGGCUAAACUGAUAAAAUAAAUAAUACAAAUAUCAAAGUUAUAAUUUAAGUAUUGUACAGGGGCCAAAAGCGGUAUUAAGCCAAACUAAAAGAGAAUGAAUUAAAUUGAAAGAGUAGCAUUUGAUGGGGCGAAGGUGGUGUGAAGGAUCAUUUGUUUUUCUAAUGUGGGUGCUCCUUUCCAGUUCUGCACGAGGCCAAGCGGUGACAAGAGUUAACCCAUACCAGUUCACCAACCCAACACAAGGUGUUUAGUUUUCCGUCACUCACAUUUCAAGCAACAAUCUCUGGUUUCGUUCUGUUUUACGACGCAAGAUCUUUGAGAAGAAUCGGGUAGCCAUUGACCAUUAUAAGUAUUUUUCUGCUACAUCAUUCACAAUCAUUACCAAAAUAUGAACCCUAACCUCUAUUCAUUGUUUCUUUUUGUUUUGUUGAUGAAAAUAUUCUUUUACCAGAGUGCAAGGCAUUUGGUGAUUGCUAUUUUCUGCCGCCUCAGCAUCUCCUCAAGGCCAGGUAGGUACUUUUGCAAUACCUAUGUUUUGUUUUGUGUUUAUUUUUUUAGCAUACUCACUUUUUAUACUUUUUAUAAAUAAAAAAAAUUUAAGAAUUAUUCACCAAUUGGUUUAAAAUAAGCAUAUAAGUUUCCUUUUUUUUUUUCCAUUUUUUAAAAAUAUUAGCUGUAAAAAAAAUCUUUACAUCAUCUUUAAUGGAGUAACCGGAAAAAAUAAUGUCAAAAAUAAUAGUAAAUAAUUGUAAUUUUUUAUAAUUUAUUGAUGGAAACGAGAGUUUAUUAAUAAUUAAGUCACUAAAAGGUUAUUAUAAAAGAAUUUUUAUCAUUUUACAUUUUUAUUUAAAAUUUAUAAAAAAUAAUUUAAACCAAAUUAAAUCUAAAAAAACCGAAUAUAAAAACCUUUUUUUAAUAUACGCAUAUAAUAAAAUUUGAGAUUUGAACUCAAACCCUUUUAGUUUUCAAUAUUUAUAUUUUACCAUUCAGCUAAAACUUUAAUAUUUUAUUAUUUAUAAUCCAUUAUCUUUCAAUAAAUCUAAUAUAACAAUGUAUAAGGAUCAUAAUAGGUGUAAAUCAUAAUUAGUUAUCAUUUAGAAAACUAAGGCAUGAAAUAUAUUUACGUGAAAAAGGUGUGGAAAAAGGACAACAAAUAUGUCCAAUAGUCUUGCAUAAAUUGUGAAUUUAAUUCAAAUAUUUUUAAUUUUCAUACUGUUUUAAAACUUUGUUCAGUUUAUUACCAUCAUCAACUACCAAUGAAAAGAAGUUUUAUCUUCCUUCACUGCUUUUCUUUCUCUCUGAUUUUUCAAUGUUAUCUUUUUUCUUUAUACAAUAUUGCUGUUUAAAUAGUGUCAAAUCGGUAUUUAAUAAGUGCUUUAAUCAUUUAUAUUUAACCCAAUUAUUUUAAUAAAUAUCUUAUUUUUAUCUUUUUUCCCCUAUUUUUAAUGGUAAUUAAGAUAAAUAAAAUAAAACAUCAAGAUAAAUUAGUUGAUUUAUGGAUUUUCAGUUAUAUUUUAAAAGAUAAAAUAUAUAUGUUAUAAAUAAAUAAAGCAAUGGAGAAUUGGCCAUUUAAAUUUUAUCAAUAAUAAUUUAUUUUAUUAAUGUUAAUAUAAAAAAUUAGUAGAAAAAAUUAUUCAAUAUUUAAUUUAAUAAAAAAUACCCAAUUAAGAAAUUUUAAUUUAAUAAUGAUCAUUUUAAUUUUGUUGAUAAAAAAAUAAUUAAUAUUCUAUUUCAAUAAAAAAACAAUGAUUGAAUAAUCAAUUUUAGAAAAUUUAAAGGAUAAAUAUAUUGUUCAUUAUUUAUUAAUAUUUUUAUUUUAAUAAAAAAAGCAUUCAAUUCAAUAUGAGAGUGCAUUUGUUUCGGAAAAUGAUUUUUGGAAAAUAACUUAAUUUUUUAGAAAAAUUAAUUUUUAUAGUAUUUAGAUGAUCCUAUGCAAAAUAUUUUCUAUUGUUUGAUAAAUUUUCGUGAAAAUUAUUUUGAGUGAGAGAAACACACAUUUUUAUCUUUUGAUUUUUUAUUGAAUUUAUGUUAUUUCUAUAAAUUAUAUUUUGCUAUGUUUUUUAUAUAUGUGCCAAUGUUUUAAAUUUUUAAAAUACAUCAAAUUAAAUUUAGGGUAAAUUACACCAUUAGUUACUAAAUUAUGGGUAAUUUUCCGUUCUGGUCACUUAACUAAAAAAUCACAAUUCAGUCACUAAAGUUUUCGAAAUUAUUUUUUUGGGUCACCCAACUAUUAAAUGGCACUUUUUUAAUAGGCAUAAUAACAAUUUUAGUCCCCACUUUUUUUUUGUCAAUUUGAUAUUGAAGCUAUAUAAAAAUAUAAAAGAACUCAAAAUUAUUUAAAAAUAGAAAAUUCUAUAUAAAAUUUCUAGAAAAAUAAAAUCUUGAAAAUGUUGUUGAAGAACUAAUAUGUAUGUAUGGGAAAUAAAGAAAAUUAUCAUUCAAUAAUAAAAAAUUAAAACAAAACAAAAAGAUUAAAUCAUUAUGUGCUUCUUUCGUGUUUCUCGAAAUCAAAUUAAUAAUAUUGUAACACCGAUUCCGGUAGUUGAUAUGGACAAGAGACAUUAUUAGAACAAUUUUGGUACAAAAAUCAGUAAUUUAUGUAAUUUAAUAAAUUAAGAAAUUUACUUAUUUGAAUUAAGUGGUAAUAAAAAUAACUAAUAUUUUAUUUCAAUAAAGAAAAUAUUGAAAAAUUAAAAUUUUAUCAACUAUAAUUUAUUUGGACUUUAAUAUUAAUGGUAAUAUAUUUUAUUAAUAGUUUAUUUUAAUUAAAAAUACAAGAUUGAAUAAAUAAUUUUAGGGUAAACUACAAGAAUAGACACCCAAUUAUUUUUUUUUCUAGCAUAAGAGUAAUUAACUCUAGGUUAAUUAAAAAACUCCUAUUAUUAGAUCAAUUCGUUCUAUUAAUUCUCUUAUUAGAUUUGUCUUUAAUUCGGUAGACUUAUAUCGUCCUAUUUCUAGGAUUGCAUGCAACUUCAUUCAAUUAUGCAAUAUGUAAUCACAAGAAUGGCUUCUUCAACCUUAAACUUAUGCACAUCAAACAUGGAACAACACCCUAGAAUUUAAACCCAAGAACAAUUAAGUCUUCAUAAUUGAAAACAAAGAAAUUAAGAUUUUAUUGAAUAAAAGAUAGAAAUCAAACAAUAGAAUUCAUCCUAAGAUUCAUCUUCCUUAGGUAAUAAGAGAAUUAGUUCAUACUUCCAAGAAUAAACACCAAAAAGUAUAAUAUAACCACUAAAAUAAAAAGAAAUCCAUGAUAACUCCAUUGGAAAUUAGUUGGACUCUUGAAUAUUGUUGGAGAAUUGCUUAGAAAUUGACUUCAAUAGUGUUAUUUGAGUAAUUUUCGUGCUAUUCUAUGACGGAUGCUUUCCUCCUCCUUUAUUUCCUUAUUUAUACCUUCUUAAAGUGCCAAAAUUUAAAAAUCGUCACUUCUAGUUAGCACACAGGGUUCCGGAAAUCUACACGUCCUGAACACAUGCCCGUGUGAAUCACAUGGUCGUAUGGGUAGUUCGUGUGAAAAUUUAUCGCAUGUGUGCAACUUCUGAAAUGCUCCAAUGUUGAAAUUUUCACCCGGUUUUCACUCCUAUUGCUCUCAAGUACCCUAUUAAGCAUUAAAACAUGCAUAUAAAAGAUUAGGAGUAUAUAAUUCACAAUUAAUAUCACAUAAUCACCCAAAAAUACAUUAAGAAUGAGGCUAAAACAUGUUACUAUUGACACUUAUCAUAUAUAUAUAUAUAAAAUGACCUUAAGCUUUUCCUCCAAAUAUAUUUGGGUUUGCCAUCAACUCACGUAAAAAAGUUAGGUCAAAGGUUAGCUUUCCCCAUUAAAAUAAACAAUGCAACGCAAUAAAUCACAAACUUAAAAUCAACCAAGAUGGAAGUUUAAUAUUCCUAAAAUUUAUAAUUAAAUCUUGGUUCAAAUUUGCAUCUAACAACAAUGGGAGAAAAGAAACUUGUAACACCCCAAACUCGGCCUAGACGUUAUGGCUGAAUCCGGAGAAGUUACAAAGAAUGGGUUUUGAAAACGGAGUCGCUACGUUAAAUCAUUUCAGCUUAUUAACUCAUAUUCUUUUAUAUCCAUUGUCAAACACGCCAAUUAAUUGAUUUAUUUGCCAAAACAUAUUUUACAUCGGAAGUCUAAUAAAACUGUUAUAUUUUGGAAAUCCAAUUCGUAUUUUUAGAAAAAUCUUUUUGUUUGAGUAAAAUAGUCAUUUGUAUAAACAUUUUGUUAAACCAUGCAAAUAAACAAGCAAACAAACCAAAACCAAAAGUUUAAAAACUGUCCAAUAAAUUACAAACUCACAAUUAAGUCUGAAAUUUAAAUAAAAAUCAUAAUUACUUAGGAUAAUCAGUUCUCGCACGAAUGGUCACCGCUGAGUCUCUAUUGCAUCAAUCCACCUAAGUUUGUGGAUUACCUGUACAGAACAAACAACAUAUGUGAGUUUCGUAAACUCAGUGUGUAACCCAACAGAAAUAGGCAGGCAAAAUAUUCAGAAAUCUCAUGCUAAGUCAAAUACAAAUACAGACUUAUGUCCAUUUUAGAUACAGAUACAGAUAUGCAGAGUCCUACCCCUAUCCUUUACACACCAACUCCGUCCAUCCCAACACACCAUGUGGGGUUAAAAACACCCACCCAUCCCUACACACCAUAUCGUGUCAUUACGACACAUAUCAGAUAAUAUGCAGCCAUGCUGCCAUAAUAUAGGCGUUGAUCGCUAUAUAGAACACUUCCUCCACAUAUACAAAUCCCACCCUAAAAAUAGUUACAGAAAUCAUAUACAGAAAUUACAGAUAUAACAUGCUUAUCAUGCUUGUGUACAAAUUUCAGAUGUACAUAUAUCAGAAUAGUCAGACAUGCAUAAAAGUGUCAUUCUCAGAGCAUACUAUCAGAAUAUGAAAUUGCAUAAUCUAGGGUUUGAUUAGCCCUUACCGACCCUAUGGUAGGCCCACAGUCGAUCGAAACGACCCGUGCAACCCUUGGGAAAUUUUCAAAAUUUAGGCUCACAUGCCUGUGUGGAAUGCCCGUGUAGGCCCAAACGCCCAAAUUGGUCUUGUCCAUGUGGCCCACACGGCCACACUCACACCACCACACGGUCAUGCCUUGCGGACGACCAAGCCUUCGUCGAUCACACGGCUGUGUCUCGCACACGGCCAACCACACGGGCGACCACACGCCCGUGUGGCAUCAACAGAACAGUCGAGCCUUUCGAAACCGCCAACACACUCGUUCACUCGCACAAAUUAGACUGUUGGAGUGGAACUACUGCUUCACCUUCGUCUCCUAAGCAACAAAUUUACAAAACUUCAACCUCAGAAAACAAAAGCUAAAUGAAUACAACCAACCCCACUUACCGGUUUCACGAAGACCAAAGAUUCAAAACGCCCAAGAGCAAGGUUUAAUGACAGAAUCAGAAGGCGGAGAAGGGGGAGUUUACUACUAUUUUGCCAGAAAGUAGAAGAAGAAAAGGAGAAGAAAAUCAAAGGGAAUUUCUAUUUGGGAAAAAAAAGGUUAGAAACAACGGAUUUUGAGAAAAGAAUAAAAAAUAAAAAUAAAAUAAUUUUAAUAUAAUUUGAAACCUCAAAUCCUACUAAAUUUCACCCACUAACCACAUACAACUACCUUGGAAUUUUGGCUCUACCGAAACUCUUCCAAACAACCGAGCAAAAAUUAACACCCUUGCUAAAGCAAGACCUCCAACACCCAAAUCCCUUACCACUCAAACCAGUAGGCUCAUUCCGAUAUAAAUUAACAAACAAUAUUAUAUAAACCACUUGGACCAAAAAUAACAAAAUUAUCAACAGUGAGACUUGAACCCAAGACGUCAUAUACACACACCUAAAAUACUUAACUACUGAAGCAAAUACACACUUAUAUUAGAUACUUACAGAAACAUAAAUAAAUUUAUCAUGGCGUUAGAAAACUCCCCAUUUGCAAUCGAAGUAACUAUAAGAUUCCCCUGAUUGUAUAACUUUUAUAAAAUAAAAACAUUUUAAACCUUGAUAAACAAGCUGAAAUAACAAAGCAGAAAAAGAACACCAAAAAUCUAAAUUAUAUCUAAAAAGAAAGUCAACUCAGUUUUUCAACUAACUUAAAAUUGAUAUUAAGGAAAGAGAGCAUCUGGUCAAAGGUAAACUGUAGAAGGAAAAGAGAUGUAAAUUGUUAUCUUGAUAGAAUAUAUAAACAUAUUAAAAUUUUGAUAACUAAAUGAAAAAUUUUGUGAAUAUUUGUUGAAUUUUUUAGAUUAAAGAUGAAAUUGAUAGGAUGUGUAAACAUUGAGAGGUUAAAAUAACAAAUUUUGAGAUAUAAAUUUAUUGAAUAUUUUUAGAUUUAAGAUUAAAUUGAUAGAAUGUAUAAAUGAUGAAAGGCUAAAUUUGUUACUAGGUGAAUAUAAAAAACAUUUGUUAAACUUCGGUUACUGAGUUAAAGUUGAGUUACGGUCAAAUAACUUGUGAGUGACUAAAAUGUUUAAUUUUUAAAAGUUGAGUGAUUGAAUUGAAAAAAAAUAAUAGUUGGGUGACCAAAAUAAAACUAAGUGUAUAGUUAGUUGACUAUUCUUAUAAUUUAACCACAUUUUUAAAAAAAAAAUUAGGGAAAAAUGUAUAAUAGUUUUAGAACUGGAUCCAUUCGUAGAGGUGCAAAACUAAAAUAAUUUUCAACCAUUGCAUAAUUUUUUAUAUAAUUAAUGUUUUAACAAUCCAACCAUUAUAUUUUAUUUUCCAUUUAUAUAGAUCAUACAUAUUAAAUUUUACAUAAAUUAGAAAUUUCAACCUAAUAUAUGUUAAUAUGAACAAUAUUUUACAAUGAGCUGUGAUAUGAUUGCUCACUUUAUCUCUCAACCAUGUAAUUGGGGGUUUGAUCCCCACUCAUUGGAAUUAAACAUAUUUUAUGGCUAACCAUUUAUUUUUUGGAAGAGCACUCAUGACAAGGAGAUUAAUUACUACUACUGGUAGAUAUUUUAUAUCGAUAUGAUAAAGAUAUCGAAUUGAUUCAAAAUUAUACACAAAUAUAAAUAUCUUGAUAAAUUCAAUUGUUGAAUUGUUAAAACAUUAAUCGUAUAAUAAAAUAUUAAUUGUGAAAGUAUUUAAAAAUACUGGUGUAAGUCCAACCCUUUCCUAUUUACAUAGAUUAUUACAUUAAAUUAAAUACUUACAUUUUAUUAUGAAAUAUUGUAAUAUUUUAGUUUCAAAUAAUUAUCGUGUAUGCUGGAAAAAAUUAGAACAGAAAAAAGGUGUAUAUAUUUAUCAACUAUUUGAUAUGCCAAUGCAUUCUUAAUAUCUGGACUUGAUGCAGGGACGUCAUGUUGGUGGUGAAGCCAGUAACGAGAUCAAUUUUAGCUAAAGUGGUUAAAGGCGCCAUUGUCAGACCACUUACCAGGACUCUGAAUUACCACAUAAAUUUCGAUAAAUAUGUGAAAGAAUUCGAAGACGCUGAACGUAUUUUGGUAGACCAACUGAAAGAUAUUGAAGCUCAAAAGCAAGAACAGCUUCGUUAUGUGGGAAGAAUGUUAGCGCCUGAAGUUGAAGUUUGGCUAAAACGUGCACGGAUGGUUCUUAAUGACGCCCAAUAUGUUACAGAUGAGAUCAGGAAAGGGAAAUAUAUGUUGCGUUCUAUUGUAGGGAAGCAUGUUGUAAGACUAACUCUGGAAAUGAAGGAUUUGUGUGAACAUGGUUCGUUUGAGAGGAUGUCGUCUUAUGCUGCUUCCUCUGCAAUGACUUCAUUGCCAACAACUGAUAUUGUAGGUAUUUCUCGUGAAGAGGAAAUUUGCAAUUAUUUGAUGAAGCAGGAAGUUAGAAUGCUUGGAGUGUGGGGGAUGCCUGGACUCGGGAAAACCACCAUAAUGAAGCAUAUUUACAAUAAAUUGAUGGAAGGCAAUAAAUUUAGUAAAAUGAUUUGGAUAACGGUAUCCGAAGGUGCUGAUAUCCGUAGGCUACAGAACGACAUUGCACGCAUAUUAAGUAUUGACUUGUCAGAUGAUGAGGAUACAAAUGUACGUGCAAAAAAGCUAUAUGAAGAGCUGAUGAAAACAGGGAGCUACCUAUUAAUACUUGAUGAUGUAUGCCAGAGGAUUUCUCUUGAGGAUGUUGGAAUCCCUAAGCCAUCUGCAGAUAAUGGACGCAAGAUAGUAGUGACAACGCGUGACAGAAAGGUUAUUCAAAAGAUGAGUUGUAAGGCAGUCGAAGUGCGGUUUCUUUCUGAUGAUGAGUCCUUCCAGUUACUCUUAAGCAAAGUUGGAGAAGAUGUGUUGGCUGAUCCAACCAUAAAACCAAUUAUGAAAGCUAUACUUAAGGAAUGCGGUGGUCUUCCGCUCAAAAUUGUCACAGUAGCUAGUUCAUUGAAAGGAGUACUUGAUCGUGAUCGUUGGGUGCAUGCAUUAGACCAGUUGAAAAGAAGCAGAGAUUUACUGAAAACCAGAUAUGAUGAUCUAGCAGGAACAGAUAAAGAUUGUUUCUUACACAGUGCACUAUAUCCUGCAGACUAUGCAAUCCCAAAAGAGGAUAUUAUUGAAUAUUGGAUAGAAGAAGGACUUGUAGAUGAAAUGGAGAGCAGAGAAGAAAGGAAGAGUAAGGGCCAUGCUUGUUUGCAAAGGAUUUUAGACAGUAGCUUGCUACUAGGGGCCGAUGGCAAGAACAUUGUAAUGACGAGUAAAGCCGGGAGAGAUAUGGCACUAUCUUUGAUAGCAAAAGAGUUUCCGUGUUUUGUGAAAGCUGGUAUGAAAUUGAAGGAGCUACCAAAUGAACUAGAAGAGGCUCUAGAUAUAAAGAAGGUUUCCUUGAUGGAGAAUUUCAUAUCUAAAAUACCUCCAGAAAUUUCUCCAAAGAGUAAAAAGCUCACGACCUUGUUAUUGUCAGGUAAUGCCUUGGAAGAAAUCCCUGAAUCUUUCUUCACCCAUAUGCAAGCACUCAAGUAUCUUGACCUUUCUAGAAAUCCAUUCAAAAUUUUGCCAAAUUCCAUCUCAAAUUUGGAGAAUCUGACUGCAUUACUUCUUUCGGAAUGCAAAAAUUUAGAGGAGGUUCCAUCUUUAUCAAAACUUCUAGCUUUAAAGAAGUUGAACCUUGAAAAAACAAGAAUCAAAGAGGUUCCUCAAGGUAUGGGAUUCUUGGUAGAUCUAAGGUAUCUCAAUCUUAGAUUCAUCUCGUGUUUAGAAGAGAUCCCGCAAGGUCUUUUGCCGAAACUCCAACGUCUUCAACACUUGGCAAUACAUCCAACACUGUCAAGAGCAAAGGAGAUAAUGGAAUUGAACAAGUUGGAAAAUUUUGAAGGUAGGUUUGCUGAUCUGCAAGACCUAAGCAAAUAUGUUGACUUUCUUCGGAAACAAAGUCAAAGGACCAUCAAGUACUUCAUUUUGGUGGGCAAGACUGUUGAGUAUAAGUUACGUUCUUGUACCAACUCUGUCAUAGUAAAAGAUUGUAACACCGAAGGCAGUCAUGUGCUUCCUUGGGAUGUCGAGGAAUUCGGAAUUGAGAAGUGCAAUAACUUGAGCAGCUUAAAUGGAGUUUCUGGACUGCAAGAGGCAACCCUUUUGAAAAAAUGCAGAAUUGAGGAAUGUGAAAGACUGGAGUCUGUUUUUUCCUCUAGCUGUCCACCACUUAAAAGCCUCGAGUCCCUAGUUCUUCGGCAUUUGAAGAAUCUGAAUGUCCUAGUUGCAUAUCCAGAACCAUUCCUCCAUGCCUUUUCCUCUCUUAAAGUACUUUUCUUAGUUAAAUGUCCGAAAAUAAAGAUUCUGUUCUCAACUAAGCUGCGGCUGCUACAACAUCUCAUCAACUUGGAACAAGUCAUUAUUUGGGGUUGUGAUCAAAUGGAGCAAAUAAUAGAAGAAGAAGAAGAAGAAGAAAUCCUUAGCGAUGCCACUGAAUUUACCUUUCCAAAAUUAAAGGAACUGGGAUUAUGGCAUCUACCAGAAUUGAAGAGCAUUUGCAGCACCAAAGGAGUAAUGCUUUGUAAAUCUCUCCAAAAGCUAGAGAUAUGGAAUUGUCCCAAGUUAAAGAGGAUUCCUCUGAAGCUGGAUAUUUCCUUUGAGAAUGGCAAAGUAUUUCACCAUCCUCCUCUAAAAGACAUCAAGAUGAAAUCAAAUGAAUGGAAAUCCAUCGAGUGGGACCAUCCCGAUGCUAAAAAAGCCCUUUUACCAUUAGUGAGGAUCAUGUAGCAGUAUCUUAUAGUGGAGUCAAUGAUCCAAGGCAAGCCCUGUCAUCUCCCUUACAAUUUAAAUGGUUCCAACUUAAUUUCUUCUAUUUAUACUUUAACAUUUAUGUUGUUUUCAGCUUUUCAUAACUCUCUACAUCACUGGCAUCAGAAGCAAACUCCAGGCCGAGUGGAGAAACAGAACUCUUGAACCAAAAAGAAAUAAAGUUGCAUGGCUUGAACCAUGACUAUGGAUUGCAUCGAUCAUCUUUCUGUAUUGUAAUUUAUUUUUAUCAUCCCGACUUUAGUCUUUAAUGCUAGUUUGUAUUUGUUUGGAACCUUUUUUUUCUUUUUCUUUUUUUUUUUGUGAAGCUCUAUUCGUUCCCUGGAAAAGGGUCUUUAUGUUGUAGCAUCUGAACAAGAAAUUAUGCUUCUGUUUGUACAAGUUCAGUUGAAGUUGGUACGGUAACUUUAUACCAGAACCAUUGUCUUCAAUUUUCGUAUACCAGUUGAUUUCCUUCGCAGAAAGUAAUAUGACUUUCUGAAUGUUCUUAUAUUUUUGUUAUUUGGUAUAAUGAUAUAUUUUACUCUUCAAUUUUAUAAAAAAUAUCAUUUUAGUUAUUAAUUUAAUUUUUCCUUUAUUUUAAUCUUUGAAUUUGUGUUUUUUUAAUCAAAUCACUCUAAAUUAGAUGAAAAAGUUAAAUUACCAUCCUUCAGUAUCCAUGAAAAUUACUGUCUUGUUGGGCCUCCUUCACCAGCGAAAAUCAUAAGAAUGGACCAAAAAUUACGGUUUAGAUAGCCAUGCACUAUGCAUUAUAAAUUGCUUUCUUCUUCUUCUUCUUCUACCAAAUGCUAUCAUGGCCUUAUAUGCAUGCUUGAUAUUUUGAGUAAACCAUGUAUACCUGCCUAACACUUUCUCACCUUGACAUUGACAUGCAUUAUCUUGCAUGCGUUUCAUGUGAUUACGUGUUCUUUUUAAUGCAAUUUUAAAUUUCUUGCAUUAUGAAAUUCAAAAUAUUUUCCACGUCUUUUAUUUAUCCAUGACUAAAGAUUAUAAGUUCUGAUCAUAUUUGUUAUUUUUAAGAUAAUGCCUAGAGCUAUCCAUAGUCUAUUCUCAACCCAUAAAUAGGAGGAUAAUACGCUUUAGUGCACUCAAACUCACGUUCUCCUGUAUUGACAACAAUGCUCAUGCCAAUCAAGUUAAGACUCAAUCAACUUCAAUAGGUGUCUUUUUUGAAUAAUCACAUUUCUUAAAUAAAUAUAGUUAUUCAAGAGAUACAACUAUUCAAGUAAUAUGUCAUAAAUAAAUAUAACUAUUCAAGUGAUAUUACUUGAAUAGUUAUAAUUCUUUGUUAAAAAAUCAAGUGAUAUAACUCUUCAUAUUUAACAAACAUAAUAACUAUUCAAGUGAUAUUGCUUGAAUAGUUAUAAUUCUUUGUUAAAAAAUCAAGUGAUAUAACUAUUCAUAUUUAACAAACAUAACUCAUUAUUAGAUCUGAUCAUGGGCCAAGCCAUCUACCCAUGCCCAAUAGCUCGCCUAAAAAGUGAGAGAGUUAAGGCAAAUAUAUAGGCUUAAAAAAUGGAUUUAAACAAAAAAAAGGCUUGUUUAGAAAAUAGGCAAGCCUUAGGCAAUAUUUUCUUUGCCCGAGCCUAGCCUGAAUUUGACAAAAAAUUUGUUGUUAUUUGCUUUUGUUUACUGUUGUUAUGUUGUUAUUUUGCUACCAUUCACUAUUAUAUUGCUACUAUUUUAUUGUUAUUGUUUGGAUAUUUUAUUACUCUUAUUUUAUUAUUAUUUUUGUUAUUAUUUUAGAGGUAUUUGUUUGUUAAGUUGCAGCCAUGUUAGUUUUAUUUUUUAUAUGUAUUUUCAAUUUGUUGAAAAACAUUUAUUUUAAUGUUUUUUACCUAUUUGAUGUAUUAUAUUUUUUAAACUUAUUUUUAUAUAAAAAAAAUAAUGCAAGCGGGUUGAGCUAGGCUUAGGUUUAGUAUUUUUAUCCAGAUUGGGCUUGAGCAAAAAUUUAAACUCAUUUUUUCGGGUCAGACCAAGCUCGGGUCUAAAAACUGGGCUUGCUUUUUUGUAUUGACCCGGUCUAGCCCAUGAUCAGCUUUACUCAUUAUUUAAGAAUAGUCAUAACUCUAUUAAGAACUAAAAAUUAUAACCUUCAAUUACAUACAAUUUUUCGUUUAUAGUUAUUGAAACAUCAUAAAUAUUUGGAAAUGUUCCAAUAAUAGGACAAAAGAUUCAUCCUAGAUGACAUGGUAUCAUGAUCCAGAGUAAAUUUACUUACUAACGCGAGAUGGAGGCUAACUUUCAAAACCUCAAAAGCUUAAGCUUUGUCUUAAGAGUUGACGUUACCGAAUUGGUUCUCCAAGGCAAAUUCUUUCAAACUCAAGGUGAUAAUCUAGGUUUGAGCAACUCAUGCGUUUUCAAGUUCAACUUCAACAAUCAAACUGAACCUGAUGACAGAUUUAAGCAACCUGCGUACCCUCAUUCUGUUCUAAAAGUAUCUAUUUGUUCAAAUCCAAUCUCAAUUUAACUCUUUACAACAGCUAUUUCCAGGCUAUAUUAAUGACAUAAUUCUCAGAGCGAUGGAAGUCAAAAUUCUAAAAAUACAAAGCAACCAACUAAAUUAGUAGAUUUGUUGAUGGUCAAACUAUCAAAUUAAAUCGAAUAUUUGUUCGAAAUAUGAUACCUGGAAUGUGGGCUUAGGGAAAAAACUCAAAAUCCUAUCAUAUAUCCAUUUCAGCCUUUGCCUUCAUUUCCACUUUCAAUCAUUUUCAUGUCCACCUUCAACCAUCAGCCAUCACUCACCAUUGCUUAAGCUAUUUUGCAGUUUAGACCAUAAAUUACUGAGUUGAAAACUGUAGUGUCGUUCUGCAGCCCUUUUUGUUUCAGGCUGAAAACUGUAGUGUCGUUCUGCAGCCUUUUUUGUUCCAGGCAGGGCAGGCUGGGCUCAAAAUUUGGGUCGACCUUAAAUAAAACAUUUAAACCCGUAUUUCAUAUUACGCAAGUGUUAAGUUUAGUUCCCAUGCAAAGGUGGCCAUGCACGACAUGCAAAGGUGGUCAUGCUUCUGGAAUCGCAGCAGGCAGUGGUGCCAUGGUGUGCAGCAAGCUGAAGCUAUCCAUUUAGUUUCCUUAAUUGAAUGUUUUGUAUUUAGUUAGGAUCAAACUUAGUUGGUAGCUGCAUUUUGAUGUAAUUAGGUGCUGAAUGACAAGUUUAGGUAGAAGCUUUUUGUUUUUCAAUCAAGUUUACCAAGUUACUAGGCAAUUUAGUGGUGUUAGGUAUGUUAUUAGGUGAUUACUUGUUUGUUUUACUUGUUGACUGAUAUAUGUAAUGGCUUAAUGCCUUGUUGGCUUGCUUAAUGAAAGAUAUCAGCUCAUUUUCAUUCAAUCUUUUUCUCUCUUUUUCUGUUUUUCACUUGCUAGCUUCAUCUUUCUGUUUUCUGCUUCUGAGUUUGCUUCUUCACCAAGCCUCGAGGCUUACUACUCAAGCAAGACUAGAAACAGCUUGCUGCUGCCUCUUGCACCAACAAUUGGUAUCGAGAGCUCUUGUCUUAGUGGACCUGUUGCUUCAAAACAAAGAACUUGAUGGCUUCUUCAGGAUUUUCACCAGCAGCCCCACCAGUCUUCAAUGGAGAAGGCUUUCACAUAUGGCUGGUCAAGAUGAAGACUUACCUACAGGCCUUCGAUCUGUGGGAAGUUGUCAACACAGAUACUGAGCCAGCACCACUGAGGGCUAAUCCCACAGUAGCUCAGAUUAGGCAACAUGCUGAUGAGAGGACCAAAAGGCACAAAGCCAUGUCCUGCAUCCAGAACUGUGUGUCAGAUGUCAUCUUCACCAGAAUUAUGGCCUGUGAGACUCCAAAACAGGCCUGGGAUAAGCUCAAAGAGGAGUUUCAAGGCACUGAGAGAACAAGGCAACAGCAGCUGUUAAACUUGAGAAGGGAUUUCGAGAAUUUGAAGAUGAAGGAAGAAGAAACAGUGAAGCAGUACUCAGAUAGAAUUAUGGCAGUGGUUAACAGCAUAAGGCUCCUAGGUGAGCACUUUGAUGAGGCAAGAAUUGUGGAGAAAGUCCUCUCCACUUUGCCUGAGAGAUAUGAGGCCAAGAUAUCCUCUCUAGAGGACUCAAGAGACCUUGCUAGCAUCUCUUUGACUGAGCUAAUCAACACCUUUUAUGCUCAGGAACAAAGAAGAGCUAGCAGAGCUGAAGAUCACCAAGAAGGUGCAUUUCAAGCCAAGGCCAGAGAAACCUCGAGCACUAAUGCUCAAAGAGGCAAAAGGCCUUGGAAAAACAGGCCUAAGCCUGAUGCUGCAAGGAGCAAUGACCAGCCCUGCAGAUAUUGCAAGAAGCCUGGCCAUCCAUAAGACAGAUGCUGGUUUAGGCCAGAUGCAGUAUGCCAACACUGCAAGAAGAAGGGCCAUGUUGAAAGGGUCUGCAAAAACAGAAGUAAGCCAAGGCAGAAUCAAUUUCAGCAGUCAAAGGUUGAAGCUCGAGUAGCUGAGGACAGUAGUGACCAAGAAGAACAGGUCUUUGCUGUUUCCUGUGUAGCUUCUGAGAAGAAAUGCUCUAAAGGCUGGUUGCUGGACAGUGGUUGCACUAACCACAUGUCACCAGAUGCCUCCUUGUUUAAAACCUUGGACAAAAGUUAUAAAACCAAGGUCAAGGUUGGAAAUGGUCAGUUUAUAAGGGCUGAAGGAAGAGGAGAAGUGCUGAUAUGUACUCCCACAGGCAACAAGAUCAUUCCAAAUGUGCUGUUGGUACCACAGAUUGACAGAAACCUUCUCAGCAUAGCUCAACUGCUCGAGAAAGGUUAUUCUGUUGUGUUCAAGGAUAAACAAUGCCAUAUUACUGAUCCAAGUGGAUCAAGCCUUAUGACAGUCACAAUGACUGAUAAAUGCUUUGAGGUUCACUGGGCAAAUGACUCAAACUCAGCAUACACAGCCUCUGUUGAAGACUCCAAGCUUUGGCAUCAAAGGCUUGGACAUGCCAACUUCAGAUCAAUGGCUCGAUUGGCCAAAGAGGGCUUGGCAGAGAACUUCAUCAGCUCAGUGGAGCAUGAUGAUGUGUGUGAAGUUUGCCAAAUGGGGAAACAGGCAAGACUGCCAUUUCCUACAAAUUCAGCUUGGAGAGCUACUGAAAGACUGCAGCUGGUGCACUCUGAUGUAUGUGGCCCGAUGAGGACUGAAUCACUCAGCAAAAAUAGGUAUUUCAUCCUCUUUAUUGAUGACCUUACAAGGUUUUGCUGGAUUUUCUUUUUAAAACACAAGUCUGAGGUAGCUCAAGUGUUUGUGAAGUUUAAAAAUGCUGUAGAAACAGAAACAGGUUGCAAGCUGAAAUCGAUAAGGACUGAUAAUGGCACUGAGUACACUUCAGCUCAGUUUCAAGCCAUUUGCAAUGAUGCUGGUAUCAAACAUCAGCUUACAAAUGUCUACACACCUCAGCAGAAUGGGGUAGCUGAAAGAAAGAAUAGAAGUCUGAUGGAUAUGGCCAGAUGUCUGCUGUUUGAGAAGAAACUGCCCAAGACCAUGUGGGCUGAGGCAGUAAACACUGCUGUUUACCUUCAGAACAGGCUUCCUACUAAAGCUCUUGCAUCCGAGACACCUUUCGAGGCUUGGUCUGGUUUCAAGCCUUCCUUAGCACAUCUGAAGGUGUUUGGUUGCCUGUGUUAUGCACAAAUACCAGCAGCAAAGAGAGACAAGCUCUCUAAAAGGGCUCAACCAGGUGUUCUAGUAGGCUACAGCUCAGUCAAGAAGGGCUACAGGGUUCUGGAUCCCUUGAUAAACAAAGUCCAGGUGAGUAGAGAUGUCAUCUUUGAUGAAAAAGCCUGCUGGAAUUGGGAGAAAAAUGAGCCAGAAGCAGUUUCAGAAGACCUAGUGCCUAACCAAGCUGAACUUGAGCAGCUAGGACCUGAAAUGGAUGUUGAUGAUGUGCCUGUGAGAGGCACAAGGCCCCUAGAUGAUAUUUAUGAAAGGGCACAGGUUGCAAUAGCAGAACCUAGCAGUUUUGAAGAGGCUGAGGCAGAUGAAGGCUGGAAACGAGCUAUGAUCAAUGAAAUCAACAUGAUUGAAAAGAACCAGACAUGGGAGCUUGUUGAUAAACCUGCUGGAAAGAAGACCAUUGGAGUAAAAUGGGUCUAUCGAGUAAAACAGAAUGCAGAUGGCAGUCUGAACAAGCUAAAAGCCAGGCUUGUUGUCAAAGGAUUUAGCCAAAGGUAUGGUCUGGACUACCUGGAGACAUUUGCACCAGUAGCCAGGCUUGACACAGUUAGAAUGAUAGUUGCCUUGGCUGCUCAACAUCAGUGGACCAUUCAUCAGCUUGAUGUUAAGUCUGCAUUUCUCAAUGGCUUCCUGGAAGAAGAGAUCUACAUCGAGCAGCCUCAAGGAUUUGUGAUCACUGGCAAAGAACACAUGGUGUACAGACUGAAAAAGGCUUUAUAUGGCCUGAAACAGGCUCCUCGAGCCUGGUAUGCUCGAAUUGACUCUUACUUGCUCAGUUUGGAAUUUGAAAGAAGUCCCAGUGAACCAACACUGUAUGUGAAGAAGAACCAAGCUCAAACUCAGCUUAUUCUGUCACUCUAUGUUGAUGAUCUAUUGAUAACUGGAGGAGAUGGAAGAAUGCUGGAAGAUUUCAAAAGAAAAAUGAUGGAAAUGUUUGAAAUGUCUGAUUUAGGCAGAAUGAACUACUUCCUUGGAAUGGAAGUGAACCAAACAGAAAAGGGAAUCUUUCUUUGUCAGAGUUCUUUUACUAUGAAGAUCCUGGACAAGUUCUCUAUGAAGAACUGCAAGCCAACAAGCACACCAAUGGCUGUUGGAGUGAAGCUUUCGAGGCAAGGGAGUGGUGAACCAAUUUGUGAGACCAUGUACAAGAGUCUCAUUGGUAGUCUGUUGUAUUUGACUGCCACAAGGCCCGAUAUCAUGUUUGCUGUUAGUGUGCUAUCAAGAUACAUGAAUUGCUGCAAUGAUCAGCACUUUCGAGCAGCUAAAAGAGUGCUGAGAUACAUCAAAGGCACCAUUGGUCAUGGUGUAUUGUUCAAAAGGGCCAAAAACAUGAAGUUAAUAGGCUAUGUUGAUAGUGACUGGGCUGGAUCAAGUGAUGACAUGAGAAGCACAUCCGGAUAUGCAUUCAGUCUUGGCUCAGGCAUGUUUUGCUGGAGUUCUAAGAAACAAAGUCUGGUGGCACAGUCAACAGCAGAAGCUGAAUAUGUUGCUGCUGCAUCUGCUGUGAACCAAGCCAUAUGGCUUAGAAAAAUCUUGACUGAUUUAAACCAAAACCAAAAGGAGGCAACAAAGAUUUAUUGUGACAACAAAUCUGCUGUUGCAAUUGCAAAAAAUCCCAUUUUUCAUGGCAGAACCAAGCACUUCAAUAUUAAGUUGCAUGUUAUAAGGGAGAUGGAACAAGCUCAUGAAAUCGAGCUGAUUCAUUGCAAUUCAGAAGUGCAAAUUGCUGAUAUCUUCACAAAGGCACUCAAUGUGUCUAAAUUUGUUAAAUUCAAAAGGGAAUUAGGUGUUACUAGCAUGGAAACUAAGGAGGAGUGUUAAGUUUAGUUCCCAUGCAAAGGUGGCCAUGCACGACAUGCAAAGGUGGUCAUGCUUCUGGAAUCGCAGCAGGCAGUGGUGCCAUGGUGUGCAGCAAGCUGAAGCUAUCCAUUUAGUUUCCUUAAUUGAAUGUUUUGUAUUUAGUUAGGAUCAAACUUAGUUGGUAGCUGCAUUUUGAUGUAAUUAGGUGCUGAAUGACAAGUUUAGGUAGAAGCUUUUUGUUUUUCAAUCAAGUUUACCAAGUUACUAGGCAAUUUAGUGGUGUUAGGUAUGUUAUUAGGUGAUUACUUGUUUGUUUUACUUGUUGACUGAUAUAUGUAAUGGCUUAAUGCCUUGUUGGCUUGCUUAAUGAAAUAUAUCAGCUCAUUUUCAUUCAAUCUUUUUCUCUCUUUUUCUGUUUUUCACUUGCUAGCUUCAUCUUUCUGUUUUCUGCUUCUGAGUUUGCUUCUUCACCAAGCCUCGAGGCUUACUACUCAAGCAAGACUAGAAACAGCUUGCUGCUGCCUCUUGCACCAACAGCAAGCUUGAGCAAAAAUAACAGUUAGCAAUACCUUGUCUAAGCCUGGGCCAAAUCCGGCCUAUCAGAUAAAGCAUUCAGAUUGAACUACCGGUAACAUUAUGAGUUUAUGGUCCAUCCUUCAUGGGGAUGCAAAGAACAAAAUUAGCUAACUUUUGCCACUAUAGAAUGUUUGUUCAACUAAAUAAAAUAAAGAUUGUCCUAUAAUUCUAGUUCCAUUCAAGUUAAAACUUCUUCAGGCAAGAUAAUAGUAACAUAAUGCUAAAAGAACCAGCACAACCACCACAGCAGGAGCCGCCCAUAUCCAAUAGUUCGUCGACUUCUUACGUUUUAGUAUGGCUUUUGGGAGGGACUCGGUUCUUUUGGUUUGAUUCCUGUACCUACUAGUAUUCUCCUUUGGUACUUUACCCUUCAUUGAAACGGUAGCAGGAACAGGUGCAUCAGCAUUAACAUCGACCUUCUCGGGUUCUGAAUCUUGUGCCACAGCUUCAAUCAGUUCCUCGGGAUUCACAGCAUUUGUCGAUCCUGCCACCUUCUUCUUAGCUCUCUUUUCACGCUCCCGAAAAAGAUCGAAAGAGUUUCAGUUUCAACCCACAAACUAAUGACCGACAAAGCGAAACCAGAUAAGGAAGCGAAUGAUUUCCUUGAGCUUCUUUUCAGCUUCCAUUUGGGCUCUUCUAGCUGCUUUGGCUGCUGCUUUUUCAGCCAACUUCUUUUUUUCUUUCCAUGGCUUGCUUUGCUUUCGCUAUUUCCUCUUCUCUCUUCAAUUCUUUUGGUUUUGCUGCAUCGACUUCCUUGUUCUUUUGCAAUUUUCCGGAUACCAAAAUUUCCUCUGCUACAACACUAAUAUCUGACAAAGGAUUUGACUCCAUUGCUAUAGUCUCGGCAUCUUUUGGGGCCUUUUUGGCUAGUUUAGUAUCUGGUUGGGGACCUGAUUUGGCCUCUUCCUUUGGUUGUCUUACACUAGGUCUCAGGAUUGUUUCGGUUUCAGAAUCCACUGGUCUCUCGGGUGCAACCAGUGGUUUCUCAUC
RNAcentral lists this long non-coding RNA (140628 nucleotides) under Gossypium barbadense (sea-island cotton). Its description in RNAcentral is "long non-coding RNA (GBAR_LNC016698)". Lineage: Eukaryota; Viridiplantae; Streptophyta; Magnoliopsida; Malvales; Malvaceae. The record is from RNAcentral.